GCAAUGGCAGAUUGGGACCUACCACUGGAGGUAUGGGUAGCCCUGAAAUCGGAGGAAGGGGUAGCUUAGGGACGGUCACUGGAGGAACGGGUAGCUUAGGUACAGUUACCGGGGGAACGGGUAGCUUAGGGACUGUCACUGGAGGAACGGGUAGCUUGGGGACGGUCACUGGAGGAACGGGUAGCUUGGGGACGGUCACAGGAGGAACGGGUAGCUUAGGUACAGUCACUGGUGGAACGGGUAGCUUAGGGAUGGUCACAGGAGGAACGGGUAGCUUAGGGACGGUCACCGGAGGGACUGGUAGCUUAGGGACGGUCACCGGAGGAACUGGUAGCUUAGGGACGGUCACCGGAGGAACUGGUAGCUUAGGGGCUUUAGGGGAGUGCUUUCCGCCCUUCCGUGGGUUGCAAGAGCCGCAUGCGAGAGAAUGUUGGGGGAGAUAGAUAAUGCAAAUGAGGAAGAGGCAAAGAGAGAGAGAUGAGAGUUUGGAGGAGUCCAUGUUGAGUAGAGUGGAUGGUGUAACUAUACGAAAGAGUAUAUGAAUAUAUAGAGGGAAAAUGAGAAGAAGAAUUCACGUGAAGAUGGGGGCUACUUCUGCAAUAAGAAGAGACGCCCCAAAAUAAGCAUGGUUGGCAAUUAUCAUAAGAAUACAAGAUUUCCUUGAUGACCCAUCGCUAUAUAUCAUCACAUGUCGACCACACUUUUUUCACUUUUUUUUUUCUAAGUGCCUCUUGUUCUUGGGUUAACUACAACUUUUAACAACGUGUAACUUCAGUUUCAACAGUACAGUACAUUUAACUUGUAGGAAUUGUAAUGAAUCAACUUAGCGAGACUAGGUCAUUAUGAGAUAUCAUCAAUACUAAAUAACAUUUUGAUGAUGUAAACACUCUAGGAAAAGCAGAUAAUAUAGUAUCAUAUGGUUUUCGCUUUAGUGUGUGGCUUCAUAAGCAUCUCCAUGCAUGAGUCGACUGCUAAGGAACAUAUAGAUCUGCACCAUAGUGAAGACGGCUUAGUCUAUUCAAAACACUAAUGUUGUGCCUUUCGAGGACCUCCCGAGACUCGAAUUCGAAUGCACUCUCCAAAGGUAUUAUGUUAGGGAAAAAACCUUAUUAAACCAAAUAUGUUACUGUUUAACCCAUACACGAAAAUUAGAUAUAUAAAUGUUGAACAAAUAGCAUAUAGUUAUAUCCAAUAUAUACGUACAUGAGAGGUAAAGAAGACAGCAAGACUGACAUGUGAAAUUCGGGAUACACUUUUGUUGUUUGGUGAUUUUGUUACGUAGUGUCAUUAAAGAAACGAUCAUGUGUGCGUGGACCAUCUUCUUCUUUUUACCGCUCAUUUCCCUUUUUACCAUAUCUACUACAAAAGAGUCCGAACUGACCAUUUAAUGAACGAGUACCAUUCAAUUCAUAAACUCCCCGUAUCAAUCUAACUGACACUGUAAAAGUUAUAAUGUUAAUAUAUAAAAAUAAUAUGGUUAUUUAGCAUGAAUAAUAACUUUUUAUAAUUGAGAGUAUGUCUAGCUAACAUUGGUGAUUGGUGCUUACAUAAAUCAUAUUUUUCAAACCACUUAACAAGAACUUUACAUAUUCAAUGAUAAACGAAUCACAUUUAUACAAUAUACCAUUCAAAAAUAAUAUUGUAAGAUGAUUUGAAAUUAAACGAUUGUAAUAUAUAAUGUGUUAAAAGUAAUGUAUUAUAGAUAUCUUGUAAUUAUUUAAAGGGUUUUGUGCAAAAAAAAAAACCACUAACUCAUACAUUUUUCCAAUUUACUAUCCAGCUCUAAUAAAUGCACAUUAAUCCUAUGAAUCUAAAAUAAUACGCAUUGUAACCCUUUUUGACCAUUUUUUGCUACCAUCAAUUUUGUAAAAUAUUGAUAUAUAAUAUGUUAAAUCAAAGCUCUCGCGACCAAGAGUUCAACUCUACCUUUAAAAAUUUUAAAAUGUAAUGUAUGUAACCGUAAAAACGCUUGUAAUAUGCAUAUGAAAUUUAUAUUACAUAUUAUGUUAAACUUCAUAAGAUUAAUCUGCAUUUGUUGGUAGUGCAUUUGUUAGAGGUGGAAGGUAAUGUUGCAAAAAUAGAUGAGUUAAAAGAUUUCUUUUUGCACAAAACCCUUUAUUUAAACUACUAACAAUAUAAUAUAUAAAUAAUUUAAAACAUAUAUCUCUAUAAUUCAUGAAGUAAUAAUGGUGUACCCUAUCCUUACCAACGAAUAAUAAAGAAAUGAUAUUAACUCUGAUUCAAAAGCUAUAUAUAAGAUAUUCUUUUUUUUUCCUCGGGAGGGAUACGAAUCCGGUAACAUGAAUCAGUGUCCAAUAAGAGCCAGUGGUCGUAAAUUCCAAAUGACAGAUGGAUGACUCAUUUUAAUUCGUAACUUUUGUCAGCUGCGAUAUAUGCUAAUGAAACCUGAGGUGCUAGAUUUUGAUUUUAAUGGCUUUAGAUUCUUACUCAACACUCAAUGGCCCACUCGUUAAUCUCUUACCUUCUAAAGUGAGUUAUGAUCCACUGCUUCUUUCUUCUUGUAGAUAGAUGGACCUGUUUUUUUUAGGUUGUGAUUUGUGGACAUUAAUCAACAACCCAUGUUUAUACGUGAUAAUGUCUGGAGCUAUAUGUAAAGGCGAUAUGGAGGACAACAUUCCUCUAUUCUAACUUUAAAAGCCAUGUAGUUAGGGCUGGACACCAAUAUUCUUUUUUUUUUUGCUAAAUUGUAAAUAUCAUUUUGAUGAAAAAUCAGGUUUUACAACAGUUGUAUAACCUAAAACAUUUGAACUCUUUGGCAAAAAAGAAUAAAAAAACGAAGAGCCAAUCGAGAGCUGCAUAGAACUCGGUAGUUUCAUAGCAGCCACAACGCUAUUAACUUGCGAAAAAGGAGUCUGUUUCUUCUUGAGGUGAUAACGUUUUUGAUUUUGCGGUUGAUGCACUUGAAUAUAGAAUGCGGAGAGAGGGAAGUAGCGUUGUGCAGGACAUUGUUAGGCUGCUUCAAGAUGUGGAAGACCUUAGACUGAACGACAAUAAUUUUAAGAACUGAUGAAGCCAAUAUUCAUCAUUUUCAAACAAAAAAUAUCUUUUGUUUGACACCAAUAUCCUUGACCAGCUUCAAACAAAGGAUAUACAUCAUUUUUAAGUCGGGUAAGGCAAAUGAGUAUAAGGAUUCUCAUUACACAUCUGGUUGCCAAAAACUUUUAGUCAAAUACUAGUUACAAUCUCAGUUUUUUACCCCAAACUUUUUGCCACUUAAAAAACUAGGGGUGGGCAUUCGGGUAAGCGGGUCGGGUUCGGGUUCGGGUAAAACCCGAUCAGGUAUAAAGAAGUUUAGGAUCUAAUAGGGUAAAUCUAAAAUAUCGGUUCGGUUUCGAUUCGGGUCCAACCGGGUUCGGAUAUAGAUUUGUGGCCUUUUUUUAUCCAGAUUUUUCGGGUAAAAUUUUGGAUUUCGGAUAAAAUUUAGAUUUUUGAAUAAAAUAUUUGGGUAUUUUCGGGUUCGAGUUUGUUUUUUCGGGUAGAGAAAUUUAGGAUCCAGUAAAGUACAUCUUCGGAUUUGGAUUAAGUUUCAGCUCUAAUUUUUCGAGUUAGUUUCGGUUCGGAUAAUCGGUUCUGGUUUUUUGGCCCGGCUCUAUAGAAAACCAUCAAUAAAUAUUUUAAUCCUAUUUCUGCCUCAUUACUCGAGAAAAUAUUCGACCCGUUUUAUUACUUGAUAAAUUUACAACUAUAUAUUUAUGUAAUCUAUUUCAUAUUAGUAAAAUAUAUUAAAUUUGUUAUUAAAACCAAAUAUCUUUUGAGAUUAGGGCAAUCAAAAGUUAAGGUCAAGCAAAUGUCUCCUUUCUAAAUGUUUUUGUGGGUAACGGUAAAGGACAAAUAUACAGCCCAUGCCCAGACCUACAAGUAGCGACUCCAUUACUACACAGUAAGAUUUUUAUUAAUAAAAAUGUGCAUGGUUUCAUUUAAAAGUCAUUGCUAACACUUCACUUUACAGUAAUAUUCAAUUUCAUACCUUUAAACGUUAAUCAGAAUCGCCAAUUGGAAGCCAGUCACUGGAAUCACCUUCCGAAUCCUUGCUAUGUCCAACUUGGCUCUUGCUGAGCUGAACCCAGCUUGACCCGCUUGCGUUUGAUGCUGGUCUUUUCAGUGUACUCCUGUUGGGACUUGGCUUCUCCGAGAGAUCAUCGACAUCUAAAUCACUAAAGGAGAUUACCUCUUCAUCUCUGAAACUCCUCCGUUGUUCUUCAGAUGACUCAUCACUUAUCUCCCUUUGCUCAAUUUUUAGAGUCUCUAUCUUGUCAAUGACUCCCUCAACGGUUUCUGUUUCCCUACUGCUACCUUCUUCAGGAGUUUCGUGACCAGUAGUGCUCUUGCUUGACCCUGUCUCUUUCUUUUGCAGCUUUAGUAAAAGUUGAUCCCUUGUUUCAAAUACCUGUGCCGCACAAUAUAGUUAUUAAAGUUUCAGAAAUAGGUACAAUAGUAACUUGGGAAAAAAUGCAGAGCAUAAAAGAUAUAAAACAAUCCAAUUUUAAAAGCAUCAGGCAAAAAUACAUUUUUUCCUGAGGCUAUACUUGUUCUUAUUGCAAUCGGUUGAAGGGGUCAUUAUAGCAUAAACGUUUACGAUUUUAAUAAUAUUGGAUCAAUACUGACAUUUCAGAAGAAUGUAUUUCCAGUAUACAGUCUUACCUUGCAUGUUGCUAAGAGUUCAAAAUCAUGCCCAUUCAGUCUCGGCAUCAGCAAAAUAAAAUAAAUCAGCCAGAAGUGUUCAUCAUCCAUGUAACUACUAACUUGAUUCUUCACAGCUACAAGGCCAGGAACCAAAUCUUCAAUGGCUGAUGCAUGUGCCCUUUGAGCCUCAGACAGUUCAAAUUCUGCAAUGUGGACAUGAAAAGUUGGAGAAAAACUUCAGCAUAAUUCAGUAGGUAAAAUUGAUGUAAACCACCAAUGCUUUUUAUCAGGAAGUGUUUCGACAACAUUUUCAAGCAAACCAAGCCUAUAUACAAAAGGUUGUACAGGAUGACGAUAUGCUUCGCAAUAAAAUAAAUAAAAAGAUUUAAGUGGCAUAUGGAUUGAACUAUAUAUAUAUAUAUAUAUAUAUAUAUAUAUCCCAAGAAGAGACUGCAGACCCCGUCAAGUUUAUUCGUAAUUCCUGGAGAUCUAUCUAAAGAACAGGGACUUCAAAAAAAAAAAUUAACUGCAGAAACAAUCAAUCUUGUCCAAACAGGUCUAGAAUAAAACACAUCAAGAGUUAAAGACUGAAGCAUAAUCAUCUUUGGCGACUGAAAACAAGUCAACUAUAUUUCCAAGAACAAUCAUGUUUAUUCCUGCAUGGCUGCAAGUUCGUCGACAAUAUCUUCAAGGUAUGAAAAAUGUGAUCUACAGAGAGUAAUGGGACCCCGAGAUCCUAAAGACCUGAGCUUGAAGAAAUAUAUCCCAAGAGGAGAUGGCAGGACCGGUCUAACCUAAUCUAAAAUACUAGGAAAUCUCUCUAAAGAACACCAGAGGCUACAAGCAAUCAACUGUACAAACAAAAAAAAUAUUUUCCUAAUAAAUCACAGUAAGAAAAUCAUAACUAAACAUAGAUAGUUAGAAACCACCAAUGCGGUGCUUCGACUAUACUUUCAAACUAACAAAGCCUAUAUACUGGGAACAAAAAUAUGCUUGAAGAAAUAUGUCCAAAUAAGCUUAAUCUGUAACCCUAGUGAUCCCACUAGAAAGCCAAUCAACUGUAGAAGCAAUCAAUCUUUUCCAAAUAAAACCUAUUUUAGUAACAAUUAUGUUUGCCUACUGGGAAAAAAAAAAGUCAAUGCAGAGCUUAAGACUAUUGAGAAUCAAGCUUUAUGAUUCCUCUAUUGACUAUACAGGAGCAUUACCAGUAUCGAGUGACAAUGGAAAAUCUGUCCAACAACCAGGUUUCGUCGAGAUUUUAACAGCGAAAUCGACUACUUCUUCAGAGAUUCCAGGAACUUGAUCGUUCAACGGAGAUCUUCUACUACUUUCUCUAUCUCUUAGAUUACUAGGAAAUUGGAGUAAAUUAGAUGCGAAAUUGGAGAAAUUUCCACGAAUCUCGGCUAGAUCGUUGCGGAUCCCGAGAAGACCUAGCUGAGUUGGUGAAUUAUCAGAGGAGAGUCGGCGUUCGUUUACAGGUGGAGAAGGAGGCGGUGCCAGGAAAGCUGCGACGCCACGGAGUAAGGAAGAUAAAUCUUCUUUGACACCGCCAUGAGUUGUGGAAGGAUCGGGAUCGGGAUCGUGAUCGUCAUCGCCGCGAGAUUUGAAGAGCCAAGACAUGGUUUUUGAGUGAGAGAGGUUGGAUUUGGGGUUUUCAGUUUUUUUUGCACGGGGUUACGAAUAGCAAGAGAGAAGAAACGGUACGUUUUAAUACCUUUCCAAAACGCACCGUUUGUUGUUUGUUCGUUUUGAUACCUUCCCAAACGUGAAAUAAACGAACAAUAAUUAUACAAAAUAAACGGAAACAAAACCUACUUUUUAAAACGGGAAAAUAUCGUUUUAUACGUGAUGUUUUUAAGAAUGGUCAUUUUAUAUGUAAACUUUUAGAUCGAUCAAAUAAAAUAUGAUAAAAAUGUUGAUCCGCUAUUUAAACAAAACAUAAAGUUUGCCUGGCCAAAAUUUCCGAAAUGUUAACUUGUAUUAACGGAUCUGAUAACCCUCGUUAGCAGACGUUAGUCGUCUUCCGUUAAUACCAAACGAUUUUUUGUGAUGAGUACAAACCUUAAAAUUCCCAAAUCGAUUUUUCAUUCCCUAAUUCUUCAUAAUCCCCAAAAUUUGAACUAUUCUCGAUAUAUUUUUUUUGAGCUCAAAAUCUCCAUUUUGUGUAGAUAUGAGUUUAAAAAAUUUGAGUGUUCAAGAAGGAGGAAGUGGGAACCUUGGGUUUCCUUCAAAGUGUCAUUGGGGGAGAGAUUUCAUCAUCUAUAUAUCAAGCUCGACGAAGAACCCAAGAAGAUCCUUCUUCUGUUGUCCAACAUAUCAAGAUGUAAGUAGAUUUGAAUUUGUUUUUUUUGGUGUUUGAUCGGUAAAAAGUUGUCGUUGUAAAUGCAGGACCAUUUGUUUAAGUGAGUCGAAGAUUGUGUGUAUGAAGAGGUUGUAGAUGCAAUACUGAUAAUCUCUAUGAUUGAUAGCUAGAUAAACAAUGUCAAAUUUCAGGUUGUAGUCGAGAUUGCAGAAUUAAAGGUUUUGAUCCAAGAAUUGAAGGAAGAUGAAAUGUGGAGCAAAAUGGAAUUGAAGAUAUGGAAAUCGAUGACCAAAUUGUGCUUGGUGUGCCUUUGUAUAACAGUCAUUGCAAUUAUGAUCAUAAUGUUCUAUAAGACCAAAAACCAUAAGCUUGUUCUUGGUUACUAGUGUUUUGUGUUUGUAAUAAAAUGUUUUUAUGGUACUGAAAUGUUUGUUUGGCAAUGAUAAUCAGUCCUAGUGUUUUGUCUUAGUGUUGUGAUUGUAAUGAAAUGCUACUAGAUGCUUGUUUAACAAUGAGAAUCACCAAAAUGAAACUCAUUCAUACAUUAUAAAACUUGUGUCACAAAGACAAGUCGAAACCACAAAAUGAAAUCGAUACUAAGCUUAUGUCAUAAAGACAAAUCCAUUAUGUCAACCACCAAAAAUAAACUUAUGAGAAAGCUUAAGUUCAAACAACAACAAAAAGAAACUUGUGACUAAUCUUGUCUUGAACACUCAAACCAUGAUGCAAAUCCACCAAGUCCUUGUGGUUGAGCAUGUGGCUCAGUUUGUGCUUGUGCUUGUGGUUCUGUUUGGGAUUGUACUUGUGAUGCUCCACCUGUCUCCCUUGGUCUUUCUGAUGUUCCGCCUGUUGCCCUUGGUCCUUGUGAUCGAAUAUGAGAUUGUGAUCCUUGAUGAGGUUGUGAUCCGUGUAUUUGCUCUUGCGAUUCGAGCACUUGAGAUCGUGAUCCUUAAUGAGAUUGUGAACUUUGAUGAGGUUGUGAUCUUAGCACUUGUGAUUCCUCCUAAGUUAAAUAUGACAGUCUGAACAGUUGCAUGAUUAAGUGAGUUGUAAAACAUAUAAAAAAAAACAAGAAUACAAACCUGAUUUAUUCGUGGAUGACCUCUUGGUCUCUUUGGUGGAAUCAGAAUAGUGGCAUUUUUGCAGCUUUGCUUGUUUGCCCUUGUUGAAGGCAGUUAGAGCAUGUCAUGAUUCUCUUUUGCAGUGGCAUCUUGUUCUUAUUUGAAGAAGAAGAAGUCUCAUUUCUUCCUUUUCUCCUAACAUAAUUACUCGGUCUUCCAACAUUUCCUUUUGUCCAUGGUGGUGGCAAAACAGGGAGCCUAUUGGUUUUAGGCCACAAUGGCAUACCUUGGACAAGGCUAAUACCAUCUUUAUAAGUUUUUCGCCAGAUUACCUUUGUGUAAAACUUGCUCACAUAGUCUGCAACUGUUUCUCUUCUUCCUAUUAUCACAGGUGUCGCAUAAAUACAUGGGAUCCCCACCAUCUACCACUUCCUGCGACCACAAGUUCUCUUCUCCGUAUCAACAUAGUAGCUAACACCAUUCACAUCAAUUUGAUACAAAUUGUUUCUGGACAUAUAUCUCUCGCAAUUUCUAACCCCAACUAUCAUUUUCUCAAUCUCAAGAUGGGCUCUCUUUGUGAACCUUGUCUUCAAUUUGUCAGCAAUGAUAUACGUCUUCGUAGUUAUGACCAUGCAUUACCUCUGGAUGUACUCUAGCUAAUCCAACAAAGGCUUUCUCCUAGCCUGUUUAAUAGUCUUAUUAAAAGACUCACACUGAUUAUUGAGGCUGUCAUUGCAACGUGUCCAAUUCUAAAGAAGGCUCUCGACCAUGUCAUUGGACUAGUAAGUUGCGAGUGGCAUGCGCAUGAGGAUUGUAUCUCUUUAGCUCUUCCAUAUUAUUCAUGAACACUUCUUCAGUGUAGCUUCAAAUUGUUUUUCAAAGAGACAUUGUAGUUCUAUCUCAUGGUUGUCUCUCUUCCAAUUGUCCAUUAUAUGCCUUGAAUAUUGUCGAUGCUCAACUUCUGGAAGUAUGGUAUUGAUAGCUUUGACUAGACCCUGUAAAAUAACACAAAAACAUAAGCGUAAACCCUUCAUAAAAGACAUUAAACUGAAGCAAAAGAUGAUAAAAUUAACUGAUUAUUUAUCUGAAAUGAUAACUAGAUGUUGCAUUUCACAGUCCCAAACUAGUAGAGAGCUGUCUCAAAAACCAGUCCCAAUUAUCAUUGUUUUCUAUCUCAACAACUGCCCAAGCUAUAGGAACAAUCCUCUUAUCUCCAUCUCUUCCAACUACAGCUAAAAGGUGACCUUUUACAUCCCAUUUUAGAAAACCCAUCUAUUCCUAUCACAGGUCUACAAGUUCGCUUCCAAGAAUCCUUUUGAGAUUUAAAGCAGAUAUAGCACCAGAGAAAAGAAUCCUUUUGUGAUAUAAAGCAGCUAUAGCAUCAGAGAAACCUUUGCUUGCUUCCAAUAAAAAGCCCUACUGUUGUCUCUAUCUCAAACUCUGUCUCUGGGUUCUACUUUAAAACCUCCGCUUGAUAAUCUCAUAUUCUUGAAAAGUGAUCAUUAUGAGUAGCAUGUCAUGCUUUCAACACUUUGGUCUUGGCCUUUGCACAUUGGUCUGGAGUCACAUCCAAAUUGAAUUCUCUCUGAAUCUCAACAACCAUCUCGUUCUUUGAAAUAUUUGGAUUCACUCUCAGCCUUUCAUCAAACAAAAGUGCAAUGGAAGACCGCUUCAACAUCUUUGAAUAUCCUGACCUAACACAAGUAUGCAUAUAAAAUCUUACUUGCAUCUUAUGUUUUGUCUUCUCAUACGAACAAUAUACUUUCCAACCACAUUUAACACCAUCAACACCAAUUUAUGACCACUUCGCAGCAACAACCAUAGAUUCAGACCCAUAAAGAGAAAUGGUAUACCAUGUCUUUAAAGAGUACAUCAAAAGAACACGCUUGAAGUCGUGUUUAUAUCCUCUUCACCGCGUAAACCACCAUUAUAAUCGUUAUCUCCACCACCAACCACAUCAUCAACGACAUUGCAGUCUUCAUCACCAUACACGGCGCAGUCUUCUUCAUUUUUCAGGGUCAGGCUCAAAUGUAGGUUCUUCAUCCUCCUCUUUUUAAUGUCUGACUCUUCUUCGUUUUUGUUUUCAAAGCCGCUUUGAAACUCGAGCUUUAACUACGAUAGAAGACUCUACUACGCCUACAGCCGGCAGAGCUAGAACUCCGUUAUCAAACUCUAAAACUGCUUCCGCUGGUGGAGCUCGAACAACAUCUUUGGUGUCAUCUUCGCCUCGUGGUGGAGCUUCAUCAUUGUCUAAUUUGCCUUCCAUUGAUACAAUCUAGGACUCCAAGGAUACAAAUUCAAGAUGAAAUCAAAUCAAAAUCGCGAUUUCGCCAAAGUAAGAAUUAGGGAUUUGGUUUUUGGAAAUUAGGGAUUUUGAAAUCAAAAUGGGAAUUUCUGUUUCAGUUUAUGAAACGACAUUGUUUUAGGCAUUAACAGAAAAAAUUAACGUCUGCUUACAGGGGUUAUCGGAUCUGUUAAUGCAAGUUAACGUCUCGGGGAUUUUGGUCAGGUCAACUUUAUGUUUUGUGUUAAAUGGCGGGUCAACGUCUUUAUCAUGUUUUAUUUGGCCGACCUAAAAGUUCACGUAUAAAAUGGCCACUUUUGAAAGUUCACGUAUAAAACGACAUUUUUCCCUUUUCAAAAACCUAAUUUAUUUCGCAUAAUUAUUGUUCGUUUUGAAAAGUAGGUUUUGAUUUAAUAUUAAAUUUAUUCGGGGAAAAAGAAUUAUACAUUUACAAGUAGGAAAAAUGGGUAAAAAAAACCUCACCUUUCCCAAAUACAUUUAAAAAAACCUCAACUUUUUGUAGGUUUUUAAACCCUCACCUUUUCAAAAAUGGUAAAAUAACAAUUAGCAUUAUUAAACCAAAUAAAUACAAAUUAAAUACUAAAUAAACUAUUAUAUUAAGACAUAAAAAACAACAUAAUUUAUAAUCUAUCUUUUCCAAAUUUGAGUUUAGGAUUUUUUUUCUUCUAGAAUUUAGUUGUUUUUUGUGAUAUAAAAAAUAAGUUUCAUUGCCAUUAGAAAUUGGUAUGUAAACUAAAACAAUUUAUAACAUAGCACAUUUUAUUUUAUUUGUGUUCAACUAUGUUCUAACCUUUGAAGUUUUGGAUUUAAAAUGGAUAAAAUUUAUUAACACAAAUUUGAUCUAAACUUGAGUGACCUAAUAUUUGUUCUAAACUUGUGUGAUCAAAACUUUAUUCUAAACUUAAGUGUCCAAACCAAAUAAAAUUUUAUUAAAUAUAUUUUAUAUUUAGUUAUUACAAAAUUAGUUUAGUUUUACGUUGAUGAAUUUCUUGAACUCAACCAAAUUAAUCUUGUUUCAGUUCACUGCAUAUGUAGAAGAAUAUAUAUCUAUAUAUAUAUACAUAUAUCAUACCUAAAAUAAAAUAAUUAUUUUUAUCCAAAAUUUAAUUAAACUUACACUCGAAACAAAAUAAAUAAACUUUGAAUAGACUUUGGAUAUGUUAUCUUCAGUAUGAAACCAAUUGUCUGAACCAAAUUUAAAUUGUUUUCACAUAAAACAUUUUACUAGAAGAAAAUAUUUAAGAGCUAUGUCUUUGGUUAGAUUAGAAUCGACAUAUUUCGUUUUCAAGAUUGUUUAGUGGUAGUUUGUUGUUUUGCGUCAAGUUUUUUUUAAUGUUUUCUUUUCCUAUUUUUGUCGGGUUCAUCUCUUGCUUUUGGACCGGUCAAUCUAUAACUUUUCACCUUUAUAAUAAUAGGUAAAGCGGUUGUGUGACUCUUUCAUUUUCCUCUACUCAAGUUUAAGACUAAAUCUGGUCAAAUUUUUAUUAGACUAGUUAUGAUGGUUUGUUAUAAACCAUUUCACAACUGUUGAAAAAAUUAUUUCCACUACAAUGGUUUAUUGUAAUCGAAAAGUAAGUGAGAUGGCAAAUUUAUCAACACUCAUGAGAGUAGAAGAAAGAAGAUAAGUGUGACAAGUGUUAUAUUUUGAUUGGUUGCUUUUUUUUUUUGGACAAAAGCUUGUUUUUAUUCAAUUAAGAGAGAAACAAGUACAAAGGAACAAGGAUUCUAAGAUCCCAAAGUUUAAAGGACAACAAAGGUAGGCAUUCCCAACACCAUAAGAAGAAAAGCUAACACACAAAUAAGGUACAUCAACAAUGGUUCCAUGAGAGCUAUAAUCCAAACACUUGAAGGGAAUUUGUUACUUUUAAGAUCAAGGAUUGUUGACAAAUCUUCCACGAACAAAGUAGUGGAUGAGAGUAUGGUUACUGUCAAAAGACUUAGUAACGUUAACAAGGGCGCCAAAGACAUGAAUCUCGUCGGGACGAGAAGUACUACACCAAGUAGUGCUUUUGCAAAGGUUCGAACAAGGUUUUGGUAAAGGAAGGAGGAUCGUCGAGGCUUAGAAAGAUUGAUGCGAGACCGUAACAGAACAGGUGGGUCCUCUCUCCCAAGAAGACCAAGGAGAUUAAGGAAUUCCACACAAAGCUUGUAGUCGGUUUGCCACAUGAAGAAAAGGCCAGACAUGAGGAAAUUGAGUAGAUAUCACUUUGAGGCACUAGUCAAUAGGGAGGGAUCUCUCACAAGAGAAUUGAGAAGUUCAUGUUGAAGCUUGAUCCAAACCCGGGGAGUAAUGGUGAAUGGGAGGUUCUUGAAGUUGGUCGAUAUAGUUGUCAGUAUGAAAUACUUUGAUAGAGAGUUUUGGUGACUAGCGUCACAUCUCCGACAGAUUGGACUAAGAAACACUAGACCAUGAAUCUUCAAAACGGAAUCAUAAAACAUUGCCCUAGCUAAACCUAGCACCAAGGUUCUCAGAUAAUAUUUGUAGGAGCAUAUCAACGAGGGUGAUUCGUCAUUCAAGUGGUGUCCCUAACCCCUCAAAAUAAAGAAACGAUGUCUACAUUGGGAUAGACUCGGCAAAUUGCAGAUGGAGGAAUACCUGGAUUUUUGUGAUAAUAGGUUUGGGUCGCAAUUUAUGGGCUUGGGCCGCGAGGGAAAUGGGCCAACAUUGGAGACAGGGCCCAUCAAAGAAAACCCUCGAUUCCAGAUUGUUGGGCAAGGAGCGUUGGGAGUGCGGCGGCUACGGUAGAGAGGUACGAAUUGCACAAUUGAAGCAGACGUCUCUGAUGUAAAUAGAGUUAGGGUGAACAAGCUGCAUGACGGGUCCGGCGCUGAGGCUAUAACAACGGCUAAUGGUUUGGCAAAAGAACGUCGGAGAAGCCUUAGGGAGCCGAAAGGUCCCGCAGAUCUAGUAACGAUGAGGAGGCGGAGACAAGGCUCAGGUUGGAAGGAUUGGUCGCCUAUGAAAUUGAAAGCUUCACAAACUGUUUUCUUUGAUUCGCAAGGUUUGGACAGAGAGUGUAGCUUGCUCGGAGGCCACAUUUUGCCUAUGUCGGAGAAUACUGCUUCAAAGAAGAUUCAACAGCAAAGAAGAACUCGAUAGAUUUGGAUUAAAAGGUUUGCAACAGAAGAAAACUAAAUUACAACGAAGAAGUAGAUGAAAGAUUGAGGAAAUAGCUCGAGAGAUGAGAGGGAGGUUCCGAUGCCGGCGAGCAUUUGCUCCACCGACGUCGGAAAGAUGAAGGGAGAUAGUUUCCUCGAUAUUAGUGUCUAUUAGCUCCACCGACGUUGAAAAGAUGAAGGGAGAUAGUUUCCUCGAUAUUAGUGUCUGGGAGAGAAACUCUUUAAAAUCUUAGUCUCGCAAAAAAUUUGAUUGGUUGCUUUGAUUUCUAUAUUUUUUUUCUUAAUUACAUAACUUUAAUUAUUUCAUAAUAUUUAUAAAUAAACAUAUCAAAAUUUACAAUUUUUCAUUCUCUAUAAAUAAACACUAUCUUCAUUUGAUUUGGACAAAACAAAAAUAAUCUUUCUUUAGAAAAAAAAAAGUUUAGUCUCCAAUAAACUUUUGUUUUAGCUUUAAAUAUACUUUUAUCUAAAUGGAUCCAAACAAUAACCUUUCAACACCCAAAACUUUUCUAAUUACUUUUAAACUAUCCAAAUCCCAACAAUUAUUAGUUGCAGGUGUGUCAGAAGGACAUUGAACGAGCAUUUGGAGUGUUGCAGGCUCUAUUUAAAAUUAUUCGCGAACCAGCUCGACUGUGGGACAUAGCCGAUUUGACUAUCAUCAUGAGGUCGUGUAUCAUAUUGCAUAAUAUGAUUGUUGAUGAUGAACGACAGACGUAUACUCAACAUUGGACUGAUUAUGAUCAAUCUAAGGCAAGUGGGCCGAGUACAUAACAACCAUUCUCGACCAAAGUGCUACUUGUAUUUGCAAAUCAUCUGCGUGGUAGAUCCAAGUUGCGUGAUUCAAAUGUACACCGCAAAUUGCAAGCAAAUCUAGUCAAACAUAUAUGGGCACAAUUUGGAAUUUUCCAUGGUGAAUGAGAUUUUUAAGUUUGUGAGUUGAGAUUAAUAUACUAAUUAAGUUACAAAUGUUUCCUUACUUGUUGUGUGCGUAUUGUAUUGCAUUUUAAAUCUAUGUUCAUUGUAUGUGUUUUAGUAAUGAUUAUUUUUAUUUCUAGUUUUUAUUAUUUAUAAAGUUUUUUUAAAAAAUAUAUACAAAUAUUAAAACAAAAACUAUUUUAUAAAAUUUAUUUAAUAUUUAAUUAUUUAAAUUUAAUUUAAUAUUAACGGUGAUUAAUAAUAUUUAAUCACAAAAAACAUAAACAUAAAUAAAAUGAAAAAUAUAAAAUAAAAAUUGUGGGAUAAGGUGUUGUAAUUUUAUCAAACAAAACUAUUGUAGAGGGAAAAAAUUAUGUAGGUGUGGAAUAACGAUGUGGAAGAGAGAGAAAACGAUGUGAAGUGUUAAAAGGGAAAAAAAGGGUGUUGUAAAUGGGUAACCAUUGUAGAUAGUCUUAGGAAGUGAAUGGUGACUUUAAGAUUUGCAGAUUUCGAAAGAAAAAGAAAAAAAUGCACUAAUGUCACCAAUCAGACAUAUGUGUGUAAUUUGUUUUUUUUUACAGAUAAUUUGGCACACACAUUUCAAAGCAUGUUAAUACACUAGGGAUAAAAGAAACACACUCUACUAUCGUCCAAGGGAUAUUUGGCAGCGCUUAACUAAAAACUUGCAUUACACAGUAAGUAAUAAAUCAAUUAUUUAAUUAAUAAUAAAAUGUACCUAUAAAUCAGAUCAUGUACUCUAAAACUAUUCACACAUUACAACCAAAAACAACAUCCUCUCAUAUUUCGCUCCAAUCCAAAAGAAAAAAAAAACAAUCUCCCACCCUUUCGUCAUAUAUUACAACAUUUAAAUGUAAAUUACUUUUACUAUACUAGUAUAAUAAUUACUUAUAACAAAAUAUUUCUAUGUAAUUAAGGUCUCUUUAUAAAUAAAUAGGACUGAAAUUAAGUAUAUAAAAUUGUUCAAAAUUUAGUAAAUCAUAAAAUGUUAUAUUUAUGUACAUAUUUAUAUGACUAUGUUUUAUUUUUAUAUUCAUAACAUCAGUAUUAAAUUUUAAUCAAAUCAUAGAAAUUUUUAAAUAUGUAUAAUAAAUGGUUGUGAUAGUAUUUACUAAUCAAGAUGUAUAUAUAUUUAUUAAAAAGAGAAAGGAAAAUUUUGAAGAUAUACAAAAUUACUAUUUUUUUAAAUUAUAGUUUAGUAUAUUUAUAUUAGAUGGUAAUAUGAUAUUAUGAAUUUUUUCAAAACUUAAUUAAAUCAAUUAAUUUAAUCAUAUCAAAAGUUACUUAAAUCAAUUCAUUUCCAUCAUUAUUAAAUUUUAAACAAAUCAUAGAAAAUUAAAAUAUGAAAAGAAAUGGUUGUGAUAGUACAAUAAAGUGAUUCCGAGUUCCCUUUGCCUCCGUCGGAGAAGUAUUAUCUAGUUGAUUAUGACUACCCAAACAAAUAAGGAUUUCUAGUUCCUUAUAGAUCGUCAGGAAAUCGAGUUGUGAGAUAUCAUAUGUCUCAAUUUUAUUUUGGUCCUCCUCCUAGAAACAAACAUGAACUAUUUAAUAUGUCAUGCAUCUUUACGUUCUGUUAUCGAGAGAACUUUUAGAGUUUCGGAAAAGAAAUGGAGGAAUCUUUUUCAUUUUCCUAGAUAUAAUAUUCAUAUUCAAAAAAGAGUGGUAAUGGUUAUAGUGUGAUUACAUAAUUUUAUCAGAAUUUCAAACUUCUCAGAUGUAGAUUUUCUUGAUGUAAUGACAGAGACAAAUAUAAACUACAGAGAUUAUGAUCAUCAUUUAGAUGACAUAGAAGCAACAGAGAUAACAAAUGGAGAACAUAUGAUGCCAAUAAAAGACAAUAUUGCAAAUAUGUUAUGGCAAAAUCAAAAUAAUAUAAAAUAUUUUUUAAUGUUUUUUAUGAUGAAAUUAGUUAAGGCAUGUAACAAUAUGUAUGUUACAAAAUUAAAUUUAUAUUUUGAUCAAUUUUUGUAUUAGUGGUUUAUAAAUAUCUGUUAUUGUUUAUUUAUUAACACAAAAAAUUAAUUAAUUAUUAAUAUAUAUAUAUAUAUAUAUAUAAUUUAUAAUUCGCACCGCAUGUAGUUUUUUCACCAAUCAAACAUUAUUUUGUACCGCUUAUUUUGAAUAAACCGUACUUAUCCCGCAAAUAUAUUUCUCCUACACGAACCGCAGUUUAACCGUACUACACUUCAAUAACGCUUUCCCCGCACUAUAAAAACCACGGUUACCAUUCGGACCCUUAGAGCUUGUUUAAAAAAUUGCUAGGCGUUAACCGGGCAUUCGGGGACUUAUCGAUAUUAGUUUUUAACAUUUUAAUAUUGAUAUAUACAUAUAAAUUAAAUAUCGGAAUAUAUGACAAUGGAAUUAAUUUGGUUGAGUGUCAUCUUUUUUUAUUUGGAAAUUGCACAAUCUAUACUCUGAGGAGUCGUUAUUUAGGUUCCCAAAAAAGCAACUGUUUGGCUGGUACUGUGGAUGUGGAAAUUGCGCAUGUAUGAAAAUAUAUUGUGUGAGACGGCUUCAUUAAAAUCUUAUUAGAUUAUUAUUGUUCUUCGCAUGUGGUUUUUGUUUUCUAUAUGUUUUUUAUUUAUUGAUUUAUGGGGAAACCAAUCAUCAUCAUCAUUUCCCUUCCAAUACGGAGAGCUUGGCAAUGCGAAAGAUUUGGAUGGCAAAUGUUUGGUAUAAAUUUUUCGACCCGUUAAUAUUAUAAUCUUGAUAUUAUUUUUGUUAACGUCAUUAAUCUUUUGCAGACGUAUGUGGAGCCUAUCAUUUUCCCUGACGUGGAGAUGAACCCGAAAGAAGAUUUAACCUGGUCUGACGAUGAGGAAGAUGUGAUGGGUUGAUAAUAUCGUCAUGUUAGUUGGUAAAGGGAUUACUUUUCAGCUCCCUCCAUUCUGAUUUGCCAACUCCUACAAAUGCUAAGGUUAGUUAACUGAUAUUUAUUUUAUAAUCGUUGUGUUUAGUAGUUUAGCAACUAAGUAUUAUAUGUGAGUAGCUAUAUUUUUUCUUUAUUUUUGUAGCUUUUUUGCCUCUGUUUCAGAGUUUUCAAUUAUCUCCAAGAUGUUGCAGGUAAACAAAUCUGUUGAGGUCCUUGAUCAUCGAGAUGAAGAACCGGUUUAUUUAUUUACACUCCAUUUUUGUUUAACUUUACUGUACAUUUUUGUUAACCCCCUCCAUAUUUUAUUAGCCGGUAAGAUUGUUAUCAUUCAUUUUCUUUUUAAUUAUUUUAUUCUGUCUUGCAGACCAAAAUCAAUCCUUCAAAAUUAACCACUACAGUCGAGGAAGAAAAGGAUUCUAAGGAGGUUAGAUAAUUCUUCCUUGUUUUUAACUUUCAUUUGGUUAAAUCCUUAACCGGUGAUAUAUUGCAUGUUUCAAUUUUAGGAUUUUACCACUCCACCCCUGUCAACCCAGUCUCGCUCUAACGUGAAGGUUAUCUUCUAACUAUGAUGUUAUCGCUUAUUGUUUAUAUUCAUCUUCCACGUUUGUAGGAUGUGGUGUGCCCUGCAAGUGUGUAUGCGGAUUAGCUGUUAAAAAAAAUAUUUCCAAGACGCAAGAAAAUUCGGGCUGCCCCUUCUUCCGCUGUGUAAGCAAAAGAGACGUGAGUUAUUUCCUCUCUAAAAACGAUGUUAUUAGCUUUUCUGGUAGCUACACGUUUUGCUAGUUAACCUAUCAUUCUUUUUGUAGGGACAUUUGUUUAAGUGGGUUGAGGAUGUUGUAUAUGAAGAAGUGGAAGAUGCAUUGGUUAGACUUGUAUCGAUUUAAAAUGAGGUAAAUGAUUAAAAGCGCAGGUCAUCCAGUUUUGUGUUGCUAUAAAAGAGUUGAAGGCAGAUUCAGUGUCCGACCAGUUGGUGAUGCUUAUGUUGAAAGUGGGCUUGCUUUUCAGAUUUGUCUUCUCUCUUUUUGUAGCUUUUGUUAUCGCAACACUUCUUAAAAUAGUCGAUAUUAAGUUCAUUAGUAGUUUUUAAUGUCUAUCUUUGUAAUGUUUCAUAGUUUCUAUAAUUCCCUAUGUUUAAGAUAUUAUAUUUGUUAGUCGUUAACCAUGUAAUAUAUACCUUGUAUCAAUCUUCUGUCUAUAUAAUAUUUUAUAACUUCUCAUUUAUUUCUUUAUUUUUGUACCAUUUGCACAUUCUUUAGGCGAUAUUUAUAACCAUUUUAAAACUUAUCUUUUAUUUUAAUUUUUUGGUAGCAUUUUCACAUUUAUUAAGCGAUAAUCUAAUUCUUAGCCAUCCAGCUGUGGUCCUAUCUUCUUAUUUUAGGACGCUAGUUAUCUUUUUUCUUAGUAUUGCAAAUUUUAAGAAGAGGGUCUAUAUCUUGGUACAUAUUUUGUUACAGAAUAUCAUUCAACAUAAACAUAUAUUUAACAUUCAGAAGGAAGGUUUGUUGGGAUCGUCCCUGAUUGCAGAUAAUACACAUUUUUUGGAUCAGUAAUUGUACGUAUAUACAUUGAAAAUUUUCUGAUCUCCGAAUUCUUGUUAUUUAUAAAACAUGACUUCUCGCGAGUCUUCUAAGCACGGAACCAUCCGUUCAAACCCUCCCAUAGUCCAAAAAAACAGUCCUCUCCUUCCAUCUUCAUCCGCAAAAAAAAAAUUUUCCUCGUCGCUUACUUGCCUCCAUGUACCACAUUAAUUUUUUGAUUAGCAGUCAUUUUUCUUUUUAAUCAGAUAACACCUACUUUAUCGACACUAGUUUCUUCAUACACCAUGGUAAAAGUUUUGUUAUCGGCUGCUUUUUCAAAAAAUGAUAAGGAGCUAUAUAUAUAGAUAGCAAACCAAAGAAAGUUGCCCUAACUACACACCUGAGACUUAAAUGCUCUAUGUUUCUAUCUUCUUUCAAUAUUUAUCGUUUGCAGUGGUUUAUAUGUUAGUUGUUUCAGUUCUUGUUGUUGCAGUAAUGUCGAUAUGGAGAUAAUAAAUAGGCAAACAUCUAUCUUCCAUAUCUGCACAAUCGAUUAUGUAUCAUAUGUAAUCAUUACUUUUUACAUUUUUUUAUUAGUUUGACCAGGGGGCGCAAUAUCUUCGAAGAUUACAGAGCAUUUAAUGCUCGUGAUCUUGCGGAAGGAGACUAGUGAUCCUCUGCUUGUAUAGGAACAAUUAUGUCAUAUUUAAUUUGCAAGAAAAUUUUCACCUAAAUAACGAAAUGAUAUGUAUAGAUCCUUAAUUAUUUUCUCCUGUAGGUAUAUAUAUUUCAUUCACUCUUUUUAGUUUAAUGAAAUAGUAAAUGACAAUAUUAUCCUCAUCUUAUUCUUUAGAUCUUAGCGACUGCAACCCUAAUUUUUGUCGUAUCGUUUUUCACAAUUCUUAUCAUUUUUUCUUACCCUUUAAUGAUUUAUACCCAAAUAUAAUAGAUCUACAACCUAAAGACCGAUUUAAAACUUGUAUUUCUUUUUAAAAAAUGAGUUUUUCUAAGAGUUUUCAAUUUUUUUUGGCGAUUUCAACAAAUCGAGGCGGUGGUGGUCUGAAGAGCGCUUAGUUGGACGAGUAAUCGGUUAGACGACCAAUUUUUAGAACAAGGGUCUUGACAAUCCACAAUGCAAGUGUUGAAUUAUUUAUUCAAUUGUUGAACCUUCACAUUGCACAUGUUGAAUAGUUUAAAAAAUCUUACGUGGAUUCAACUUGGUUGAAAGUAUUCAAUAUGUUAUAAAGAAAAAAUUUGGGCCCGCGCAUGCCACAUGUCAAUAAAUGAGUAAAGGAUGUGUUUCAAACUCGGAGAAAGGAGAGCGUAUUGUCCAAACCUUUUUCUUUUUACUUUUAUUUUUUUUUGCAAAAAGAAGAGAUUAUUGAGAUGCUCACACUUGCUAUAUUUUCAUUAGAUAUUAAGAUUUUGGAGAUUUUAUUUCUAUCUUAUUUAUUUACAAUCAAUUAUUACAUACCAAACAAUUUUUUUUUAAAAACUUAUAUUUAUAUGAAAAUUUAUAAAUUUUUAAACUCUAGAAAUAGAGACUUAGUUCAUUUUAUUUGGACACAUAAAAAAUAUUAUUUCUACCAUAAUUUUCUUAUUCUUCUCCCAUAAACUCUUGGUUAUAUCCUUUUUUUUUAUGGAUUCUAAUAAAAUCCCUAUGCAAAAUUAUACUAAUUUUUCCUUUCCCUAUCCUAAUUCCAACAAUAAUCCUACGCAAAAUUCGACUAAUUACGUUUUUCCUUAUCAAAAUCCCAACAAUUAUCAAUUUCAAAAUCUAUCUUUCAACCAACCUCAAAAUUUCCCAAAUUAUGAUUUUCUACCAAAUUUUUCUAUGCUCUCAUCUGUUCCAAACUAUAAUUCAUAUUAUAGAUCGAUUCCAAAUUCAUCUCAACCACCUCUUUAUGAUUUGAGGUUGUGAUUUUCAUUGACAUCAAAAAGAAAAAAAAAAAAAAUAUCACAGAAAGGAGACAAUGAAUAUGAUUAAUAUUUAAUUGGUAAACUAUUAGAUUAGGCGGGGGUUUUCUCAAAAAUUGUCUCUUUUGUAGGACUGUUGUCACCAAUAUUUUCAGUAUCUUUUACUUUUAUUAAUUUUUAAUAAAAUUUAUGAUAAUAAAAAAAAUGAAAAUAAUCGUAAAUAAAAGAAAAAAAGAGAGUUGUGGGUUCUUUCUUUUUAGUUACCCACGCAUCGCUGUCGAAAGAUUAAUUAUGAAAUCAGAUGUUUGGUUGAGUAUAAUAGUAAUGCAUGUCAUUAGUUUAAAUUUAUAAUAUUAAACAAAAUUAUAAAUAAGAUAUUUGAACAAAACAAAAUUAAGUUAGUUUAAACGUUAAUUGGAAACCAAAUAAGAGAUCUGUUAGGAAAAAAGAAAAUAUAUACCAAAUAAGAGAUACAGGAAAUCAGAAAUUUUAAUAUUAUGUGUUUGAAUCUUCUCACCAAAAAAAAUUAUGUGUUUGAAUCUUCUCACCAAAAAAAAUUAUGUGUUUGAAUCUAAUUGAUUAAUGGACACGGUCUAGUAAAUUAUAAUUUUUUUGACCCGCGAAAUAUAGUGAAACAGAGUUUAUCUCUAUACAACAAGACAAAAAAGAAGUUCUAAGAUCAAACUCUGUUUGAUAUACAAAAAUUAUAUUGUAAAUGAAAAUGGAACUUUGAGAUUGAUCUACAACAAGUCUGCUACACUCAUCACAAACGUAAUGUGAUUAUACACAUCCACGUUGGCCGCAAAAACUAAGGAUCUUGUAUCAUCUGGAUCAACAGACAAAAUCAUAUUGCAAUAGUCAGCAGCAUCACGUGCGAGACUAAGGUCGUCAUCAGUCUCAUCAACAUCACCAUUGCCCAUUGACCGCUGUGCCUUCAUUAGCCCCUCGACAACAGAAUCUUUAUAGUUCUCCAUACAACUCUUGAAACAUGGCUUCUUAGGAGAACCAAUGAGAAACUGUGUGUGCUCUGCCUUCUCCAUGGCUAGAGAAAGAGCCGCCUUAGCCAACUCUAAUACAGUCGAUGCGGAUUUCGUGCGAUGAUCUAACGUUAGGGAUUUGAUACAUUCUUCUUCUAGGGACGAGAAUGACGCGGUGCCUUUACAAGCCUUUGAUAUCAGUAAUGAUGGAUAUGGACAUGUCUUUGGUUUGGUUGAUAAAUGGGUAGCAAUGUUGGAUUUUGCAUUGGUAUAUGGCCACCGCGAGAGGAGAAGGAAGGUUAGGAUAUGGAUUGAUAGGUAUGCAUGAGAAGCAUAUAAACAAACCAUCGUUUUAUAUGUUCAACAAAGCUUGUUCUUUGACUAUAGGUUUAAAUGAAAUAGUAGAUUGAAGUUUGUACAUAUAUUAACUUUUGUUGUGUCAAUGGUUUAAAUUGUCCAUUGUUUAGUUCCACAAGUUUUAAACAUGAUAUGUUAUUUAUAGGUUUGGAAUGAACGAUAGAGGAAAAAUAAACUUGUCAACGCUAAUAAUAAAAGAGUGUAUCGAAAAAGAGAGAAAAAAACAAAAAUUCAUUGUGAUUCUUUUGUUAUUUUGUUUUUCAAUGAUUCAAUUCAAUGUCUUAAUUUCUCUCCUAACAUAAAAGUUAGUUAUGGGCAUUCGGUUAUCCAGUUUCGGUUCGUUUCCAUUCCGUUAUCGUUCUUUCGGUUCUAGAGUUUAGUAUCCAUUCAGUUAUUUUGAUAUUUCGGUUCGUUUCAGUUCUUACAGUUCUAAAAUUUAAUAUACAUUCGGUUAUUUUGCUUUGAGUAUUUUUGGAUAUUUCUGUUAUUUUUAUAUUUUUGAGUAUUUUUACUAUUUAUAUAUACUUUUUAGUAUUUUUAAUUAUUUAGUCUAGAAAUGACUAGUAUUUUUGAAAAUAUAAUUAUAUUUCGGAUACUUUUGGUUAUCCAAAAUAUUUCAGUUUGUAUCCACUCGAUUUCGGUUCUUUUGGUUAUAGAAUUUUAAUAUCCGUUAGGUUAUUUUCAAAUUUUCGGUUUUGCUCCGUUUUUUUACAUCGGUUGCGGUUCGGUACAUUAGGUUCGUUUUAUAUGCCCAAGCCUAAUAAAAAUCAUGUUCAUUUUGGUAUUUAUAGCUUUAGUAGACACAUGUUUAGUAAAACAAAUUCUCAAACAAGAAGAUUUAUGGAAUACCUUGUAAGACUACUUAGACUAGUUACAAUGGUUUGGUGGUGAAAAAAACAUUUCCACUACGAUGGUGUGCUGUAAUCAAAGCUAGGUGAUGUGGCAAAUUUAGUAUUGAUAAAUAUCAAUACCCGUGAAAGUAGAACAGAGAAGAUAAGUGUGACAAGUGUUAUAUUUUGAUUGGUUGCUUUGAUUUUUAUUUUUUUUGUUUCAUCUCAACUAUAUAACUUCAAUUAUUUUAUAAUAUUUGUACAUAAAAAUAUCAAAAUUUAUAUCAAAAUUUCUAAUUUUACAUUCUCUAUAAAUAGAGACUAUUUUCAUUUGAUUUGGAUACAGAAAAAAAAACUAUUUUUAGACCCAAAAAAGGUAUAAUCGCCAAAAAAAAAACUUUUGUUUUACCUUUAAAUAUCUUUUUAUCUAAGUGGAUCCAAACAAUAACCCUUUCAACACCCAAAACUCUUCUAAUUACCCUUUUAACUAUGCAAAUCCCAACAAUUAUCAGUUUCAAAAUCAAUCUCCUAACCAACCCCAACAAUUAUCAGUUUCAAAAUCAAUCUCCUAACCAACCCCAACAUAUAUCAAAUUAUGGUUAUCCACUAAAUUUCUUCAUGCCGUAAGCUGUUCCAAACUAUCGUCCAUUUCAUGGAUCGAUGAUGUCUUAUCCAUCUUAAACACCUCCUUAUUUUCCUACUCCAACAGGUAAUGAAACUGAUUCGAAUCUUGGAGCAACUGAUUUUCCCGAGUUUUCUACCCAAAUGGCUCUUGGUGGUAUUAGGGUAUUCAUGAAGCCAUUCCAGAUGCAAAGGAUUCAACUCCUUCUCGUCGGAGAAGUCCCAAAUGGACCACUGAUCAAAAUUUGGUUCUCCUGAGUGGGUGGAUUAAAUUUGGAAGAGACAGUAUUAUUGGCAAAAACUAAAAAUGUGAGUCAACUGGGGUAAAAUUGCUGAAUAUUGUAAUGAACAUUGCUCAUUUGAUCCUCCCCGUGAUGGAGAAGCAUUCAGAAAUCACUAUAAUUAUGUGAACAAAAGCGUGAACAAAUGGGCUGGCGCUUAUGAUAACGCUAAAUGUAUGCAACAAAGCGGGUGGUUGGAGGAUGAUGUAUUGGUAAAAGCGCAUGAAUUAUAUUCAAGUGCUGGUAAAAGAAGUUUCAAAUAGGAGGAAAUACUUAUUCUGGAAGCAGUGGAUCUAAAAGAGCCCACGAGAGUGAUGCUAGUGACUCAAACUCUGUAGGAUCUAGUGCUCGUCCAAUGGAAAGAGAUGCUGCUAAGAAAAAGCUAAAAAAAAAGGUAAAGGCGCAGCGUUGAAAGUGGUCAACGAAGAGUCGAACGAAUUUUAACAAUUCAAGGCACAAGAGUUGGAUAGGUUGGAGAAAAUAACUAUGAUGCACAGUGAAACAAACCAAUUGAUUAAGGAAAAGACUCAUGCUAAAAAGAUGAAGAUGUUUAUAGAGCUAACUGAAAAAGAGAAUCUCGAUGACAAGAGCAAAAAGCUAUUGCAACAAUUGAGCCACGAUCUAUUUGGAAAUUAAUUAUUGUCAAGUGGUUAUCUGUAUUUUGUCACUUCAUGCUUUAACGUGUGUUUGUCACUUUCUCCUUUAAUAAUUUGUAUUGUCAUGUUAUGCUUUAAUAAUGUGUGUUUGUCACUUUCUCCGUAAUUUGUAUUGUCUUCUAUGCUUUUUUUUUUUGUGCGAAAUAUUGUCUUAUAUGCUUUAUUAAUAUUAUCCAUGAUUUUAAAUAGAGAAUCUUAUCUUAUCCAUGACUUUUGGUUUGAAGCACUCAAUUCGAAUCCAAGGCACCAACAAUUUAAUUCGUUGUUUCCAUUUUUUUUAUAAAUUAGAACUCAUUCUUCCAUUGAUGUACAAACCAUAAAUCUUACCUUACUAAAAAUCUCAAUGGAUCCAUCAGAAUAUCCUUUUGACAUCAAAGCUUACAAGAGGCAGUCUGAAAUUGAAGAGAUGUAUAUCAUCAAUCGGUUUAGGGAGCGUCGAAACAAAAUAGGGGAAGACUAUCCACCUCGUAGCAAGAGAAAAUACUUUAAAAGAGACCAUGCAUCAGCAAAAUUAAAGAAUAUUGACGACUACUUUGCCAAUGAACCUAUAUAUGACGAUGCAAUGUUUCGUCGGUGAUUCCGGAUGAGAAAACAUAUUUUCUUUCGGAUCGUUGAAGACUUAUCAAACAGCGACAACUAUUUCACCCAACGAUAUGACGCAGCCAAGAAAGAAGGUAUAUCUCCAUUACCAAAAUAUACUACGACCAUGCGAAUGUUUGCAUAUGGUGUGGCAGCUGACGCGGUGGAUGAAUACAGUAAAAUUGGAGGUACUACUACUUUAGAGUGCUUGCGAAGAUUCUGUAAAGGAAUCAUAAAGCUGUAUGAGACAGAGUAUCUCAGAGCCCCAACUCAAGAUGACCUCCAAAGAAUUUUACGUGUUAGUGAGAUGCGAGGGUUUCCCGGGAUUAUUGGGAGUAUUAAUUGCAUGCAGUGGGAAUGGAAAACUUGUCCUACAGUGUGGGAAGGUCAAUUUACUCGAGGAGAUAAGGGAACCACCACUGUUAUUUCUGAAGCAGUUGCAUCUCAUGAUCUAUGGAUCUGGCAUGUUUUUUUGGAUGUCCGGGCACACUAAACGAUAUAAAUAUCCGUUCACCGGUGUUCGAUGAUGUUGAACAAGGAAAUACUACAAGAGUGAAUUUUUUUGUGAGCCAACAUCCGUAUAAUAUCGCUUACUAUCUAGCUGAUGGUAUUUAUCCUUCUUAUCCUACUUUCGUCAAAUCGAUUAGGCUACCUCAAAGUGAACCAGACAAGUUAUUUGUACAACGUCAAGAGGCGUGUCAUAAGGACAUCGAACGUGCAUUUGGAGUGCUGCAAGCUCGAUUUAAAAUCAUUCGUAAACCAGCUGGCCUGUGGGACAUAUUCGAGUUGGCUAUCAUCAUGAGAUCGUGUAUCAUAUUGCAUAAUAUGAUUGUUGAGGAUGAACGAGAGACAUAUGCUCAACACUGGACGGAUUAUGAUCAAUUUGAGGCAAGUGGGUCGAGUACACAACAACCAUUCUCGACCCAAGUGCUACUCCUAUUUGCAAAUCAUGUGCGUGAUAGAUCCAAAUUGCGUGAUUCAAAUGUACAUCACGAAUUGCAAGCAUAUCUAGUCAAACACAUAUGGGCACAAUUUAGAAUGUUCUUGUUGUCUGCUUAUUGUAUUUUUGUAUUUUAAAUUUGUGUUCAUUGUAUGUGUUUUAGUAAUAAUAAUUUUUUCUUCUCGUUUUAAUUAUUUGUAAAAGUUUUUAAAAAUAUUAUAUAAAAUAAAAACAAAUAUAAACACAACAAUACUUUAUAAAACUAUUUAAUGUUUAAUUCUUUUAAAUUUAAUUUGAUAUUAACGAUGGUUAAUAAUAUGUAAUCACAAAAAACAUAAACAUAAAUAAAAUGAAAAAUAUGGAAUAAAAAUGGUGGGGUAAGAUGUUGUAAUUUUACUAAACAAAAACUAUUGUAAAGAUAAAAAUUGGGUAGGUGUUGAAUAAUGAUGUGGAAGAAAGAGAAGAUGAUGUGGAGUGUUAAAAGUAAAAAAGUGGGUGUUGUAAAUGAGUAACCAUUGUGGAUAGUCUAAGGAUAAAAAUUGUAUAGGUGUUGAAUAAUGAUGUGGAAGAAAGAGGAGAUGAUGUGGAGUGUUAAAAGUAAAAAAGUGGGUGUUGUAAAUUAGUAACCAUUGUGGAUAGUCUUACAAUGGACACGUUGAAAAAAAUAUUUGAAUAUGGUGCAAUGGUUGUUUUAAUAAAUGUUGUAGAGGAUGUGGCAAAUUUGGUGAGUAGGGAAAAAUAUCGUUUAAUAUUCCAACUUUCAAAUUAUGGCCAUUUUAUACCUCAACUUUAUAUGUGACCAUUUUAAAUAUGAAGAUAUCGUUGACCAACCGUUUAAACCAUAAACAUUAGUUGACCAGGCUAAAAAAACUAACCGUUAUCACUCGUUAACAGAUUAUCUAACGUCCGUUAACAUCUCCAUUAGCUACCCCUAAACGACGUCGUUUUCAUAUUUUAAAAAUAAAUAACGAACGUAGGAUUCAAACUUGUAACCUAGAGAAAAACUAGAGACUUACUUAACACCCUCACCAACAGUAUUUUAUUGGUGAACUUUGAGAAACAUAUAUUUAUUAAAGUUUUCUCCUUCAACUUUAACCUACAAAACAAAACCAUCUCCAUAGCCGCCGCCUCCAAAUCCGUGUUCUCUCUCCAUUGAUUUUUUUAAUCUUAAUCAUAUAUUGUUUUUUGUUGAUUGAAAAAAAUUUGUAUUUGCUAAUUCAAUUCAUCUGGAACCUAUUUCUAUGAACACCAUUGAUGGAUUAGUCAAUUGAUAUGAAAUCAGUUACACAAACAGCACUAGUUCUUCGUCGUCUCACAUGCACCUUCGUUGUCUCACGUACACCUUGUGUAUAUGAUCUGUGAUUGCUCUUAAGCGGAUCUGAUGUAUUUAACGGCAUAAUAUAUAAUUAUGUGUUUCCGAAUAAUAAUUAUUAAACACUUUAUCUUAGUUGGUGUGGACAAGCAUAGGGAGCACUCGAAAGUUACGGGUUCGAAUCUUGAGUAAGUUAUUUCUUUUUAAAAUAUAAAAAUGACGUCGUUUAAGGGUAGCUAAUAGAUGUUAACGGACGUUAGAUAAUCUGUUAACGACUGAUAACAGAUAGUUUAUUUGGCCUGGUUAACGAAUGUUUAUGGUUUAAACGGUUGGUUAACGAUAUCUUCAUGUUUAAAAUGGCCACAUAUAAAAUUGUGGUAUAAAAUGGCCAUAAUUUGAAAGUUGGAGUAUUAAACGACAUUUUUCCUGUUGUAAUUUGUCAACACCGUGAAUUUUACUGGGUGGGGUUAUCUUUGUCUUGUGUUGUGUUUUCAUUGGUCACUAAAAUUUGACUUUUUCGUCCAAUAAUUUUUGAACUCAAUUAAAUUAUAAUAAACUUUUUUUUUUGUCAUCUGAUAAUUUAUUAAAGAAAAAAAUAAUAAAGUACAUAGUUAGAUCCAAAAGCCAAGUAGAACAGAAAGAGAAACAAAAUAAAAGAGAAACAACGAGAGAUACAAAAUGAAAUUUAAACUUUACUCUCCUCAAACACUUGAUUGUGAAACCAUGAAGGCUCUCCAAGUGCUAUGUAAGACUGAAACCUUCUUUCUUGAAUCACACUUCGAGAAAUGGAUCGCGCGAUCAGAUUUGCGUUUGUGGCAAUAUGACGGAAUGUACAAGAUUCAAAUGCACCAGCAAUCUCAUGGAUUUGUGCUAACCAAUUCCUGUAGAAAGGCCAUUUGGACGGCUGCAAAACGGCGUUAACUGCGGCUGGAUAUUCCAACUCUAUUAUCACCUUGGAGACGUGAAUAUCUUGAAAUGCUUUCAACGACCGUAGAAUGCAGCACAGCUCAGCCCCUGUUCGAUCUUGAAUUGGCGUAAACGCAUCUCGUGCAUGGUGUUUAGCUUGCCCUAUAUCUCUUACAAUUCAAGCUCCUCCACACAUCGAUUGUUUAUUUAUCCAAAAAGAAUUCAAAAUGCAUUUAAGAAUACCUUCUUGGGGUUUCCUCCAUUUGUUUCCAUCCAAAUUGGAGGUGAUUGCCGAGAGAAUACUGUUGAAGGCUACGUGUUCACCAUUUUCCAAUGCAUUGUGUCUUCAUACGCUUUUUGAACUAAAACAUGAAAAUUCCAUACCUUUACUUUGAAAACGGUAUGAUUACGAUUCUUCCAAAUUGCCCAUAGAACCCAUGGAAUUGAUAGUCGAGUUUGCUUUGGUAUGUGCUUGUCUUCGAUAACAUUCAAUAGAUGAGAGAAGUUUGCUAGUAAGGUUGUUGAAGAAAAACCUUGAUCCGAAGCUUGCACAAAAUGCUGAGAUUAAUAUGCUUAAAAGGAGAAUAUGGAAUCUAAAAUCUGAGCCACAAAUCAAGCUUUUCUGUUGGCGUGCUCUUUCUGGUGCUUUGGCUGUGGCAGAACGUUUAAGCUCACAGGGAAUACAACAUGACACAAAGUGCCAAAUUUGUGGUAUAGCUACAAAAACAAUAUGUCAUACUCUAUUCUCUUGUGACGUAUAGAAUAAGAAAAUGAUGAAUUUUGGUGUAAAUUAUUUAUGUAUCUAAUAGUAGUUAUUAAAAAAACCAUUGUAGUAUAUGAAAGUAAACUGAAUGUUGAAUGAUGAUGUGUAAGAGAGAGAAGAUGAUGUGUAGGUUGUUGUAAUUUUAAACCAAUGUAAAUAGUCUAAUAAAAAAAUAUUUGGGUUCACCCCACUCUUGUUCACCCUCUCUUAAUAAGCCAAUCAAAAUACAACAAAAUGCCAUGUCGUUUAAUAUUUAACAAUUAAAAUAUUUGGGUUCACCUCUAGGGUGGUUAAAGUUUAGAUUUUAUAAAUAAUUGAAAAUAUAUUUUGGUUGAGUUUAUAAAAUAGUGGUUAGAGUUUAAAUUUUAUAAAUAAACAAAAUUAUAUUUCGGUUUGGAUUGAUAAAAUAGUGGUUAGGUUUAGAUUUUGUAAUUAAACGAAAUUAUAUUUCGGUUUGGGUUGAUAAAAUAGUGAUUAGGUGUUAGAUUUUGUGAUUAAACUAAAUUAUAUUUUGGUUUUGGUUGAUAAAAUAGUGGUUAAAGUUUAGAUUUUGUGAUUAAACGAAAUUAUAUUUUAGUUUGGGCUGAUAAAAUAGUGGCUAGACUUUAGAUUUUGUAAUUUAAUUAAUUUAUUUUUUCAAUAUAUGAUAUGUCAAAUUCUAAUUGGUCAUUAAAAAAUGGUGAACCCAAGAAUUGUUCUUGUAAUAAUUAAACUUCUUAGAACAACAAAAAUUUACAAUAAAUUUAUAAAAGGAACAAUUAAAAAAAAAAAAAGGAGCAAAAAGCAUGAUAAAAGCUGAGAGAGGAAACUUAAAAAGCACACUUGUUUCCAAAACUAAAUAGGGUCAGUCCCAAAAUUGGAUUUGUAUAGUAACAAAUGAAUAACGGAAAAGAGAGUUUCAAGAUCUACGAACAACAGCAGUAGCGAAAUAAGGAUGAUGGGUGAACUCAAACGAUACCUUAAGCGAACGGUCUUGACAGAAAAGGUUCACAGCAACAAUAUUGCGUUCCGCGACUUUCUCUAAUCCCGUGACUUCAGCCAGCUUAUCAGGAUCGUUGGCGUAACCGACCUUUAUGUCCUUAGCGAUCUUUUGAGCAUCGUGAAAGUACUCAUACAUAGGAAGAUACUGCAGCAAAAGUAAAUAGAUACAACUUUACUUGCAUGUUCAAAACUCUUUCUAAUCGAACAUAGUAGAUUUAUACGUGUACACAUUCAUCACUAAAACAUUGUAAACAUUACCUAUGUUAUUAUUUGCUCAAUGAAGAUUGGGAUCUCAAUUUUCAUGUGUUUAUAUUUAUUAAUCAAGUUAUUGCUUUUAAGCAAAUAGUUAACUAAUAAAUCCUACAUAGAUAUAUUUUAAAUAAACUGUGAAUCCUAAAUUUUUCCGUAUUUUCCGAAUUACCUGAACCGAACUCAAGAUUUUGCGAUUUAUGGUAUUAAAGCAGAUAGUGAUUGUAGGUACCCGGACUACCUUUACAGUACUCGAUUCCCUAUCACCCAACCAAUUUUUUUAAGUGUAUGCUUCGGGUAGUAGAUUUAGAUAUACCUGAAAUAACCAUAUCCAACCCUUACCAGCUAUUACCUGACUCUAUACCCUAAAUGCACAUGCCUACUUCUACAAUUCAUUUGACCAAGUAAACAGGAUUAAGCACAAAAACAAAGUUGAAUAAAGCACACUUACGUCGAGACGAGCAUGGGAUGUGGAUUUUGAGAACGAUUCAUAUGCGUCAUAUUCUGGAAGGGAUGCCUUCUGAAGGAGUUCAAAAUGCUGUAUAAAUUUCUGCAUGUCAAGGAAAAUGGGUAGUUGAAGUCAUACACAGGAAGGGAUAAAACCACUCACCCAUUACUAAGGCUGAGGAUUUUUAUCUUACACAUUAAUUCAAUAACUAUGCAACAGAUAAAGAGACUUAUGCUUACCUCAUUUUCGGUAUUAAAAGGUCCUUGACUCUUUAAAGACAUUCCUUCAUUUCUCAAAGCUGCAAUCAUCUACGGGUAAAUACACAAGGUUUGGUCAGGUUUAGAGUACUUGAUAUCAGCAAUAGAAGGAGCUGGAAACCAAGAGAUUGAAGACAAAAUUACCACUGUGAGGCCUUGUGCAAGACAGGUCUGACAUUUGAGAAACAAUACCCAUAGACUAAUCCGAUCUUCCCGAGCCAUGUCCCUAGAAUACUCCUUAUUCCUCUUUGCUUUUCUUUCCUCUGAUCCAGAUGAAGGUAAAUGCAUUAUAAAAAGCUACAAAUACACACUAUGCAGUUAUGCCAAACCAAUUACUGUACAGAUGGUUCAUCUCCGAAACACUAGGACACAAAAUAAAAACAAAUGGAUAUAUGAAUGCUUACCAGUGUUCACAACGAUUAAGACCCUGAAACGUGCUCUUUCGGCAAGCUUCCAGAGUAUAAUAUACAUGUACCAGUAUACCAUGCAAUAUUCACUUGGCGAGUAGAGGUCUAGGUCAAAUCCCAGCAUGAGAAAGCGAAUUGCCACCCAAUUAAUUUGCUCUUCUAAUCCACCAUAUAUAUGGUUUAAAAUGAGUAGAGACUUAUCCUGAAAGGUACAUAAAUGCAAGUUAACACAAAAUUCAAUAUCUGCUUAUCAAUAGAGCCAAAAUUUUCCGAAAGAGAAAACAGAAGUUGUAGGAAUUUUGACUACUGGUUUGUUCAUGCUAACAAUGAAUAGACAGCCGUCAACUAGAUUCAGAUAGAGGUUUGAUUAAAUGGACCCAUAGUGAUGGUAGUAAACCUACCCCAUUUUUCGAACUGCGUGAUGUAUCUUGCUGCAUCAUUUGACCAACAGCAAUCCCCAUCUGCCAAAUACAGGAAAAUGUAUGAAUGAGAUCUUGACACAAAAACCCAAAUCAAUAUGCAAACAAUUUUAGGGUAAGCGAGCUUACAUAUAGUUAAGUAAAGAAUAAUACAGUUCCAACAAAGGCACAAAUGGUAUAACCUGCACAUGGAAUACGCUCCAGUCAUUUAAGAUUUUCCCAAGCUUACGCCUCUGCCAUGGGGUAUUAGCGCAUAGUAUUUUAAGUAGAUUAACCAUCAACUGCACCACAAAAUGAGAAUAGAGAUCAAACAGAGAUUUCUAAGAAAGGAGCCAGUUGAAUAAUUAUCUAACUUUUUCAGGAUCCAGAGGCUACCAAAACCACAAAACAUAGACAAGGCAUUCUCAUCAAAGUCCCCAUUAAAACAAAUAAUUUUUUGUUGUUUCAAUCUUCUUGAUGAUUGCAAAUUAGUUACAUCCACACAUGCUGAAAUUCUCUGAGAUUGGGGCUUAUACGCCAGACACCGAAUAUUGAACAAAACCAAUGAAAGAUUAUUCUUUUCAAGGUUUUACCAAGUUCCAAACUCUUUUCAAGGAAGAAUAAAGAGCUACCUCAUACACGUUUGUAGAAAAAAAUGUACCCAACGUAUUCUUUUAAUAUACUGUGUUUACCUGAUUAAGUUGAAGAAUGUACUCAUUCGUAUGGAGGCCAUGGUUCUUGGAGACAUCUAAUGCAAGAGAUCUGGCGCAAAUUGUCAAAAAGGUAUCACGGCCGUAAAGUUUCCCAUCUUGCACAAGGAGAAGCUGUAGAACAAGAUUAUUUAUUGAGUAUAAAAGGUAAAAGCAUUUUGCUAGCUUAAUACAUAAUUUAUUCACAAAUAUUGCUAAUAUCAUAACAAAAAUGGACAACCAUAUCAAUGCUUAACAGAAAUUUACAAUCAGAAUCAACCUCAACUACAAAUAUUGGAUCUAUAUUCUUAUAAGUCUUCAUAAGAAAGAAAAAUGAGAGUGUCAGCCACUACAUAUUCCAGUGUCAUCAUAAAUAAUAUCUAGAUAACAAUAAUAGUAAAGAGUCAACAAGAAGAAUAAGCAGAGCAUUCAACAGGCCUGUUGGCGAAAUGGGGCUUGAGGUGGUUCACGAGAGUUGGAUAUUCUCUAGUCCAUUGGUUCUAAGUUUAUGCAACUGUUCUUACAGAAAUAAAGGAGAUUUCUACUAUAGUCAUAUGGCUGAAUCACUCAACUCUAAGUGACAAUGAAUUGAAAAUGAGUGCUAAUGAACACAAAACUGCAAAGCAAGGAAGCGGGUAAAAGAAGAAGCCAUAUUAUCCACUAUACAAACACACCCUAGUGGAUGUAUGCGAACAUCAGUGCAACUACAGCCAAAAUAGUUACUCAAAACAAGAAAACAAAAUGAUAAAUGGGUAUCUGAAAGCACAGAGCUGCAUGAUAUUGAUGCGUUAAGUUAAAGUAACGCACCUGAAGAUGAGCCCUAGCAACCAAAUCAGGACGAGAUUUUUGAAACUGAAUCACAAACUCCAAGACGGCCUCUAAAUCUGGUUCCAAUGAAAAUGCACAGAUCUUAUCCAGAUUGUGAAGAAGUUUCACAUAAUAGUCAAUAGCCUGGAGAAUCAAAAAUUGAAAAAAGUUACUAAAAAGUUAUAUACACACAAACUAAAUUACGUAUACAGAGAAUUUAGAAGUCCCAACCUUUUUCCAAGAAAGAAGUUUAAUGGCACGUGGCGGCGUUGGAGCUGAUAAUCUUUUGUUUAAAGUAGGAUCAAAUCCAAUGGGGGACCGACCAGAAGCAGUUGUACUUUCUUCUAUCUCGUUUACGCCAUUCUCGAAAAUAUCUAAUCUUAGAAAUUCUGCUGAAUCCAGAACAGAAUCUAGCUCUGAUAUGCAAUAGCCUAUAUGUUUCCUUGCCAAUUCGAGGCCACGUCCUUGUGGUCGUCUCAUACAAUUAAGAGCAUGUAGAAAAUGCUGAAAGUUAUUGAGGAUAUGUUAAAACAACUAGCAGUGCAAAAGUAUAUAACAGCUACUAUUUUUUUUUUUAAAAUGGCUUACGAAACAAAAUAAUAAUAACAUCAUGAAUCACAUGUCUGGCGAGAAUUUUUAACCAAAAAUAAGGGUAAACAGGUAAUAAAAGCUGCCAUAUACUCAAAAUUUAGUCUCUGCUAAGCUUGUUCAUUCUUGUAAGUUGCAUAACAUGGAAAAUUUAACACAAUAAAACAUAUAUUAACUUUGUCUACCACUCCCCAUUGUGAGGUUAGGUUGAAGAAAAGCAACUCAUCAUACUCUUGUUACGUGUAGUUUAUCAAAGAAAGAAUAAAUAAAGCAUGAGACCUUACGGAACACUGGAUAAAAGACCAAAUGCAAAUUUUAAGUACUAAUUGUAGUUUUUCUUUUUCAAAGCAAGCAAUAAAAAAUUCUAUUCAUCGAUGGCCACCAGAAUACUAAUAAAAGGAACAGACUUGGGACUAUAUUAUACACUAGUUAACAUGACUUAAGUUGGGAAAACCUGUAAUUAACAACAUUUAUCAAAGAAAGAAUAAAUAAAGCAUGAGACCUUACGGAAACGUAUCCGGCAUAACAGAGAUUUGCAAAAACUCUCUUCCAGAUGGGGAUUACUUUGUAGAGGUUCCAAUUCUGCAUCUUUAACAAACAAAAGGAAAGAAAGUUAUUGUUCUCAGUUCGUGCUGCUGUGCACCAUUGUUACAAAUAAACAAUAGACCAUAUCACUCAAAGAGAUGGUAAAUUUUUAAAAAGAAAAAAUCAAUUGUAAUAAUCAGCGGACUUCACAUAUAAAUCAUUACUCAAUAGAAGACUCAAAGUUAUCGUAUAUAGGCCAGAGAGGCUAAUUUCAAGUUGGUAUAUGCUUAGAGAGCACUUGCAAAAUAUCUAAUUCCAAUGCAUUAUACUGUCUCCAAAUCACAAAUCACCAUUAAAUGUGUAAACAACAUAUCAUAAGAAAAGAAGCAACAGAAGACUCUUCGAUCCCCUCAUAUGAAUACGCUCUUCAUAUUUCAAUUCUGCAAGUGUGUGUAUGUAAAAUAAAAAAGGAAGAUAUGCAAAGCAAAAAAAGUACCUUCCAACAUUCUCCUUCUUGUGGCCUUACAAGCACGCAGCUGACGACAGAUAGUUUCUUCAACCGCAUUCAAGAGUAACAAGCCCUUGGCAUCUUCUUCUCCACUAAAAGGAAGACCAUAUGUCAUCGUAAAAAGAUCCUCUUCCUGUUAAUGAGCAGGUAUCAGGUGAAUCAUUCAGAGUAAACUAUCCAUGAAGCAGGGGCAUCUGUCUAGUUAAGAGAAACUUCUAUCCAAAAUAUCACAACAAAUCUUCUCAAGUAUUUUAUCUUCAUUUAGCUGCAUAAUGGUGGAAAUUUCUACAGAAAUAAGUUAUACGCUCUGCUAAUCAUCUCAAGAUUAAAUAACAACUGCUUAGGCUAGAUGAGAACGGAUGCCAAGACUUCAUUAGAAGAGUAAAGUCAAGUGAAUCCAGUUUUCGUCUCUGAUGUCAUAAGCUUAAGGUUAAUGACAACUAUGAAAUGUCAAAAUGGGUUAGCAACUGUUUUUCUUUACGCCAUAAAAGAAUGUUGGACAUAGCAAAAGAUUUUAGGAGCAAACAUUGAACACAAACUAAACCUUUAAUGAAAAGCCAAAAAACAUACAGAAACAUUUGCUUAGCCCCACAAGAAUAAAAGAGGACCAAAAAUUGUAAAAGUUAAUUACUUCAUUUGUACGCGCAUCUGAAACAACAGAAACAACUGCCCUGCAAGUUGCUCGGAUGACCCUACAAUAAGAAUGUAAUAGAGCCUGUGAAGAUGUCCUCUCAGGCCUCAGAACAUAGAUGCAUGAAAACACAGUUUGGGCCAAUGAAUGACCCAUGUGCCAUGUUGCCUGCAAAAGAGUAGAGACACAAAAUGUGGAUAAAUCAACUCCAAGGCUGACAUGUUAGCUACAUACAUAUCUCUUUAUCACAAUUAUACCUUGCAAACUCACACAGUAUUAUAUGAGCACAUGUAAAGAAGAGAUUACCUCACACGCCAGGAGAUGGUCCAUAAUGUCAAUGAUGGAUUGCACAUUAACAGUACUAUCCGAACUUAUAGGGACGGGCGCAAAACCACUUUCGAUGGCUUCAUCUAUAGAAUAAAACGUAGACACCAUACCAGAAUCCAUCUUUGGGUCCAUUAUCUAGUACAAAGCAAGGACACCACACCAUGUUUGUUAUACACACUUAUAGCAACCUCACAAUCUAAGUUUACAGCUAAGAACAGUCCAAACAUAUUUUGUUACAAAAUAGAAACCUCUAAAGCAGACAUGGCAGCAAAAAGAUUGAAAUUAUCUCCAUUUAUGAGUUCACCUUCUUGAAGAUCUGCAAACAGAACGACUCAUGAAACUAAAACAAGUGGGGAAUACAAGCAAAAUAGGCAAUUGCGAUCAGUACCAGAGCAGGCGGCGGAGAGGAGAGGUGAUACAUCGGCCCAGACGGAGUUAUUAUCACCGGAAGGGAUAGAAGAAGAGGUUUUAGAGUCGUGAUGAAUCGGAGAAGACGAAUCUUCAUCUUCCCUAACUGAUUGCAUCGUUUGUUGUUGUUGUUGCUCAGGAAACUUGAAAAUCGCUUUAAUCUCUCGUAAUUGGUUUUUUUUGCUACUUAUGGUAUAAGUUUCGUCUUGCUCGAUGGAACACUUUGCCUGGGCUGUUUAGGGUAAUUUUCGGGUCGGAUCCUCAGCGGAUACCCAACCCCCAAUCACCCGAGCCUCCUGCCGUCUUUUUUUUAUAAAUCAACCUUUAAAACCAACAAAAAGAUUUUCAAAAUUUUAAAUCUAUAGUUUUAUGGGUGAAUUUGCGGUAUAAUCAAAAUCUAAUGUAAAAUAAAAAAUAUAAAAUCUUAUUGAAAAAUAUUAAGAAAGUAAUUAGAUUAGUGAAAAGAUAAAAUUGUAUAGUGAAAGACACGCACAAUAAAAAAAAAGAAGAGGUUUUGAAUGUUUUGUAGAUUUUGUAAGAGUUUUUGGUUUUUGUUUUUUAAAAACUUAUUUUUAUACCAAUUAAGAUUUUAAAAUUUUGGUUUCCCUACAAUUUAGUAAAUUUAUUUUAUUGUAGUUUUCCAUUCAUGAUUUUAGUUUUUUAGUUUUCCUAAAAUUUAGGAAAUCUAGUUUUUAUUCAAUCAACGUUAUUUUUCUCAAAAACCAAAAACCGAUUUUUUGGGGUUUUUAAAACAAAAAUAUAAUAACAAAAAUCUAAAACUAAAAUCUAAAAUCUAUAAACUAAAAUCUAAACUCAAAAACUGAAUCAAAAAUCAGCAUCCAUUCAGAGCUAGAGUAUAUGAUGAUAUAUGUAAAAAAGUAGAGAGAAUAAUAAAGAGGAAUUGCAAAACUAACACAUUUUUACUAAAAUAUUAAGAAUAUAACAUUAUAUAUGUAUCAGUUAACUAACUAACCUAAAUGGUAGAUUAAAUGAUCAUAGGUGGUGGUUUGGAUCCGGCGACGGCGGUGGCUCCGGCGGCGGCGGUGGCUCCGGCGACGGCAGUGGCUCCGGCGACGGCGGUGGCUCCGGCGACGGCGGUGGCUCCAGGGACAGCGAUGGCUCCGGUGACAGUUCUGGUGGUGGCUCCGGCGAUAGCGGUGGCUUCGGCGAUAAUUCCGACAAUAACAGUGUCUCCAGCGAUAGUUCCGGCGGUGGUUCCAGGGACGGUGGAGGCUCCGGUGACAAUGGGAACACCGACGAUGGGGUGGUUGCUCUGGUGAUGUCAUUCGUUCUCGUAACGGGGGUAGCUCCGACGGCGACGGUGGUGUUGAUGACGGUGGCUGUGGCGGCGGUAGUGGGUGUAGUGAUGAUUGUUGUGGUGGUGGUUAAUGGUGAUUAUUGUGAUGGCGAAAUUAUAAUAUAAUAUAUUAUACAGUUAUUAUAGUGUAAAUUUUUUCUAAUAGGCUAGUUUCUUAAUUUGUAAUUUUUUUUAAGUUAUACAUGCAAAUUCCCAAAAUACUAAUGACAUGGCUAAAUUAAUAUCACCCCAAAUAAUUUUGCUUGUUGAUUUAGUCUUAUAAAUUUUGCAAUAAUUUUAUAAGAACAUAGAUUUUUUUGAGUAUAACAUGAUUUAAAUUUUUAAAAUCUAAUACAAAUUAUUUAAAUUAGGGAACAAUGUUUGUCUAAACCACACAAAUAAAAUAGUAUAGAACAAAACGUAGAUAAUUCAAAAGGCCGAGUUAAACCGCUCUAAUAAAAAAAAUACUAUCCCUAUGAGAUACAAUAUUGGCAAUCCAAGUAACUAAGGUAAACUAUAGCGGUGAGCCGGUGACGUUGACGAUGGUAAUAGUGGUGGUGGCAACGAUGAUGGUAGUGGUGGCAGUGGCACUAAAAAUGACAUUGAUGGUGGUAAUAUUAAUUGUUAGUGGUGACAUGAUGAUGGUAGCGGCAAUGACGGUAGUGGCGGUGGGAUGGUAGUGUAGUAAUAAUUGUUACUUGUUAGUAAUGGUAAUUAUAAACUAGUUUUUUAUUUUAUUUUAUUUUAAUAUAAAAAUAUAUAUAGAAGAUGAGAUUACUAGCUAGAGAGAAAGGGAGAAAGAAAAAUCCACAUGUAUUGAUAAAUAAAUAACCAGAGCAAAAUACUAAUAAUUUACAAACUCCCAAAUAUUGUGUUAUAAAUAGGUUUAGUGUUUUCAAUGGGUUGCAAAUAAAAGAGUCAAAUAGGUAGAAGAGACCUUUGGGGAAACUAUAAAAUUUAGCAUUCGUGGUAGAUGAAGAAGGGAGAAUCUAAUGAAAGAAUCAGCAUGAAAUGCAACAGAGGAGGGGAAAAAAGAAGGUGUAUGUAGUGUAGAGGGCAAAGUUAUCAUUAAUACAAAAAAUACAUAAUAUAUCAACCUUUUUUUUGUUUGAUGUUAGUUUUUUAAUUUAUAAUUUUUUGUUGGUUAUUUAUGCAAAUUUCCCUAGUUUUAUUUAAUCACCAUCUUAUUAUAUAAAGUACCAUUUUGAAAGUUACUAACUCACAUAAUGGUGUCACGUGUCAAGUCUAAUAAUCAGAUAUUUACAUAUGUCAUUAAAGAUUUACCUUUUUAUUCUCUUAUAAAAAUAAAAAAACCUAAAAAAGUAAACAAAUUUACAUAUACUAAUUUUUAUAUCUAUAUAUAUGUAUAUAAUAUUUUGAUUAACCAAUAGGAAAAUUAACAAAAAAAAAUUUUGGUAGGGUGAGGGGGACCAACCCUUCAUUUAUUAUAGAAAAAAAAAUAGAAAAUUACAUACGAACAUUAACAAAUUUGCUUUUACAUGUGAUAUUGGUCAAUUAAAUAAAUCUAGCAUGCAUUAACUAAUUAAAAAGACCAUCGAAAUAUUGAUUUUUCCCGCCUAAAAUAUUACAAAAAUAAAUUUCCCGCAAAAAACAUUUCAAAAAAAAAGUCCGCCCAAAGUUUUUUUCCAAAAAUAUUUUUCCUACAAAAACCUUUUUGGCGGGAAAAAGAUUUACAAUGGGUUUUAAAAGAUUUUUAAAGGCUUUACAAGAGUUUUAAAUGAUUUACAAGUGUUUUUGAAAGAUUUUUAUAUGGUUAACAAGGGUUUUAAAGGAUUUUAAAAAAGAUUUAAAACCCUUUAAAAACUUUUGUAAAUCUUUUUAAAAUAUUUUGUAAGGGUUCAAAAGAUUUUUAAAAUGGUUCAAAAUUAUGAAAGGGUUUACAAGGGUUUUUGAAAAGAUUUUUAAAUGGUUUACAAGGGUUUUAAAGGAUUUACAAGGUGUUUUAAAAGAUUUUUAAAAGAUUUACAAGGGUUUUAAAAUCCGUUAAAAACACUUGUAAAUCUUUUUAAACCCUUUUAUAAGGGUUCAUAAGAGUUUUAAAAUGGUUCAGAAAGAGUUACAAAUGUUUUAAAAUAAUUACAAAUUAUUUUAAAUCUUUAACAAAAUGAUUUAAAGACUUUAUAAGAGGUUUAAAAAGAUUUUAAAAAGAUUUACAAAGGUUUUAAAAAUCCUUGUAAAUUGUUUGAAAACCAUUGUAAAAGGUUUUAAAAUGAUUUAAAAAAGGGUUUAAAAGGGGUUUAAAAGUAUUAACAUAUGUAUUUAAAGACUUUAUAAAGAUUUUAAUAGGUUUAAAAAUGAUUCACAAGAGUUUUUUUAACAACUUUACAGAGCUUUUUAAAAACUUUACAAGGUUUUCUUAAGAGUUUUUAAAGGGUUCUUAAAAAUUUUACAAGGAUUUUUAAAUUCUUUUUUUUGUAGGGAAACAAUUUUGAGGAGAAUAUUUUUUUUGGCAAGGAAAAAGUUUACAAGGAUUUUUGACGAGAAUAUCUUUUUGGCGGGGAAAAUAAAUUUUGGUGCAAAACAUUUUUGGCGGAAAAAUUUCAGUUUCUAAUUAUAUGUUCUUACUAGAUUUUAACCCGCGGUGUACCGCGGGACUAUUUAUUUUAUUAAAAAUAACUAAAAAUAUAUUAUUUUAUAAAUUAUCUGUAUGUAACAUAUUGUUUGUAUUUUAUAAAUAUAUAAUCCUAAUUUCUAUAUAUUGUACAAUCCCUUGAUUUUAUCAUGGAGUACACCGUAAGUCGAUUUUUAAAAUUUAAAAUUUAAAAUUAUAUAUGAUUUUUGUUAAGAUUGUUUCUUUUGUCAUAUAUUUUAAAUUAUAUCAUUGUAUUUUAAUUGUUAGUUAUAGGAUUUCACCCGUUGUAUAACGUGUCGUAUUACUAUAAACUCAAACCCGUCUUACCAUCUAAUUCCGUUCAAUGAAAUUAAACAUAUUUAAUGGAUUUCAUCCUAGGUAUAUUGUCUCAUAUUACUAUCGACCCAAACCCGUCCUACCAACUAACCCCGUUCAAUAAAAUGAAAUAUUAUUUUAUUAUUUUUGUUUUAAUAAUACUUUAAUUUGAAAUAUAUAUAAUUCAAAUCAAUUUCAAACUUUUUAUUUUAAAUGGUUAUUUAAUUGUUAUAAUUUAUAAAGUUCAUAUAUUUUAAUAUUCUAAACUCGUCAUACCAUCUAAUCCCGUUCGGUGAAAUUAAACAUUAUUUUUUAAUUUUUUUGCUUAAAUAAUAUUUUUAUUAACAGAUUUAUAAUUCAAAUAAAUUUAAAAGGUGUCGUUCAAAUAGUUAUUUGAUUUUUUAUAGAUUUCACAUCUAAAAUAUUUCUCUAUAUGUAACAUAUAGUUUUGUAUUUUAGAAAUAUUAUAAACGUUUUUUCCUUAAAUAUUAUAAACGUUUUAAAAACUUUAAAUAAUUACAAUAUUUACCUUUUAAUAAAGUAUAAUAUUAAUAAUCAUUUAAAUAAUUAUGUGUAGCUAAUUUUAAGGGAUUUGAUUUAAAGCUUGUUGUUUGGAUUAAAUUUGAAUGAAUAAUGUGAUUGAUAUAUUAAAUCAAGAAUUAAAAAUCAAAUCAAAUAAUUAAGGAAAAAAGAAUUAAUGCCAAUGGCAUGCCAUUGUAAAUAAGUGUCAAGUAGAGGAUUUAUUUGCUAAAAUAUAAUUUUAGUUUUUUAAAAAUUAACUGAAAAUAUAUUAUAUUAAUUUGUAUUUUUAAAUAUAGAUAUCAAUCUCUGUAUUAUUUAGUAUAUGAUUACUAUUAUUUAGGUUUCAAUUUUUGAAGUAUAGAUACGAAAAUACAUAUUUUUUUAAGUAACGAUGUAUGGUGAAUUUUAAAUUUUUAAUAUUUUAUCCAUAAUAUACCGUGGGUCGAUUUUUUAUAGCUAAAUUUUUAAAUUUCAAGUUAUAAUCGUUUUGUUAAUAUUGUAUGAUUUUUUGUGUUUAAGGUUGUAUAAUUGUAUUUUAAUUGUAAAUUUUAAGAUUUCAUCAAUGAUAUACCUUUCUUUAUUAAUAUCGAUCAAAACCCGUCAUCCAAUAUAAACCCGUCUAUAUUAUCUCGUUAGCUAAAUAUUAGUAUUAUAAAAUCCAAGAAAAUAAAUUAUUAUUGUUAGAAAUACAAUAAUUUUAGGAUCUCACCCGUGUUAUACUGUUUUUGAAUGAUUUUAAAUUUCUACUACUAAUAUAGAUUUUAAAUUUGUCAUAUAAAGUAUAUGAUUUUAACUUUUUGUAUUUUUUUAUUUAAAUAAAGCAACGGCUUAAAUGAUGAUAGAUAUAGUUCUUUUUUUGUAUGUGUAUAUGAUUUUUAUGUGAAUAUUUUCAUUAUUAUAAAUUAGUAUUUUUAUUGUUAUGCAAAAUGUUAAUAUAAAUAUUUUCUAUAAAUCGGAUUUAUGCAUAUUUUAUGGAGUAAAAUUCACAGAAUUUUGUUUUUGAAGAUAUAUGGAAAGAUUGUGUAGAGAUUUUUAGAAAUAAAUUAGGCAAGAUAUCGUUUGGUUAAUAUCUUUUAAAAUUUUGUAAAACUAAAUAAUAAAUGCUAGUGACAGCCGUUGUAAAUAAGUCUGAACUCCAGGAUUUAUUUCACAAAAUGGUUGCAAAAAUGUAUAUGUAGAUUAGAUGAGGAUAAUUUGUUCAUUUUGUUCAAAAAAAAAAGGGAGAUUUGCAAAACUACCAUUUUUUACUACCCUUUUGCAACAAUACCCUUUUAUAUUGUUCAUUUUUAAAAAUAUCCCUUCUCUUGAACAGAAUGACCAAAUUACCCUCAUCUAAUAAGAACAUGUAAUUGGAAACUGAAAAUUUCCCGCCAAUAUUUAUUUUUCCCGCCAAAAAAAAAUUUCCGCCAAACUUUAUUUCCCGCCAAAAUUUUUUCUCGUAAAAUUUUUUUCCCAGCCAAAAUAAUGCUUUUAAAAAUCCUUAUAAAUUUUCUUAAAACUCUUUUAAAAAACCUUGUAAAGUUUUUUAAAAGCUUUGGUAGUUGCUAAAAACCCUUGUAAAUCAUUUUAAAACCUCUUAAAAUCUUUAUAAAGUCUUUAAAAACAUAGGUAAAUACUUUAAAACACCUUUUUAAACCUUUGUAAAUCAUUUCAAAAUUUCCACAAUAGUUUUACAAGAUUUACAAUCAUUUUUUAGCAUAAGUAAGUGGCAUUGAAUGAUUUACAAGGGAUUUUAAAAGCUUAUAAAAGGGUAAAACAUGAUUUACAAUCGUUUUUAAAGCAUAAGUAAGUGGCAUAUAAUGAUUUACAAGGAUUUUUAAAAAGGGUUAGCAUGGUUUACAAUAUUUUUUUAAGCAUAAGUAAGUGGCAUUGGAAUUAUUUACAAGGGAUUUUAAAAGCUUAUAAAAGGGUAAAACAUGAUUUACAAUCGUUUUUAAAGCAUAACUAAGUGGCAUAGAAUGAUUUACAAGGAAUUUUAAAAGUGUUUGUAUGGUUUACAAUCGUUUUAAAGCAUAAGUAAAUGGCAUUGAUUGAUUUACAAGAGAUUUUAAAAGGGGUUAACAUGAUUUACAAUCGUUUUAAAGCAUAAAUAAGUGUCAAAGAAUGAUUUACAAGGGAUUUUAAAAAAGGUUUGCAUGGUUUACAAUCGUUUUUAAAGGAUAAGUAAGUGUUAUAGAAUGAUUUACAAGGAUUUUAAAAGCUUAUAAAAGGGUAAAACAUAAUUUACAAGAGUUUUUUUAAAGAGUUUUAAAAGGAUUUACAAGGAUUUUAAACCUUUGUAAAUCCUUUUAAAACUCUUAUAAAGUCUUUACAAGUAUUUUUUAACUCUUAGAAAAAGAAUUGUAAGUAUUUAAAACAUUUACAACUCUUUUAAACCAUUUUAAAACUCUUGUGAAUCUUUACAAAAGGUUUUAAAAAGACUAGAUGAAUUCCUACGCUAUGCGAGGGUUUGUUUUGAAAAUUGUUUAGAUAAAAAUAUGUUAAUUAUUUUUGUUGCUAAUUUCUGUUUAUUUUUUGUUUGUUAUUUUAUAAUUAGUAAAAUUAGACUCAUCUUAUGUACUUGCAUUUUUUAUUGUUAGGUUCAUUUUUGACUCUAAAAUAUCAAUUUCUAUAUGUUUUCAUGUAUAAUCUGAUUAUUUUUAUAACCAAGAUUCUAAAAUUUGUUUAUUAUCAUGAAUAUACACAACAAGAAUAAAAGAUGUUUUUAUUUCAAGAGUUUUCAUAUGAAAAAAAAGAAGCAAAAAUUAAAGAGUUAUUUUAGUAACACUUUUUAGAUUUAUGCUAUUGCAUAUAGCCAUAUAAGACAAAUGGAUUUGUUUUGAAUUUCGUGGUAUGUCUAACGUCUCAAAAAUCUAUUACUUGAAAAUGUUUAAUGUCAAUGUUACGAACUUACCAUAAGAUACAAAAAUAAAAAGACAGAAUUUCAUAUGAUAAGAUAUGAACCAUAACGUAAUAAUAAUAAAAAAAUCAAGGUAAAAUAAUUAAACUAAUAUUAGGUAGCAAACAACUAAAGUACAACACAAAUAACUAUUUAGUCAUUAUAGAGUGAUGACCAUUGACCAUUAAGUUUUUUUAAAAAUAUGAAAUAAUAAAGUAAAAUAAAAGUAGUAAUUGAUUUAUUUAAAUAAAUAAUUUUAUAAAUUUUUUAUUUUGAAUAAAAUUAUUUAAGAAAUGAACUAAUGGAGGAUUUAACACAAUAUGAGACUUUUGAUUUUCUCUCAAUUAAUUUUGCUGAUUUUUAAUUUAAUCAAUGUUAAUUGACACAUGUCAUUUUCUUGUGUGAUGAUGUGUCACCCAUAUGGAGAAAGUUGGCCAACUUUCAUAUAUAUGAUUUACAAGAGUUUUUAAACGGUUUCUUAUAAUUUCUUUUAAAAUCUUUUAAAAACUCUUGUACAUCUUUUAAAACCCUUUAAAAAUCCCUUGUAAAUCUUUUAAAACACUUUUAAAUCCUUUAAAAAUCUUUAAAAAACUCUUGUAAGUCUUUUAAAGCCCUUUAAAAUCCCUUGUAAAUCUUUUAAAACCCUUUUAAAAUCCCUUGUAAAUCUUUUAAACCCUUUUAAAAUCUUUUGUAAAUCUUUUAAAACCCUUUUAAAAUCCCUUGUAAAUAUAUUUCCCGCCAAAAAACAAUUGUUUACGGGAAAAAUGUUUUCGAAAUUUUUUUUUGGCGGGAAAAUUUUGGCGGGAAAUUUUAUUUUGGAAUAUUUUAGGCAAAAAAUAUUAAUAUUUCAUUUUGUUAACCUAAAUCAAUUUACAAAUAGGAAUAAAAGGGUCAUUAAAAAUUUAAAUAGGGUAUAAAUGAAAAUGGUAAAUAGAAAAGGGUAGAAUUGAAAAGGGGUAGUGUGAAAAGGGCAUUAGAAAGAAUUUUUCAUUUUUAAUUAUACUUUCUUCUAAUUUUUAGUGAUCAUUUUAACCCUAUUUGAAAAUGUUUUAGGUUAACAAAAUGAAAUAUUGAUUUUUUCCACCAAAACGGCUUUUUGCCUAAAGAAACUUUCACGCCAAAAAAUUUCCCGCCAAAUUGGUUUUUUCAAAAACAAUUUUCCCCAUAUAACAAAAAAAAUGGCGGAAAAUAUAUUUUUAAAACCUUUGUAAUUCUUUUUAAAACUCUUGUAAAACUUUUUGAAACCUUUUGUAAGGGUUCACAAGAGUUUUAAAAUAUUUCAAAUUUUUUUACAAAUGUUUUAAAAUAUUAAAACAAAACUUUUUAAGAGUUGAAAAAUGAUUUAAUAAUAAGAAUUUUAAAAGGCCUUACAAAAGUUUCUAAAAUCCUUGUAAAUCGGUUUAAAACUAUUUGAAAACUUUUGUAAAUAAUUUUAAAACCUUUUACAAUGGUUUUAAAAGAAUUAUAAGUAUCUUUAAAUAUUUAUUAAGGUUUUGAAGUAUUUACAUGUGUAUUUAAAGACUUUAUAAAGAUUUUAAAAGAUUUCAAAAUGAUUUACAAGUGUUUUUAAGAACCGUACAAAGCUUUUAAAAAACUUUACAAGGAAUUUUAAGAGUUUUUAAAGGAUGUACAAGAGUUUUCAAAAAAUAUUUUGCGGGAAAAAAACAAUUUGGUGGGAAAACUAAAUUUUGGAGCCAAAACUUUAUUUGGCGAGUAAACUAAAUUUUGGCGGACAAAUUUCAGUUUCUUAUUAAAUAUUCUAAUUAAAUGGAGGGUAAUUUGGUUAUUUUGUUCAUGAAAAAGGAUAUUUUAAAAAAUAGACAAUGGUAAAGGGUAUUUUUGCAAAAGAGCAUUGGAAAAGAGUAUUUUUACAAAUCUUCCAAAUACAUUUGGGUAUAUUUGGUACCUACCUAUUUAUUAAAUUUUAUUCAUUAAAGCUUUGAUGGAUUUUGAAACCUCUUACAUUGGAUAGUUCCAUAUUUAACAAUAUAGACUAGGUCAGUACUCGUGUUUCGCAAGGGGUUCAUGAUUUAAUUAGUUUAUAAAUUUUGUUUCUGUAUAUAUUACUAAUAUAGUUUUAUUUUUAUUCAAAAUAGAUUUUUAGAUUAUCAAUUCCCAAAACACUAUCCUGUCGUUGUAGUAUUUUAGGUUGUCAAUCCAAUCUGCUGGUGUGAUGCAAACAGAUAAGAUAUUAUUAGAAUGCACUAAGUCAAACCAAGCAGAGAGUUUUUGGUUUCUAACAGUCCUCAUAUGAAAUAAAAGAACUGAAAUAAAACUGAAAUGCAAAAUGGCAGUAACAUGCAAAUGAAUGACAAAGCAGAUAAGAUAACAGGCAAUCAAAUGGAUAAGAGAUUCCUAAGGAUGGAGUAAUCGAAUAGCGUGGUCUCCUUAAUCUAUUUAGACGGUUGACAAAACUUCACAGAAGAUAUCUCUAGAAAACAAGUUCAAUGAAAGAUUAAUUCACUACCGUGUAAGAAAUCCUAAAGUGACGUUAUCUCCAUUAGCGAUCUCUAACUAAGCAGACAAUAUCGAAUCAACUUGUUAAAGCCAAUACCCGUUCUAAACGGCCAAUACCUUGGGAUAGAGACGAAUAUCACUGGAAUUAAUAGAUCCGACAUUCCAUCGAACGCCUUCUGAGCGCGGGAAUGUCUGGAUUCAUAUUCCAGUUGAUCAUAAAGGAACAAGCAAUAAGCGCAACUAAUCUAGAAGGGAUUCCAAUAUUCUAAACUCAACCAUCUAGACGACUAAGGUUACCACAACUACUCUAUCCCAUCCUCAGAAAUACAAUUCACUACUCAGACAUAAGCAAAGACAAUAUCAUAGAAACGAAUGAAAACAUGAUAAGGGAUCGAGAAAUGACAAAAGAUAAACGAAAUGAUACUAAGACUGAAAUAUUUAAUACUUGAAAGUGAAUACAAAAUCGCAGGAGAGCGUUGCGGCUACAAAAGUUUUAGAAAAAAGGAUCAUGCCCUAGGGAAAACCCCUAGAGGCUAUUUAUAAAAGCAAGACAAGUUAAGUAAGGAAAGUCUUUGAUAGUAGUCUUCACAUCGGGAGAUUGCGAUUGGGCAUAUGAUGGGCUGAAAUGGGACUCACUGCGAUGGAGUAUGUCAUGGAUCAAACUUGGCUUCAGGGACUCCACCUUGCAAUCGUGUGGUCUGGAGUGAAGACGAGAUAAAAUUGUCCAGCGACCCUGCGAUCGAGUAGAUGUCAUGAGGUGGUGAUCGAGUGGUUUCUUCAGCUUCUCUUCUCUUCCGUAUGCUCAGUGUUGGUGUCGGAUCCCGCACCAAAAGUCCGAAGUCGUCUCAGCCUGUAAUAAGCCCAAUCGCUGACUUAAUAAUGAUUUUACAAAUAUUUUUAAAAGGGGUUUAAAACGUUAAUAAUGAUUUUACAAGGAUUUUUAAAAGGAUUAGUACCUGAGCAGUAGGAAAAGAAUGAGAAACAAAAGGAUUUGAAGUCGUCUCAACCUAUAAUUAACACAAUCACUGACUUACUAAAUCUAUAUAUAAACCAUUUUUAAAAUUAUAACACAAGAAAGUUAUUGAAAAACCUACUCCACUGUCACAGAAAUUUGCUCUACUCUGUGAGAAUUUGUGCAUAAAAGUUGCAAGUUGUCUAUCGUUUCUAAUAUAAAGAGGAUGAGAUUGUAUUGUUCUAGAAGUGGAGACUUGCUUAUAACUAAGCUUCAAAGAAUUGGUUGAACUAUCUAUUCGAAAAUUCUCUACAAGAAUAUCAACCAAUGCGUGAUAGGUAAUGUGCUCAUCAAUGAGCACUAAAGAAGCUCCCAUUUCAAUGUCUAAUUCAAAUUCCCAAGUCAUAUUGUUUGUCAACUUCCACAAACCACAAACAGAAUACUAUUCUAUCAUUAUAACCUGAUAAGAUAAAUAACAACAAAAUCAAUACCCACAAACAUUGUCACUACAGAGAGAAGCAUGGUUUACAAUUAUUUUUAAAGCAUAAGUAAGUGGCAUAUAAUGAUUUACAAGGAAUUUUAAAAGCUUUGAAAAUGGGUUAACAUGAUUUACAAUCAUUUUUAAAGCAUAAGUAAGUGGCAUAGAAUGAUUUACAAGGAAUUUUAAAAGCUUUGAAAAGGGGUUAACAUGGUUUACAAUCGUUUUUAAAGCAUAAGUAAGUGGCAUAUAAUGAUUUACAAGGAAUUUUAAAAGCUUUGAAAAGUGGUUAACAUGGUUUACAAUCGUUUUAAAGCAUAAGUAAAUGGCAUAGACCUAUCACGAAAGCGUAAGUAAAGGGGUAAACACUAAAUCAAAACCAAAAUUUAUCACGGAACAAUAUAACGAAUUCAAAUCUAUCACAAAACAGUAUAACGAAUUCAAAAGGAAUUAACGAAUUCACAUAAUCAACCCCAAAAUCGAAAGCAAAAUAGUAGAAUUUACAAGGAUUUUAAAAACAAUUCAAUCAUUAAAUCUCAAACAAAAUUCAAAUUCGAAGCAUCAACAAAUGUCAAAUUGUCGAUUGAAUCAAUAUCACGAAUCACAUAAGCAACAACAAAAUCGAAAACGAGACAUUUAGGCUAAAAUUACAAAUUCGAAAUCGAUUCCAUGAGAGAAAAACAAACAUGGGGAAAACAAGAGAUUGAAAUGAAGACUGAGACGGUGAAAUCGAUAACACGAAUCCGACAAUCUCCGACGGCCACGACGCAAUGCGACAGCGACAAUUAAAACAAUCUCCGACGGCGAUGACAGACGAAGAAUACAUAUGACAUCAAUUGAAAUUAGAUCGAUUAGUCUCUGUAGUUCACUAAGGGUAUUUUGGGGAUAAAAUAAUUAGGUGGGGUAGAAAUAAAAAUGGCUAAAAAAUGGGUAAAGUUUAAAAGGAGCAUCAUGAAAAGGGCAUUAGAAAGAAUUUUACAUAAUUAUAUAAUAAAAUAUGUUUUCCUUAUAAAAAUGGUUUCUAUCACUAACUCUUUAACCAUCAACAACCUACUAUUUUAUUAAAUGACAUUGUUUUUUCCUUAGAUUCUUAUUGGAUAUCUCUUCUAAGUCGUUAAUAUUCAUUUUCUUUAUUUUUGAAUUAGUAUUUAUUUUGCAUUUUUCUCUAAACUACAAUAUGUUGUUGUAUGUUUGUCUUUGUUUGAGGUUAGUAUAUUUUUUACUCAUCGCUAUUUGCCAAUUUUCAUAAUUAUUUUGAAUCAAUGGUGGAGUAUUUAUUAAGAUAUUAGUUUGUUUAGUGACAAAGUAUGAGAUAAUAUAUUUUUUUACAAAUGUGAGUACUUACAAUUUGUUUUCUUAUAGGAUUAACAACUGAUUGUAUAAUUUUUUUAAUCCUUUUUCUAUUUUUCAUAUUUUUCUUGUUUAGUUAGUAACUUAUAAUUAAAACAUUUAGAUUAAUUUUCUAAAUUCUAUAGUUUUAGAAAAUAAACAUAUAAUUUUAUUAUAUAUAAGUAUAGUUUCCUUAUAAUAAUCUUUUUAUAUUCUUCAAACUGUUUAAAUUGUAUAAUUUUGUUGUAAUUAUUUUUUUAUAAUUUUUUAAUUGUUAAAUACAAAACUUUUGUUUGCGACAUAACAAAAAUCUCCUAUGAAAAUAUAGGUAUUAAAAUUGCAUUGAUAGAUUUGAAAUUUCGUGUUUUUUUUAGUUGAAAUUUAUCCUCUUAAUUAUAUGAUUUUAAUUUUUACUUAUUUUGAAAAUCUGUACUUUUCAUUUUUUAUGCAUAUAUCAAAAUAGAGAAGCAUUUCCAUAUGUACAUGUGUGAAAUCUCAUUAAUAAAUGGACAUAACUUUAUACUUUUAUUUUUUAUAAUAUUUUUUAUUUUUUAUAAUGCAUAGUUUCAUUAUAAUUAUCCUCUAUCUUUUAUAAUAUUGUUCUAAAAAAUUUAUUUUUUAUACAUGUCAAAAUCUAAGAUCUCUAAAAUUGACCCGUGUUAUAAUCUCCUGAGUUACUAUCAAAACCGUACUUUGUAUAAUAAGAUCCCUUUAGGUAGACAAAUAUUUGUACUUUUUUAUGUUAGUAUCCAACAUUAUAUUUUGUUGCCUAAACUGAACAUUAUUAAAUUGUUAAUUAUAAGAUUUCACCUAUAGUAUACCUUCCCGUAUUAAUAUCGAUCCAAACUCGUCCCACCAUAUAACUAUACAACACUGGUUAUUUAGAAUUUCGAUUGCCCUUUAAGGAUAACAAAAGAAAGAAACAACAAAUGUUGUUUUCAAAUAGAUAUUCCAAAACCUUGUCUAGAUUAAUUAAAAUGGUAUGAAUUUUUUAUUUAUUUAAUUACUUUUACAUAUUAAUUAUUCUACACAAUUUAUGAAAUACUAAUUGUUUUUUCUUUAGUAUGUGCAGGUUGACCCAUUAACGAUCCGAUCCAACGCUUCUUCACCUGAAAAUUUGCUUGGAUUCUCUUCGUUUAAAAACAAUACCAAAUAAACAAACUUUUGCCUGAUGAAAUCAAUGACCGAUCUUGGAUGCAAGUUUAAAGAGUCUUUCCUCAUCGUUCGUUCAGUUUCUUAAUCGCUUCUUUGUAUUUUCAAAUUCGAUUGAUAUUCUGUAAAUUCCCUCAUUUUGGUCAAUUGCUUUAAUGUAACUUCAAAUUUGAGUUUUUUCAUUCUCUUCAAACUCUGUUUUUAAUGGAUUUGAUAUGGUGAAGGAGAAUACACUAAACAUGGAUGGGAAGAAGAAGGAGAAGCCAGCAGCUCAGUUUCACUCAAUCGCAUAGCCGGAGGAAUCACCCACUCUAUAUCGUUCACGUGGCAAUCUUUGGUUGGUCCCGGACUUUCGGUGCGGGAUUCGACACCAACAAUUAGCCCUCCAAGUCUUUCGAAGUGUUAUCCUAAUUCGGAAGACUUUAAUGCUUUAAUGUACAAAGAUUGCGCUAGAUGAUUGUAUGAUUUCCCACCAAAAUCUUGUUACUCCCUUGAUUCCGGCACUGUCCAUAUUUACCCGUAUGACAUCUGUCACCAUUAUGACCACAUCUUAAUUAUUUACCAUUAAAGCGGGAAAAUCCUUCACCUUCCCCCACGACUCCCAAGGCGGUUCCAUCAUCAUCACCAGCUUGCGUGAGGUAAAUUUAUUUUAUAUCUUUCUUUUUUUUUACGCUUUUCUCUCUUAGAACAAAGAUCCUCUCUGUUUUACUCUACCAAUUUUUUCUUCGAACACCGGAUUUUUUUAUUCUCUACGAUGAAUCCUGAUACUGAAAGACCCGAAUCCCCAUCUUUCAACGAGUGUGGUUAUAGCAAUGAUAUAUGCACUCGCCCGAACGACAUCGCCGGUCCACACUAUAUGUCUACUUGUACCCUUCAAUGCCUUGAGCGACUGAAGGAGCUUUGCCGGAUUCCGCCGGAGAUUAUGACGGAAUCAAAGAUGCAUGGUCCCAUGGAGUCCCCGGAGGACCAUCGCUCCGGUUAUUUUUGCGUUUACGAGAUCUAUUUCAAGGGCUGCGGGUUGACCUUUCCUUUUCCUGAAGCCUUGGUCUGUUACUUGGAAACUCUUGGAAUUGCCCUGUCCCAACUAACCCCCAACCUUCUCUGAACUAUCUUGGGGAACAUAACUGUUACGGCGGAAGCCGGAUACGUUAUCGAGGUUCCUGAACUAAACAAGCUUCUUAGCGUGAGAAGUUCAUCGAAGAAAACUGGGUACUUUUCGGCGUACCCGAAUGCCAACAGGAACCUCAUCUCGCACCUCCCGAACAAGGAUGAGAACUGGCAUCAACCUUGGUUUUUGAUUAAGAAAACCCUUGCUUCAAUCGGAAAUCUUUCCGAUGUGCUUCCAUCGAAGUGGUCUACGAAACCCGGUAGAAAUUAGGUCGCAUAUACCUUCUCUGUUUACCUUUACUGUUUAUUGACCAAAUCUGUUGUUUCACUUCGCAGCUUUCAUCGCUCGGACUCUCUCGACCGAGGAAUUCAUCGAACUCUUCAAAAUCGUCUUCGAAGGGGAAACCCUCUGGAAUUCCUUCACCCGUGACCGGUUUAUAGAGGCCAAUCACAAACUCAGAAUGAGCCCUCCCGGACAGCUUCAUCAACUUCCGCCACCUCCUUCCCUAUCUCAAGGAACAUUAGCCCGUGAUCUUGCUUCUCGGUGGAAGGUGAUAUCAAAGCCGAUGGCUGAGGCUUGCGAGGUAAACAAGACGUUCCUUGCUAGUUGACAAUGGUAGCGCCGAAGGGGCCAGAUCGGCCGAUGCGUUUAGGUCAACACUCCGUCCUGAACGCCAUGGUGGUCGUUCUCCUCGGAGAAAAAGAUAUCCCCGUCGUGACUCUCCUCGCUCUUCUCCCCGAGGUGGACUGAGCAGCGAACCCAUUGGUAAUUUAGUUUGCAAAAAGAGAGACAGACCGGCUCGUGGCAGCUCUUCUCCCCGAAGGGACAAAUCAAAGGCCCGGACUUUUGACAGAUAGCGUCCCGGAAUUUGAGAACGCUUCUUACUCCAUGCUUACUAUUCAUCGCGGGGUAGUUUCAUUUCCCUUUUUCUAAUCUUGCUAUUCCUUUACGUACUAACUUACUUUCUCGGGCUUAUACUCAGUGCCAGGCAAACAGCAAACUUAACGACAUGGUUGAGCACUAUGAAGGAUUGCUGCUUAGUAGGGAGCAAGACAUCGACACUUGGAAGGGCAAGUUUUCUUCCCUCGAGGCUGACCUCCGUCCCUCUCCGGUUCCAAGCAAAAAUUGGAGGACCAAGUCGACCAUCUCUCUUCUGAACUCAUGGAAUCAAACGGCGAGUUGCAAGAUCAGUACCGUAGACAUGACAAACUCCAAGAUGAACUCUCAGUUGCCCAAGAUAGGCUUUCUGAAUCUGAAUCGGUUGCUUACACCUUGAACAACCAGUUCACCGAACUUAAGGCAAAGUACAAGGCAAUCGCCAAGCUUCGAGAUGCUGAGUUAGCUAAGUCGGCGUUAAAAGCCAGAAAAGAAGUGAAAGGUCGCAGGAUAGAGCUGAUUCAGGGGGCCAUUCUUUUCAUUCAAACCGAAAAGGCAAGAUCAGAGCUGGAAUCUAAUAUUAAGGAGCACGAAAGCAACCUACUCUUGUUGGACCAGGUCCACGAGGAGGAUUUCAGCGAGGAGUAAGAGAGGUCCGAUUUGACAGCCGUUUUAUCCGAGAAACAUAGCCGCCUUCUUGCUCUCCCCGCUUCAUCCUUCAACCCUCAGCACUUCAAAGAGUUCUUCAUCGAAUCACCCCCUUUGGGUGAAUCGGGUUUAGAUUGGGCUGGUAAACUUUCAUACUUAAAGUUUUAUCACUUACAGUUUUUUUAUAUAUACUCUUUACUGAUUUGAACUGUUCUCCUCAGGUUCAAGUGAAUCGGAUGAUACUGCUGCACCUAAGGUGCCUGCCAUACUGGUAGAGAUUGUUGAACCUGACCCUAUUUUGCCCAAAGCUCCUCCGUUGUGAACAGCGAGACGGAGAUCAUCCCGGAUGAUGAGUGUGAUGCUAGGCACGAGCCGGGAACCUCUUUCGAGACACUCCCUGGCGUUGAACCGAAUGAAACCGAGACGACUGAUGUCGAGCCCGAGAUAGCUACGGAUUAAUAGUGGUUGCGUCCACUUGAAAUUGGAGGUUGUCCCAAAUAUUUAAGAACUUGAAAUUAAUUAUUGGAUAAGUAUUUACCUAAGGAGGCUUUUAAACUUUUUUUAAACUAUGAUCCCAAGAGGGUUUGACUAAAGUAGAAUGCGGGUUUGCAAAGUCCGCCUUUAAAUAUUUUGACCAUGUGGUUAAGUUUCGAGAUUCUAAGGUUGAUCAGACCUUUCUAAUAGAACGCGAGAAAUGAGCUCAUCUUAACGCGAAUUUCCCAUCUCGGGUUGAGUUAAUUCAUUACAUUUAUUGGGCUUGGGCCUUAACUGUUAUACCUUGUAUUUAAUGGGCUCUUUGUCUUAAAUGCGACGGUUGCCAUUUCCCAUCCUAUUUCUCGAGAAACCGGAAAAAACCUCACGCCUUUGAGGCAAUAAUUGCCUUUUAUCGAUUUCCAAAUAUGGCUUAAACCAUUCGGACACGCCAUCAUUAUUGAAUUUUUGGUUUCAAGACAAGAUCUAAACCUCUAUAAAUAAAAGUUUAUCUAUCACCGAAUUUCCCCCAAGUAUGAUUUUAGAAAUUUACUUGAUAAACACCACGAGAAUGGAAAACGAAGGAGCCUCCACUGUCUGUCCUCUCGACCCUGGCAGUCCAUUGUUUCUGUCCGGCGAUGAUUUCGAACCUGCCGGCGUUCUCUUUCCACACACCGCUUUCCACUUUCCUCCGAAAGAUAAAAAGGAGGCGUACGACUAUAUGGACAAGGUCGGGAUUCAUUCUUCUUCCCUCUAUUACGAUUCUUCAUCUUUUUUUUAUAUAUUUACCGGUUUCCAUGUUAGGUUGUCGACAAACAUCGCCGCUUGUGCGAUGAGAGGCAACGUCUGGGCCUCAAAAGGCAAACGCUCGAGGCCCGAAUCGCUCGAGUGGAGAGGAAGGUGAGGGAAAUGGAGAGUGAUCCCUUUCAAUGGGAGUUGAGGAACUUCGACUGCGUUGCCAAGAUCCCGACUAUGCUUUGGAUGUACCUCCGCGCUCGUGGUCAAGUUCUCGGUCUCGUGAAUGCUCAUGUUGAGGUGGUCCCAUCCGAUAGCGAGGAGGACGACGAAGAAGAGGACAUCGACCCCUCGAAUUGUGUCAAGAAUGAACCCAAGGUAGACGACAAAAAUGAAGCGUCCACUUCGAAUGCUGAAUCGGCGAUGAAGGAGCAUGUUCCUAAACCUCUUCCAUAAAUGUCCCCGAACUUGCUACUUACUUUUUUUUAUUUUUUUUUUAACUCGUUAUGGGCUCCGGCUCAUUUUUAAUUUAUGGAAACUUUUUUAUUUCCUUGAUCUCAAAAUACUCGUUUUGGAGAUAUGUUUUAAAUGCAGGGCCAACUGGAAGGCGUAGGUCUUUCCGCGAAUCACUCCGGCCUCAAAUAGAAUUGCAAUCUUCAAAGGUGCCAAGUCCCUAUAAAUUGCGACUCCAAGUUUUCUUUAUUUUUUAUUACAACUUUCUUUUCCUUUUGCAGCUAUGGAGUUUAACCUUCGAUGUUCGGAGUCCAUGCCAGACUUUUCUAGGGUCGGAAUGAUGGAUGAGGACAUCCCAAACGUGCGGGGAAGAGGGCCUUCUCAACCUCGUGGCUUCUUAAGGUCCCAAAUCCGAGCUCCAUGUGCAUUGAUGAAGGGACUUUCUGACAUAGACCAAGAAAUCACGAUGGCAUUCAUCAAGGCUCUUGCGGUUCAGCACCAGAAGCGUUCGUUGGAAAGGAGGAAAAUCCGAAAAAAGAUUAACCGAAUAUUACGUAGGGUUAUUGCGAUAUCGAGGGAACUUCACACCCUCAACUCUCACCCCGGGGACUGGAUUGAGCUUGGAAUUUCCGAAUUUGAUCGCAUACCGGAUUGUAUGAUGCCGAUUCUUGAACUCGCUGGUCAAGGAGUCCAACUGUUCUACAAGUCGAGAAGAGUUUCUUAAUUUGAAGUGCUAGCGUGACGAAACUUCGUCUUCUUUGCUUACUGCUUGAAUACUUUCGUUUUGUUUCCUGUAUUUGCAUGUUCGCGUAGUCGAACUUUUCUUGCUUUGUUCGUUCGCACAGUCUGAACUCGUUCCCAAGCUGCGUACGUACCUAUUUCAAGAUCAAGCGACACCGUAGUUCAUGUACAUAACAAAAAACGCGUGUUUACUUAAACAUAAAACUUCUUUAAAAUGACCACAUUCCAAAGACCCUAGACAGGCAUGUCUUCUUAAUCUUUUAACCUAUAAACACCAUUCUGAUCCACUUCGGUAAUAAUAUAAGGUCCUUCCCAAUUAAUAUCGAGCUUGCUUGCUCAUUCUUCCUUUUUAUUGUUGAAAACGCGCUUUAGAACGUAAUCACGUACAAAGAAAGGUCUGAUUUUGAUUUUGGAAUUGUAAUAUCGAGCUGCUGCCUGCUGGUAAUUCUGAAUCCGGAUCAAAGCUUGGUCUCGCCUUUCGUUGAUAGUAUCUAACGAAUCAUCGAGCAUUGCUGAGUUUUCUUCUUCGGUUAGGGGAGCCUCUGUUCAGCAAAGUCCAUACACGUUGAGCUCGGCCGGGACCACUGUUUCCAUCCCAUAAACUAAAAAAAACGGAUUUUCCCCAGUAGACCGCCUAGGAGUUGUGCGGUAAGCCCAUAAAACCUGUUGAAGCUCGUCGUACCAACCUCCCUUCAAAUGAUUCAGGCACUUUUUUAGAUUGGUUAGGAUUGUCUUAUUUGCGGCUUCGGCUUGACCAUUUCCUUGUGGAUAACGUGGAGUGGAGUAACUGACUUUGAUUCCCCAAUCUGUACAGAAAGUUUCGAAUUCGUGCGAAAUGAAUUGUGGUCCGUUGUCUGUGACUAUCUCGUAUGGGACACCAUGCCGACAUCUGGUAUUUUUCCAAAUGAAAGUUUUUACUGCCAAAUCUUACGUAUGCUUCAGCCUCAAUCCAUUUUGAAAAAUAAUCAGUUAAGACAAAAGAUAUUGUACGCCUCGAGUUGAUCUGUGCAAUGGUCCAAUGAUAUCCAUCGACCACCUCAUAAACGGGUAUUGGGCAGAGAUAGAAAAGAAUAACUCCAAAGAUUGAUGGAUUAGAGGUGCAUGAAGUUGGCAACGCUUACACAGCUGGGCGUACUUAACACAAUCUGUUAUCAUAGUGGGCCAAUAAUAUCCCAUUCUUUUAAUUUUGAAAGCCAUUGCCCUUCAUGAUGAAUGACUACCACACAGACCUUCAUGCACUUCGCUCAUGACAAUUUUGACUUCGAGCCCAAAGAUGCAUAGUAGGUAAGGGUCGCUGACACCUCGCUUAUAUAAUGCGUCCUUUGACAAACAAAAUUUUGCGCUAACGAUUCUCAUUUUCCUGGCCUGCCACUUAUUUUUUGGGAGCUUGCCUGUCACAAUGUAAUGUUUUAUUGUCUCCCUCCAAUCAGUCUCCCAAUCUUUAGCCUGAAUUUGGUCAACCUCGUGAAAUAUUCUUGGUUCCGGUUUGGGAUGCUCGUUUAGCUCAAGUAUAUCCUCCUCGAUAAGUGGCUCGGUCUCUAUAACCGUUUCUGGAACUGCGUCUUCUGUCAGGUCAAUAGGCUCCUCGCUACUAUUUUCUUUAGAUGUGCCAGACUCAAAUAUGGUUGAACCUUUUGACUUCCUCCACUUUAUGGAAGUAAUUCUAUUCUCAGGCUCACCAAGCUCACGCGCCGCAGCUCGAGACCUUGUAAUGACGAGGGUCCUUUUUUCCUCCUUAAUGUUCUAUUCUGAAAUGCAUUCUACUGGAGUGACUCUUUUUACCAAAGGAUCUGACGUUGACGCCAGCGUGGCAAGUGCGUCCGCGGUUGUAUUUUCUCCUCGAGGUAUGCGAAUGAGUUCAAAUUUGAGAUAUGCUUCCAUUCUUGAAUCUUUGGUUUUGUAAUAUCCAUUGAACUGGUUAACAACCAGUUGUGAAUCACAAUAAGCGAUCAAUUCUUUAGCUCCAACUCCUUGUGCCAACCUAAGUCCAGCGAUUAGAGCUUCAUAUUCUGCCUCAUUGUUAGAAGCAUUGAAUAGCAAACAGAAUGAUUGCUCAAGAAUUUCCGAUGUGGGAGAUUCCAACUUGAUUCCCACUCCUGUUUUGAUGAACAUCUAUCUACAUGCAACUUCCAAGUUUCAUUUUGUGGUUGCUCCGGCGCGCCAAGUACUGGUAGUUUGGUCAGGAUAUCUGCCAAAACUUGGGCCUUCAUGCUGACUCGGCUUUUGUACUCUAUAUCAUACUCACUUAGCUCCACUACCCACUUCGCCAAUCUUCCGGACUGACUUGGACUAUGAAGAAUUGUUCGAAGUGAAUGAUUGGUUAAUACUUCGAUCGGAUGAGAUUGGAAAUAUGGACGCAACUUUCGGGCAGAAGUUACAACCGCAAGUGCGAGUUUUUCCAUCAUUGUAUAUCUAGUUUCUGGAUUUGUCAUGGACUUACUUACGUAGUAAAUCGGCUUCUGUUCUCCGCGAUCCUCCCGUAUCAAGACUCCACUAACUGCAAGGUUCAACACUGAAACGUACAAAUAGAGCUUUUCAUCCACUUCGCGCUUGGACAGUACGGGUAGAGUUGUUAGGUAUGCCUUAAGCUGUCCAAAUGCCUCUUCACAUUUCUCAUCCCAAAGGAAUCCUUUGUUUCCUUUUAGAAUUUGAUAAAAGGGUAUAGAUUUAUCUGUUGAUAUUGAAAUAAAACGGUUUAGAGCUGCAAUCCGACCCGUUAACCGUUGCACUUCUUUGAAAUUUUUUGGAGACGGCAUGUUGAGAAAAACAUUGAUUUGGUUCGUAUUGGCUUCAAUUCCCCUUUUUGUCACAAUAUAACCAAGGAAUUCCCAGGAUGGAACUCCGAACGUGCAUUUUGUCGGGUUCAGCUUCAUUUGGUAUUGAUUGAGAAUUUCAAAACAUUCUUCUAAAUGCUUAAUGUGGUCCUUUUUCUUUAACAACUUGACCAACAUAUCAUCUUUGUAAACUUCCAUAGUCUUCCCAAGAUGUUCGUGGAACAUUUUGUUGACCAAUCGUUGGUAAGUAGCUCCUGCAUUUUUUAAACCAAAAAGCAUUACUUUAUAACAUUAAAUACCUCUAUCCGUGAUAAACGAUGUUUACUCCUGAUCUUCGGGAUUCAUCAUUAUUUGAUUAUAACCCGAGAAGGCAUCCUAAAAGUUAGUAACUCGUUCCCAGCGGUAGAUUCCACAAGACUCUAUAUGCAGAAGCGGGAAACUAUCCUUCGGGCAGGCUUUAUUGAGGUCUGUGAAGUCGAUGCACACUCUGUCUUUUCCAUUCUUCUUCUUGACCACAAUAGAGUUUGCUACCCAAUCUGGGUAUGGCACCUCCCUUAUAGACCCUAUCUUUAAAAGUUUAUCUACUUCGUCAUUUACCGCCUUUGCUCGUUCCACUCCGAGUUUUCUUCUUUUUGGUUUUACAGGCUUGAAUCUCUGAUCCACGUUUAGCUCGUGGCAGAUUAUGCUUGGAUCUAUGCCACGCAUAUCCGCUGCUGACCACGCAAACGAUGCUUUAUUUUUGUUCAAAAGUUCUAUUAUGGCUUCUUUUAAUUUGUCGGUUGAUAUGAUUCAAACUACCUAGAACUACUCUCUCAAAUAAGAGAUCAAUUGCAGUAUUUUAGGAUCGAUUUCACGGAGUUCUUUUGUUCAAACAGUGAGUUAAAUGUCGAGAUUAAGCUAGCAGGGUGUGAGUGAAAUAGUAAGAAAACAAAAUAAGAAAAUAGAAGAUUGAUUGUGUUGUAAACGAUUUAAUAAAAGAGGUAGGAACAGGGUAUUCUCAGGAAACUAUUGGUUAGUAGAUCUAAUUAAAGCUAGGUUGUUAUCGAACCAUUCUUAAACUCAAACUCUAAUUAUGGAAUAACCGGUGGGCGUGCCGCAAAACUCCCUAUAUCUAUAGCUAAUAGUGACCGGAGAAGCCGAGAGACUAUCAACUUAAAUAUGCAUUCUUAACGAGUUCAAUUGUUCAUCUUAGUAAAUAGGCCGAUUCUUAUUACACACCUAGACCAGACUCAUCAAAUAAUAGAUCCAACUACAGAUUCCUAUGGCGGGCAUAUCUAUUGUCUGGAUUCAAGAUCUAGUUAAUUACUCUAGAUCUAGCAUUAGGUAUAAUUAGAGAUGAAGAAUUCUAAAGAUAACCUAGCAAAGGGGGCAAUCUACUAAACCAUAUGAAUCCCUAAUGAGAAACCCUAUUCCUAACAAGCAGACUACUCAGACAUAUUGAAUGAAACAAACAACAUAAUUGAGAUAGAAAGCAUGAACACAGUGAAUAGAGAAGGGGAAAGAAGGGAUCUCUUCACUGUAUAUAGAUCUGAAUGAAACUCUGAAUAACAAUGGAUGAAUAGCUUAUGUCUCUUACAAUAGGGUUUGCAAAGAACUUGAUAAAAGACUUGAUAAAAGAAACUUAGGUCUAAAAACAAUAUAUAUAGACCCUAAAAACGUCUAGGGACUAAUAAUGCAAAUAGAGAAAUCUUCUGGGGCAAACUUGAGCUUCUGGAAACUCGAAAGCGGCUAGGGUUUUUGCUGGGCCAGAACUGGUGUCGAUCGACACCAAGAGUGUGUCGGUCGACACUCCUCGCUGAUUCCUGAACCAAAAUUGUCCUUAGCUUCCUUUUCAUUAGGUUUUGCUCCAAAAUGUCUCCUUAUCUCCAAUGUUGUCCCAUUGCAUAGAAUACCUGAAAAGACACAAAAAAGACUCGAGAAAUAACAUAAAGACUCAAAAUCCUAUACCUAAAACAAAGAUAAAUCGGUGAAUAUUGGGUUAUAUCAUCGGUUAGAGUAGCUCCAAUUCGAACUUUCCGAUUUGGCUUGUCCUCUUCUAACAUUAUUUCUUUCUUCGCGGGCUUCGUUAAUUGCUAUUGGAUCUUCAGACGGUGGCUAGCUAGAUAACAUGUCCGAGAAGCUUUAAAGUGAUACAAAACCAAAAAAAAAUAGUAAUAUUAGAAGUUGUUUCUCAAGGCAAAUCAUUUGUGAAUGUAAAAACAACUUAAAAACAACUCUGUUCCUGGGUGAUUUUUUCUUCUCGAGUAGAUAGUGGUGUUUGUAUAACAUCUUCAUCAUCUUUCUUGGUCUCUUUUGGAACAUGUAAACCAAAACAUCAAAGCAAAUUUUUUCUUUUUUUAAACAAUUUUAUCAUGUCUUUUUCAAAAGUUAAGGAAUGCAUACCUCUGUUAUUUCUUAUUUUUGUUGUUGUGAUUCUUUCUCUGUGGGUGCAGUAUCAUUAUCUUCAUCAUCUAACAAAAUUACAUACGCUUCUUGAUCUGCAAAAUCAUUAUGUUCAUCAUGUUCUUCUACUUUUUCUUCUUCCUCUUCUCUUCCUUCUUCCUCUUCCUUUUUUUCAUCUCCUUGUUUGGGAUUCUCUUGUUUUUCUGUUUCUUCAUCAUUGCAAGUAGAAUGAUGACCUCUGUAUUCAACCUAUAUAAAUAAUUACAAGUUUUAUAAGUACAAACCAUGACACAUUUGUUUGUUCCUUAAAAUCGGAAAAUUAGUCAUGUAAAUCACUUUUCAAAAGCAUUUAAAAUCCCUUGUAAAUACUUAUCGAACACUGUCUAUCCUUUAAAAACGGCUUAAAAUCUUUAAAAUAGAAGCUUUAAAAAUCCCUUGUAAAAACGAUAAUCACAAAGAUUUAUAAUUUCAAUAACUAUAAGCCAUUAUAAAACUUUAUUAAAACUCAUACAGAUUAACAUAUACCUUUUCUUCUUCUUCUUCAUCUUCUUCAUCGUUUUCUUCUUCCUCUUCUUUUCCUUCUUCCUCAUGUUUUUCUUCUUCUCCUUGUUUGGGAAUUUCUUUCUUUUUUGUUUCUUCAGAAUGAUGACCUCUUUAUUCAACCUGUAUAAAUAAUUACAAAUUUUAUAAUAACCCAAACUUUUAAAAUUCCUCGUAAAUACGUAUCAAACACUGCCUAUCCUUUAAAAACGACUUUAAAUCUUUAAAACUCCAUUUAGAAGCUUUUAAAAUCCCUUUGUAAAAACGAUGAUCAAAAAGAAUUAUAAUUUCAAUAACUAUAAGCCUUUAUUAAACUUUAUGAAACCUCAUACCGAUUAACACAUACCUUUUCUUUUUCCUCUUCUUUUCCUUCUUCCUUUUCCUUUUCUUCAUCUCCUUGUUUGGGAUUCUCUUGUUUUUCUGUUUCUUCAUCAUUGUUAGUAGAAUGAUGACCUCUGUAUUCGACCUAUACAAAAAAUUACAAGUUUUAUAAGUACAAGCCAGGACACACUUGGUUGUUUUUUAAAAUCAAAUAAUUAGUCAUGUAAAUCACUUUUAAAAGGCUUUUAAAAUCCCUUGUAAAUACUUAUCGAACACUGCUUAUCCUUUAAAAACGGCUUAAAAUCUUUAAAACUCCAUUUAGAAGCUUUUAAAAUCCCUUAUAAAAACGAUAAUCACAAAGAAUUAUAAUUUCAAUAAUUAUAAUAAGCCUUUUUAAAACUUUAUUAAAACUCAUACAUAUUAACACAUACCUUUUCUUCUUCCUCUUCUUUUCCUUCUUCCUCUUCCAUUUCUUCAUCUCCUUGUUUGGGAUUCUCUUGUUUUUUCUGUUUUUCAAUCAUUGUUAGUAGAAUGAUGAUCUCUGUAUUCGACCUGUAUAAAAAAUUACAACUUUUAUAAGUACAAGCCAGAACACACUUGUUUGUUCUUUAAAAUCGAAUAAUUAGUCAUGUAAAUCACUUUUAAAAAGCUUUUAAAAUCCCUUGUAAAUAUGUAUCGAACACUGCCUAUCCUUUAAAAACGGCUUAAAAUCUUUAAAACACCAUUUAUAAGCUUUUAAAAUCUCUUGUAAAAACGAUAAUCACAAAGAAUUAUAAUUUCAACAGCACAUACCUUUUCUUCUUCCUCUUCUUUUCCUUCUUCCUCUUCCUUUUCUUCUUCCUCUUCUUUUUUUUCUUCUCUAGUAGAACUGGCAGAAACUCUUUCGAUCCCUAAAUAGCCCUCCACCCUUCCAACUUUUUUCUUAAGAACUUCACAGUUUUCAUAGACCAGUGCUACUUUCUCACCAAAGGACAUUAAUUUCCUUUUUCUGCUGUGAUGCACAAUUGUUUCAAUUGUAAGUUUCAUUACAUGAUCAAUUCUACUUUCAUGUCCUUGUUCCACUUGAACCAACCCUGACACCAAUCCUUUUUGCUCAUUCUAUACCCUUUGAUCACAAGAUCAAAAACAUCUAACAGAUCAUUGUCUUCAAUAUCCUUCUGUGAAACCAAGUGGUCAUAUUCAUGAGAAUUAACACCAACUAUUGGUGUACUUCAAACUGCAAAGAUAAACUAAAUUCCAAACUAUGUAAAAAUCAUGUACAAUGCUUAAUUAACCUUUAAAAAUCCCUUAUAAAUUGUUUAAAUUGCCUUUAAUCCUUUUUAAAUCCUUAAAACUUGAUUGUAAAAACUAUUGUAAAACAUACUCUUUAUUUAUAAACAGUGUUUAAAAAAAAAAAAGUCAUAGGUAAGAAAAAUGUACCUUGUCACCAUCUGCAAUUAUUGUUACAGCUUUUGCACUUGGAGACGAUGUUGAUCUCCAUUGGAGAAUUAAUGGAAUAUUUCCACUAGAUGAUUCAUCUCUAAGCCAAACUUUUCUCCCAACUUCAGAACCGAUGAUAAUGCCCAUAUGUGAAUUGUAGAAACAAAUCGACUAUAUUGUUUCCUUAACAAAGUGUCAAUAUUGAAUUUCUUCACUUCAGUUACCAAAUAUGAGUAAACAAUCUGCGCCCAUCGAUACUUGCAGAACUUUUCGAAAUCACUAGCUCUCUGCAGAUUCUCAAUUGGCAGCAAGGUAGUCGGAUUUUGAGCUAGCAAUAUCCCCUCCACUAGUAACAAACCCCCCAAUCUCAUUCUCUCCUUCUGGCAGCAUUUUUUUGGAUGUAAGAUCGACAAAUCACAUUUUAUCAUUAAUCCACAAAUCUUUUUUCUGCUUUUCUUCAAAGUCUGAUUAUCUUCUAUCUACCACUUUUCUAUCUUCUUCUCUUCACAUUUGGACUGCUUCCUGAUGCAUCAUCUAUUGGAAGUUAUGUUGUUAUGAUAAACUCUUUCAGGGAGAAUCACAUAGGUUGAUCAGCAAAUAAAAACCACAAUUCGUCAUUGCUGGUUAGUAUCCUUCUUUUGAGUAAAUGAUGGACGAUAUGGCUUGAAAAGGCUAUGUCAUUGCAUUCAACGAAUUCCACUACAGGACCCAAGAACGUGUCCAUUAAUGUCUUGUACUCUAUCGGCUUUAAUGCUUCCCUGGCCUUCAAGACAAUUUUGUUUGAUGAAUGCUUUGAUACCCUUGUAACAUUAUCUAUUUCUCUGCCUAGUUGAAAUAGUCUUGUAGGGAAGUACAGUUUCUUUGUACUCAUUUUCUCAAAACCUGAUGAAAUACAUUAACACAGUCUUUAAAUUAACACAAUUUUGAAUAUCGUUUUAAAAACCAUUGUAAAUCUAUUGUGCUUGUGUAGUUUCGAAACAUAAACACAGUCAUUACAAGUCAUUUUAAGGAAGUACAGUUUCUUCGUACUCAUUUUCUCAAAACCUGAUGAAAUACAUUAACUCAGUCUUUAAAUUAACACAAUUUUGAAUAUCGUUUUAAAAACCAUUGUAAAUCUAUUAUGCAUGUGUAGUUUCGAAACAUAAACACAGUCAUUACAAGUCGUUUUAAGGACUUUAAAACCCCUUGUAAAACCAUUUUUAAAAAUCCUUCAUAAUCCUUUUCAAAGACCUUUUUGAAAUUUUAAAUCUUUGAAAAGCACACAGCCGCCAAAAAUAGAAACCAAUAAACCCUUUUUCAAACCAACUCUAAUCAACUGGUAACCCAUCAAUUAAGUGAGGAUCUAUAAAUUAAACCACAAACCCAAACAUCAAUCUAUUUAUUGGUGUAGUUUCAAAACAAAAACCCUUGAAAACGGUUGUAAAUCCUUUUAAAAACGGUUGUAAAUCUUUUCAUAAUAACAGCUAUUGCAUCUUUUUCAACACUUUUAAAAUUCUUUUAAACAGCUAGUAAAUCAUUAAAAAAACCUGCUAAAAAGCAUGUUUAACAUUUUAAAGCCCUUUCCAUUCAAAUCAAAGCACCUGUUAACCCAAACAACCAUUAUACAAUAAUUGUGUUAACCAAGAGUUGUACUAAAUAAACUUCAUAAAAUUUGUUCCAUACAGAUGUUCAUAAAAUAUUCAAAUGACAAAGUUUUAUGAAAUAAGAAACAAAAGCUGCUAAAUCUAUCUUAUACUCCACUACUUUUUGAUUAGGAAUCUGCUACUCCUGCAUAGUGACUGACCCUAAUUCUGUGAUGAUGUCAACAGCCAAUUUCUUCCUUGAGUUUCCGAUAAUGUUUCCUUCAAGGUUUGAAUGGUUGGUAUACAUUGAGUAACACUCCAUAAACUUCAACAUAUAUAUACCGGAAUCUUCAUUUCUAGGAGCCUACCACGAAAAACCAAAAGAAUUACUUGAGCAAAGAGGUCAAGACUUAAGGAAUCUUCAUUUCUAGGACUAUGAUAUAUUAAAGAAGUUACCUGAGGAAAAGUGGUCAGGACUUUGAUGCUAAAUGGAGAGACAUCGAUGUCUUUUUUUUUGAGGAUGUUCCGAACAAUGUAUGGCAUAGCUAUAGAGGAGGCACCAACAUAUUUUUUCUUGACUUCUUCUGUUAAAUAAGAAGCUGCAUAUUCCCAUAUACAAAUUGUAUUCUGUUCCAAGUAUAUUAGCAAGGCAACCCAACAUUUUCCUUUGAUACAGAAAGGAGCCAAUAUGCACUUGGUAUCUUCCUCUAUUAUCAGCUUACAGAUUUCUUCAGAUGGAAACUGAAAUCCCUCUUUAAAAUCCAAAAACUCCAUGUAUGACUCAUCAAUCGCAUUUACGAAAAACGAUCCAACAAAUACAACUGUUUUGUUUUUGAAGAUUUUUGGAUUGCUUUCCUUCCUCGUUUUCAAUAACUCCAAAGCUGCAUCAACAUGCUAAACACAACAAAAAUAAAAAAAUUAUCAUAUUAGAAAAUCUCUUUAAAAACGAUUGUAAACCAUGCAAACCCUUUUUAAAAUACCUUGUAAAUCAUUCUAUGCCACUUACAUAUGUUUUUAACGAUUGUAAAUCAAGUUAAACACUUUUAAAAGCUUUUAAAAUUCCUUGUAAAUCAUUUUAUGCCACUAACUUAUGUUUCUUAAACGAUUGUUAAUCAAGUAAACCCCUUUUAAAAAUUUUUAAAAUCUCUUGUUAAUCAUUCUUUACCACUUUCUAAUCCUUUAAAAACGAUUGUAAACCAUGUAAACACUUUUUAAAUUCCCUUGUGAAUCAUUCUUUACCACUUUCUAAUCUCUUAAAACCGUUUAUAAACCAUGUAACCCCCUUUUAAAAUCCCUUAUAAAUCAUUCGAUGCCACUUACUGAUGCUUUAAAAGCGAUUGUAAAUCAUGUUUUACCCUUUUAAAAGCUUUUAAAAUCCCUUCGAAAACCAAUUUUACAAGGAUUUUUAGACAUACCGUUGUUGUUAUUGCUUUCCCUGGCGUCUCUAGGCUUGUAAACCACUUUGUAUUUAUAAUAUUUUCUGCGAUUGAUAGUGGCCUACAACAACAAAACUGUCACCAAUGACUGUUAUAUUUUUAAAAAAACUCACUAUCUUACUAACAAAAACUCACUUGUUUUUUCUUGACUUCUUCCACUCAGCCGAUUUCUCAAAUCUUGUUGCAUCAACUUUCGCAAAUGGAUGCAAUAUUGGGGGCUUCUUCUUUAGCUUUGAAAGGUGCUUUUUAGGAAUAGAAGGAAACGUACCUCGCUUACUCUUUCUUUGUGUAGCGGGAUGAUCAUCAUUACUGUCGUCAACAUUAUCAGCGUUAUCACCAUCACUGCCAAUAGUUUUCCUCUUCUUACUAUGUGCCUAUCAAAAAGAAAAAAAAUAGAUUUUUUAAAUACCUUGUAAACAAAAUUUUCAAUCUUGCAAGCAUUCUUUUAACAGAAAUUUCUCGCAAUCUCAUAAUAAAUUAGAUACUAACCUCUUUCCUUGUUGGAACAUCAACAUCAGCACUAUCAACUUGUUUCUGCCUCUUUCUCGGCACCUAAAAUAGUAAAAAACACCGUUUAAAAGUACUUUUAAAAUCCCUUAUAAACAUCAUUACAAGACAAUUGACAAUUUUUUAAAACAGUACCGUUGCAAACACUAACCUGUUUUCUUGUUUUAACAUUAUCCUCAGCAUGAACACUUGGUUUAACUCUCUUGUUUUGAAGUUGCAAGAAAGAUAAACUUUUUAAAGAUUUGAAAAAAACAUAAUAUAUAAACACUUGGUGAGAUAAUACAAAUUUUUUAAAAUGUUAACCUCAUUUCUUCCUCUGCUAACUCUCUUCUUAUCCUUUUGAACAUCUAGACUUUCUUCUAGAAAAUAUUGAAAUUUGGUGUAGAGGAUCGUGGAGUAGGAGACUGAUCCUUCAAAAGAUAAUAGAAUGUAAAGUUAUAAAAAGGAUACUAAUCAUUUUUGUAAGACUUUUAGAGAAAUAAGAUUACUGCACUUUUGAUGAUUCUUCAGCUAUUUCAUCACUAACAUCACGUUGGGUGUUUUCAUCAUCACCCAGAUAGCUCUCAUACUGUGUGUUUGGCUCUUGGAUUGAAUCUUCAAAUGUGUCAUUUUCAUUCUACAACAAAAUAAAACAAUAAGUCAAUCGAUAAUAUACGUAGUAAACCUUUAAAAUACCUAUAUGAUACAUUGUAAACCUUUCUAAAAACCUUUUAAAUAACUUUCUAAAUACCUAUUUAACCUCUAAAAUACAUUGUAAAACCUUUGUAAGACCUUUUGAAUAACUUGUAAAGAUUUUCAAUUACCUCUGCUUUUCUUUCUAGUCUUCGUUCUUCUUUAGACUGCGGAAAAAGAGUACAUUGUAAAGGUUUACUACGUAUUUAACCUCUGCUAUUCUUUCUAGUCCUUCAUCUUCCUCAGAUUGCGAAAAAAAAGAGUACACCUUUUUAAUUAACUUUUGUAAAUUGAUUUAAGUACAUAAAAUCUUUAAAACUUUUCUCUUACCUUUUGUUUUCUUUCUUCAUCUUCAUCAGAUCUCUGAUUAUUCUUUUCCUCCAUUUUAGUGUUCUAAAAUCCUCUCAAUCAGCUCGACUCUCUUGUUAAGAUCUUAAAGGAUUGUCAAAAUCCUGUCAAGCUUCUCGCUAUCAAAUAUUUUGUUAUUCAUUUUCUGUUGACCUACUUCUUCAAGGGCAACAAGAACAUCAACGCAUCUUGUAUUCUAUUCAGUUUUCUUCAUUUUGUAGCCCAUCUUAAGAAGUUCCAAAACUUGUUGGAAUUCUAUGUCGUCUGUGCGGAAAUCAGGAACUAAAGACUUGAAGUCUUCUAGGUUUCCAAUAAUUGUAUUCACUUCAAUCUACAAAGAUACAAUAACAUUAAAAAUCUUGAGAAAGCAGAACUUCAAAUCUCAAAACCAUUCUAAACACCUUUUAAGAGCUCUUCAAAUUCUGUAAAUAGACAAAAGCUUACCUCAGAAACAUCAUUUACAAGGUUUACAACCUUGAAAAACUCUGGCGUGGUAGUGCUUUUCCACUUCAAUAUCAAUGGAUAUUCAGAUUGGCAUUCCUUAUCUCUAACUCCAUAUGCUGCACCAAAUGCUGGAACUGCGCUCAACACCCAUAUGGUCCGCACGAGUCCAAUUCCUCUCAGAUCAUAUUUCAUCUUUUGCCCAAGUUUUCUCGUCCAUUCUCAGAAUUGAAUUUGAUAGAACACUGAAUGCUUCUUUACCCCAUGGUUGGGCUGUGUACAUCUCAAAAUCAGAAGCAUGCUGCAAUCUUAACAAAGGUAUCUUCUCUCUUUCAAAUGGUGUGAAUAGAAUUCCUUCAGUCAACAAUACUGCACCAAGACACAGCUUUUCUUCAUUUUCAACAGCAGGUUCACCUUCCUUAGUUUUUGGAAACAAUCGAUCUUCGAGAUCACCAAGAGUAUAUACUCCUUCCCUCGCCCAAAAGUAUGGUUCUUUUACAUGAUCUUUGCCCUUUCGUCGAAGUUCCCUAUUAACAGGUUCACAUUGAAUUCAUGUAAGAAUAAAAGACAAUGUAGAGACUAUUAUUACACGUUUUAUAGUAAACACUUUAAAAACGAUUGUAAAUCAUGUUUAACCCUUUAAAAAGCUUUUAAAAUCCCUUGUAAAUCAUUCUAUGUCACUUACUUAUGCUUUGAAAACGAUUGUAAAUCAUGUUUUACCCUCUUGUAAGGUUUUAAAAUCCCUUGUAAAUCAUUCUAGACCACUUACAGACCAGUUGAUAUUCAAGACCCACCUAAUGUUGAUCAACCAAAAAACAUUGGUGCUGGUGAUGCCCCAAGAAAUCAUCACCAAAGACAAGGGAUAGUGCCACCACAAGUUCAGAACAACAACUUUGAGAUCAAGAGUGGUCUCAUCUCCAUGAUCCAAGGAAACAAGUUUUAUGGUCUACUUAUGGAAGACCCCCUAGACCAUCUUGACAGCAUUGAUAGGCUUUGUGGCCUUACCAAGAUUAAUGGUGUCACUGAAGAUAUGUUUAAGCUCAGACUAUUUCCCUUCUCUUUGGGAGACAAGGCACACCACUGGGAGAAGACUCUACCCCCAGACUCCAUCACCUCAUGGGACGAUUGUAAGAAAGCUUUUCUUGCCAAGUUUUUCUCUAACGCUCGCACCGCUAGAUUGAGGAACGAGAUCUCAGGUUUCAACCAGAAAAACAAUAAAACUUUCUGUGAAGCUUGGGAGAGGUUUAAAAGCUACAACACUCAGUGCCCCCAUCACGGUUUCAAAAAGGCUGCAUUAUUGAGCACACUCUACAGAGGAGCUUUACGAAAGAUCAGAAUGCUACUUGACACUGCCUCCAAUGAAAACUUCCUGAACAAGGAUGUGUAGAAGGUUGGGAGUUGGUCAAAAAUCUAGCACAAUCUGAUGGGUGCUACAAUGAAGACUAUGAUCACUCAAUGAGAGGAACUAGAGGAACUGAGGAUAAACAAAGCAAAGAUAUCAAGGCUCUGAAUGAAAACUUAGACAAGCUGUUGCUGGCUCAAUAGAUGCAGAUACACUACAUCACUGAUGAAGAGCACUUCCAAAUGCAAAAAGGGGGGAAUGAUUAAACUGAAGAGCUGUACUACAUUCAGAACCAAGGAGGAUUUAACAAGGGCUACAACAACUACAAGCCCACUCCUACAGAAGCACUAAUGUUGCUAACCCCCAAGAUCAAGUGUAUCCACCUCAACAUAAUCAGUCUAAGCAUUUGUUCAGUACAACCAAGGUUAUGUCCCUAAACAACAAUUUAAUGGAGGCUACCAACAGCAGAAUCCACCACCAGGGUUCACUCAACAACCACAACAAGCCCCAGCAACUCAAGAUCCUAAAAUUAAGCAACUCAUUCAACAAAUCAUCCAAGGACAAGCUACUGGAGCCAUGGCUUUUGAAAAGAAGAUAGCUGAAUUACACAACAAGAUCGAUUGUUCCUACAACGAUCUGAAUCUCAAGUUUGAAACUCUGAAUUCAAAAAUCAAGUAUGUGGAGAGUCAAUUUGCAUCAACUUCUGCUCCGAAGCAUCCUUAGCAACUUCCACGGAAAGCAGUCCAGAAUCCAAAGGACUAUGGUACUGCUAAUUCUAUCACCAUCCACCAAGAAGAUGAAUCUCCACCAAGUCAUCAGACUCCCAAUACUGAGGACAGUAUGAUUCAAGAAGGGGGGGGAUUCAACUCAAAUUGAUGCACCUGCCACCCAGCAAUUCUUCUGGACAAUAGAGCACACACCUUUGCUGAAUACUCAACAUUCUGGAAAAAAGUUCAAAAUUGAAAAACUCAAGCAAGAGCAGAAUCAAGAGAUGAUUAGCAGUGCCAGCACUCAAGAAACAUACAAGAAGAAAGUCAUCCAAGAAAAGCUUGAUGAUCCCGGUUCAUUCACCCUGCCAUGCUCUCUAGGACCAUUGACAUUUAAUAGGUGCAUUUGUGAUUUGCGAGCAUCUGUUAGCCUUAUGCCUCUCUCUACAGCUAAAAUGCUAGGGAUCAUGGAAUUCAAGUUCUGCAACUUAGCCUUACUCUUAGCUGACGGUUCUGUUGCACAUCCUCAUGGUCUAAUAGAAAAUCUGCCUGUCAAGAUUGGAAAUGUUGAGAUACCUACAGACUUUGUGGUAUUGGACAUAGAUGAAGAAGGCAAGGAUCCCCUGAUCCUAGGCAGACCAUUCUUAGCUUUAGCUGGAGCAGUCAUAGAUGUCAGGAAUGGAAAAAUUAAUCUGAACCUUGAAAAAGGCAUCAAGAUGAAGUUUGACAUCAGAGAAGCUUCAAAGAAAUCAACAACAGGAGGUCAGAGUUUUGGAAUUCAAGAUAUGGAUGUUGAUGAAGAAACAGAAGCUGAAACUUCACCAAAAGUCAACUAUACUUCUCAACUUAGCAAGCUGAAGAGAACUUUUGACCACAAGAAGAGAGCAACAGAAAGGCUAUCUCAGACUGAAUAUCCUACAGAAGAUAACUGGUAUGAGAUGAGAAAAAAAAAUAAAUGGCAAAGAAGAGUCAUAGAAGGAUUAUCUUCAAGGGUGAUGAAGCUGAAAGAUCAACUAUGGAUCUUUGAAAAAAGAGUUAAAAAAUUUUCAAAUGGUAUUGACCUUGAGAAGAUGGAAAAUGCACUAGCUAUCAAGGAGGACGAAAAUUUCACAACAGAACGGUUUGCACCAGAAGAUCAGAAAGGAGUUCACUUAGAGGAAAGAAGUCUAGAGAGCAAGUUGUUGAGUGUGGAGGAAACUCCUAUUGUGACUUAUUCUCCAGGAGUGCCUAAACAGCCCACCAACCCCUCUGCUGAAGAUGAAGACUUGACACUUGAUUCUGUUACUGAAGAACUUCUGGAACUCAGGAUAGAAUACAAAGCUCAAAAGGAUACCAUUGGGGAGCUAACUUACAAGAUGGAAGGACUGAACCAUGCAAUCUUGGAACUUCAAGAAAUGGUUAAAGGCUACCCCAGUUUUGAAUUUGAGGAUUGGUCAAAAGAGCCUGGUUCAGAAGAAGAAGACUACUCUGCUGAUCAGAAAGAAGCUUACUUUGAAGAAAAAUCAAAUGAGUACUCAUCCUACCAUAUCUCAAGAGAGGAUGCAGAGUAUGAUUCAAGCACCAAAAAUUCAACCACUGAAGAUGAGGAUUUCUCUGUUCCUCUCUUCAACCUCUUUUCUGACUAAGCUCUGUAAGAGUCAAGUUUAGUGACUUAAAACAAGCUCACUUGGGAGAAAGUCCCAUAUCUAUCCAUGUAAAUAACUUUCUAUUUUUCUUGUUAUUUUUGAUGUUUUUGUUUAAGUGUUUCAGGUUUGUUUUAGUGACCCUAAGGUAGUCAACGGUCAAGUAAAUUCAAACCAAGUCAAGAAAAAUCUAAACCGUUGAUCGAGCAAAAUGAGGAGGAGUAUUUUUAACCAUUGAUUUGGAUGACCAAAUGAGAGGAGAAUCACCACCGUUUGAUCGAGUGAUUUUUUGCGAUUCAUUCUGGUCCGUUUGAUCGAGUGAUUGAGGAUGGAGGAUUUCUCACCGUCCGAUCAAGUUAAGAAACCAAAGAGAUCCUCUUCGUAGACACCGACGCCUCGUGACCCGCCUCCAUUGAAACGUUGUUGUCCCUUUGUCUUCUUGUCCCCCCAUAAUCACUUUGGUCCCCCCAUUGCAAUUCUCGAACUCAACAACCUCAUAUCUCCACCUCCCAUACCAAAGCAUUCUCGAAUCCUUACAAUUCCCUCUUUAUCUCCUUCACUUCCCUUUCUUAUCAAAAACUUUUCACAAAUUCAUUGUUUCCUCCAUCAUUCAAUCUCCUAAUCUACUGAAUUUUGGUUUUGAGUUUCUCCCACCUUUGUUCUUGAUGAUGAAUAGGCGCUCGCUUUUGUCAAGGAUUCAGAACAAAGCUCUCUCCCCAUCGAAGAGGUACCCAACACCUUCUUCGCAUGCAGCUGCUCGAGGACCUUCUGAAUCAUCACCCUUGGGGUCGAGCAUGAGAGAACAAGCAAGUUUCAAGCUCGAUCAUAGUGAAUCGAGCCAAGAGGAGGAAGUGAUGCAAGAAGAGACCUUCAGCUCUCCAGCUGGAAAUACUCGAUCCCGAAGGUCGAGUAAGACCUCUACAAGAGAAUUCUUAAGGAACAAAGCAGAUAUCACUCAAGGGAAGAAGCCCGUGGGGAGGAGGUUGGAGCUGGUAGAUGAAGACUCCAAGGAAGAAAUGGGUUCACCAGAGGAAGAUGAUCAAACAGAGAAAAGAGGCGAUGAUGAUUUGGAAUCAGAAAAGUGUGCAACUCGAAACGAGUACUACAAGCUGCUGAAGCGCAAUGAGUUUUUAGGAACUCGGUACUCUCAUCCUGAGACCAUGGAGAGACUCGGCAUCUAUGAUGAUGUAGACUACAUGUUUAAACAGUGCAGCCUGAAUAUUCACAUGUUUUCGGCCAAUGGAGGAAGAGACUUUUCAGUUUCUUUCAUCUGUGGAAUAGCUCUUAUAUGGAGAGUUAGAGGACGAUGAAAUCAGGCCAGACGGGAGUUUGGGGUACUUGGAGUUCUGUGUUUAUGACGUAGAGUAUCGACUUCCAAUAGAGCAUCUCGAGCUGAUGUAUGGAUUUCCAAGCGGAAAAGACACGAGUCAUCGUUUUGACAAGAAAGAGCUUCAGUCAUUCUGGGCCACGCUUGGAUCUAAGCAUGGAUUUUCAUCCUCUAGGACCAAGAGCAACGAGAUAAGGAGUCCGGUGGUUAGAUACUUUCAUAGGUCCUUGGCAAGUGCGCUAUUUGCAAGAGAGCGGAAUGGAACCUUUGUCAAUGGAGAACUAGAGUUGAUGGAGACAGCACUGCAAGAGUUGCUUGGUUUAGCAUCGGAUGGUACAAUUCUAGCUGGAGAUCAGACAAACACUUCGGUCUCAUUCUACCUAAUCGAGCACCUGCUGAGUUACAGAGGAUGGGCUAAGGGACUUAAGAAACUAGGAAGAAUGGUUGUGGGAGGAGUUAUGACACCAAUUCUGAGAGCUUGCAAUGUACCUUUACAUUCAACGCCGAUUCCUCCGAGAUGGAUUGAUAUGCAGCACCUUAUCAAUUUCAAGAGUUUUUGGUCGCACCAGAAGAAUGGCAUAUAUAAGUAUAGGUUCGAUCACCCCACAACAGGACAAUCCAUUUUUCUCCUCCCAAACCCCGCUUCCACUUCGAUCAGAGAUGGUGGCAACAUUGAGUUUUGCCCACCAAUGGAGAACCUCUAUAUUUCAGGUGAUGAAGUUGUGCCGGUGGAAGGAGUGAAUGAUGAUGAGGCCCCAAUCCAUCAUUCUGAUAAUGAGGCAGAACCUACACAACAAUUUUACUUUGAGGAGUACUCAGCACCAAGGCAAAGUAAAGACUCAAAGGAGAUUCACAAGCGCCUUGGUUUCCUCCAAAGCUGGUGUAAGUUCCAAGACAAGGCUCUCGCGGCACUCAAUAAGAAGUUUAACAAUCUCCAACUCAAGAUCAGCUGUUCUUCCUCAACCACAGCAAUGCUACAGAACAUGCCUUUUGGGAGAAGCGGAUCCACUCGUCACGAACCUAUGCAUUUCGAUCCGCCUUCGCCACCAAGACAGUCUUCAUAUGAGCCAAGGGAACACCAUGCUGCACCUUCACCACCAAGGCAAUCAUCCUUCGAACCUAGAGAAAAGGAAAAGAGGAGCAAGUUGAAAAAGCGAAGAAGAACAAGGAAAUCAGACGCUGGAGCAAGCCACUCUACUGCACCACUUGAGGAGCCACUCGGUCAACAACCCGAGCAAAGGGUUGAGCAUCCAGCUAAUCCAAGUUCAGCACAACGCAUUCCUUGGAGUUACACAAAGGAGAGUAUGGACGAUUUCGUCUCCUCCUACUUCACCUGAUAACUGACGUAACACCACCUCUCCAUUGUAUAUACCAUAACAUCAUUUUAUUUUUCUUUGUGUGCUUUGUGCUUUGGUCUUGAAUUCUCUUUCAGAUUUUUAUUACACAAGGGAUUAUGAAAUUUAAGUUUGGGGGAGGGUUCAAGACAUGUUUAACAUUGUGUUCUCUUUUCUUAUUUCAAUUUUUGCAUCAUCUAAGGCAUAGAAAAACCCAUACAAAUUUGAAACAUUUUCAGAAAAUGAUUUCAUAAGAAAAAGAGUGUCAUGAGAUUGCAUAUCAUUUUAGGAUUGUAUAUAGAGUGUUUGCAUUUAGGAUUGCUCAUUUGCAUUGGGGAUGAUGAUGAUUUCAAACCGAUAAGCAUGUUUUGAUCCAAUGAAGUAAGUUCAAUGCCCAGGUUGUUAGUUCUCUGUUGCAUAACCGAUUGUAUCUUUGAAGUAAGACCGCACCCUGCUAUGAAUUUCACUACAACAAAUAUCAACAUUAUUAGCCAGUGAAAAGCGCUAUAAUAUGUCAUUAAUAGCGUUUUCAUAAAAGCUAUCUUAUGCCCCUAUUAUUGUAGACCCCCACAUACGAUAGCGUCAGAAUUGUAUGCUAUGUUAUAGUUUUCUACGAUAGCUCUAAUGAAACGCUUUAUUAGAGAACACCAAUAUUUUUGCUAAAUUAUUUAAUAAUCCAUAUUCUUCUCUAUGUUAGGUGUUUCAACCAUAGCAUUACGAAAACAUUACAUUACAUUUGAAGUUUUUAAUAGUAGGAUUUGUGUCUGCGAUAAUAUAUGUUUUUCAUAAGAAUGAUAACCUGUAAUGAUUGAACUCACCGAAAGUUUUUAACAAAAGCAUCAUUCAUUUGCCAUAAACAUCCAAUACACAUAAGUCUAAAUCCAGGAUACACAAUACAAUUCUAAAGCCAUGUUCUACUUAACUACAUUAUCCAAAACGAAUUACAAACACAACAAAAGUCUAAAGAGUAUAGUAAACCUCAAGACAUGAUAACCUUGUCCUCUGGCCAUGCAAUGGCUGUGCCAAGUGCAUCUUCCAUGAUCUCGACUUCAUCUGAUGGCCUCCACACUUUUACAUCGCUUACUUUCACAAUAUCGACCCACACUUAAACUGCAUUAUCACCCAAUGGAACAAAGUGAACCUUCUGUUUUGGAUCGUUUGUUGCCCAACGUCCUUCCGCCACAACUCGUUUCUUUCCGGUAAUAUCCAUCAACUUGCACUUCAUAUUUUCCUUAGAAACGCCUUGAUUGAAACACUGCCAUGUUCAUAACAUUAAUAAACCAAAGACUGAUUCAAUAUGACAGAAGCAAUUUCAAGAUACUAAGGAAACAUUUACCUGAGAUUUCUCUAGAGUUUUCUGACUUGGAGAGCUUGGAGCAUUUGCAUUCUCCAAAGGAGUUUCAGAUCCUGAAGCUGAAGACUUAGAACUUGUGGAUUUAGAAGCUGCAGAUUUUGCCCCUGCUGAAGAUUUGGAAGCUGAUCCUGAGGGCUGAAGAGAUGACUUCUGAUUACCACUAGCAGAUGGGAGAUUUUCAAAUACCACUUUAUGCACAGGCCAUGAUAUAAAAGUCAUCAAACAAUCCUCAAGGUACGUCAUUUCCAUUGUAGGCCUCCAUACAAAUGUUUCUGGCAUGAGCACUUUAUCCACAAAAACUUUAACUGCGCUCGGUCCAAGAAGAAGUCCAUUAACCAAUGCAUUUUGCUCUUGUGUCUACCAUCGACCCUCAGCAACAAUGACUUCAUCUGUUGACAAAUCCAAUAGCUUACAUUUGUUCUGAGAAUUUCCUCUAAGUCCCUGUCAAACACAUUUAGUUAAAAAAUCAAAUUAAGACUCUGUCUCUACUUGAUCAAACAUGAACUCAUCAAAAAGCUGACUAAGAAUGUGCUGAAAUCUGCAGUUUACCAAAGGCGCAAUGUCCUCUAUUUCGAGAUCCUUCUCUACAAGAACACAUUUAGAUGCAGGCCAUGCAAUCAUCUGUCCAACAGCUUCCGUGAUAGUAUACAUGUUAGGUGCAGGUCGCCAUAGAAAUGCAUCUGGUGUAUUAGCAACUUCAACCAACACCUUCAAGUCCACAGGGCCUAGACGACAGUCAUUAACCAUGUCAUCAGGAUCAGAAGAAAGAAUUCGCCCCUCACCAAUGAUAUCCUCAGGACCAGACCAAUUAACCAACAAACAUUUAGGGUGUGUUCUUCUAUUUACACUCUACAAAAGAAGUCAAAACUUUAAUAAAAAGAAGUGAUUCCAAAACUGAUGGAAUAAAGGAAGAAGGAAUCACUUAUCCUGGCAGCAGCAGAGUUUUCACCCACUUCAAGUUCAUGUCUCUGCUUCAUUCUGGUAAGUUCAUCUUGCAGCUCAUUGACCUUCUUCAUUAAAAGAACUUGCUUCUCUUCCAUGUCAGUCAUGCACUUGCUCUUGACUUGGAGGCAAGCUAGUUCUGUUUUACUCAUGCCUCUACCCAUUGCUCUCAGCCUACCCGGAUUGUCUGGUCCUAAAAGUUGAGAGAGGUGAUCUUCUUCUGGAUUUGCUGACGUUGGUGGACCAUCAUUUCCAACCAGCUCAGCCGCCUUUCUCUACAUAAUAUGAAAUUGUGUUAUCUACUAAUAUUGAUAACUGAAACCAUGAUCAGUCUUGCAGUGAUUACUUACAAUCUUUUCAGUAGCAUUAGUGUUCACCAGCGUACCAUCCUUUUUGGUACGAGACUUUACCCAGACCUUUAGCCUUGUCACUUUUGAUGGAUCUCCACUUUCAAGUUUCUGUGUCAAAAAAAAAAUAUCAUUCAAAUAUAUGAGAAUGCAUUCUUACCAGAAGAGACAACUUACAUGUCAAUUUACUUAGCAUGUCUUCUGCUAAUCUCACCAUUCCUUUACGACUUGUAGUAUGAGGUAUUUGAUUCCUCCUCCUUUCUUUGUAUUUCUCACUCACAACCUACCAAUUAUACAUGUUAAUAAUUGACAAAUAAAAGUUAAAAUGGUCAUAAUUCCAACUCAUUACCUUAAAGGCUGCGCUAGUUUUGACUUUAACAAAUUUGCGCCAUUUUGUUGGGGAAAUAUUCAUGGGUCUCAUAUUCAUCCUUUGCUGAUUAUUAGGAGCCAGAUUAAUAUCUUUGACAGUCCGGGACUUGUAUGACCUCCACAGACUGCCCAUUUGUUUUAGAACAGCAACCCUUUGAAACUCUUCAUCAAGCUCAAACCUUACUUGCAAUCAUUUACCAUCACACAAAGUAUGGAAAUAAACCUUUACACAACUAACACACAGAAAAAGAGACUGAAAAGAAGAAUUUACCUGCACAGAUUUCCAGAGAACCGUUUUCAUAUCCUGACUAACAUCCUUCCAAGUUUCAAUUGUGAUAGGAACAUGUUCACGUACCAAUGUGCCUACAUAUGAUGCCAGUUUAACUGAACCUGGACCAACAGGAUCUCCCAUAAUAGUGUACUCAACUCUUUCUCUAACAGUUGGAUCCUUGGCGAUGUUCUUCAUCUUUGUUGGUCCCUUUGUCUCUUAUGCUUAGCCGGAGGCUCAGUUCCUUCUGACAAUUCAAUCUCACCUAUCGCCUCUUCCUCAUUCAGCCCAUCCUUAUCAGUCACUAAAGGAUUCUCCUCAGCUUGUUGGUCUAUUACAGGCUCAAUUUGAGACUCAGUUUCCUUAGCAGGCUCAGGUUCAUUAUCACACUCAGUUUGCUUAGCAGGCUCAGUUUUCUCAGCUGCUGUAUCUUGGGGCUCAAUGGUGCCUAUAUACUCUGGCUCAUCAUCUACAACUUUCUUCUUUCUUUUCUGUCCACCUUUCUUCUUUGCUUUACCCAUUUCAGUUCACCUGCAUUUCACAAAAAGAAUUCCAUGUCAAUCAUACUUCUAAAAACGAAAACGACUCACCAAACAAGCAAGAGUAAACAUAGAGCAUGCAAGGCAUAAAACAAUGACUCAUAAAAUGAAUAAGAAUCUACAUUUGGCACAUAAAUGCCUUCACAAUCAGAUCUAGCAUAUUCAGCUUCAUCCAUUUCAGCGUCCAUGUCAAUAUCUGUUGGUAAUGGACCAAUCUCUGCGUUUCCUUCCUGAGCAUCUUCUUUACUAUAUCUUCUUGAUGAACCUUUCAUUGCAACAUACCAACUAGAUGAAUCAUCUACCCUUGAAUAGAAGACUUGCUUCGCCUGAGAUGCUAAUAUAAAUGGAUCCUUUAAAAAGCUGACUUGACUCUGAUUCAAGUUGACCAACGUGAACCCAUCCUCUACCUUAACCCCAUUACCUCUAACAGCCCAUUGACACCGAAAUAUAGGAACAUAGAACACAUUGUAGUCCAGCAAUAUGAUAUCAGUUACUGUCCCAUAGUACGAUACCAAGUCAACAACUUGUGUUGUAUCUUUAGCACUGGAUCUACACAUAGCUGUUGCUUCAUAAUAAACUCCACUAUUCUGAAUUUGCCUUUCAAGUGACCGUGUGUGAAACCGUUGUCCAUUCACAAUAUAACCAGAAUAGGACCUUGCACUACAUCGUGGACCAUAUGCAAGCCAUUUAAUUGUAUCUUCAUGUCCAUUUGAAGAAAGAGGUAUCUACCAAAUGAUAAACAGAAAGUCAGUCACUUAUGUUCUCAUAAACCAUAAAAUUCAGAUCGUGGAAGUACUUGCCUGUUCUUUUAUCCAAGAUGCAAAAUUCUUGGCAUGCAUAUUCCAUAAGAAUGAUGCAUCACGUUUACAUCUUGGAUUUGUGUCUUGGAGAUAUUGCAAGUGCAUGCUGUUCACAGUUAAACACAAUCAGUUGAAAACUCAGCUUGUUAUAUUUAGUUUAAUUCGUAAAUGAGCAUUAGAUGCAUUCCUGAAAAAGAUAGUACUUACUCCACAUAAGGAUCAAAGGCAGCCAUAUUUUGGAUGACAGCAAGAUGGGCUAUGUUCUUAUCUACUUCAGUGAGCAUAAAUGAAGUACCUGCGGAUAUUGGACGCCCUUCUAGUAUGGAGUUGUUCUCAUACUCUGUAUUCCUCUCUGGUUUCUCUUCAACACUUGUAGUCUUUUUCAGAAAAUCACUACAGAACUGCAUGCAUUCUUCUGCGAGAUAAGACUCAGCAAUACAACCUUCUGGUCUUAAGGGGUUUCGUACAAAGUCUUUCAGAACUUUCAUAUACCUACAAAGUGGCAGUGAGAAACAUUUUUCUAUGAAAACAUACUAAAAAUCUGAAAUAUUAUUCACACAAACUGUAACAAUGUACUAAAAAACAGAAACUUUACCUCUCAAAUGGAUACAUCCAUCUAAAAUGGACUGGUCCUCCUAGUCGAGCCUCUCUUCCUAAAUGUAAAGUCAAGUGAACCAUAAUAUUAAAGAAGGUGGGUGGGAAAAACCGUUCAAACAUACAAACAGUUUCCACAAUUUCAGCUUCUAUUACUGAAAUCACCUCUAUGUCAAUAACUCUCUAACACAAGUGAUUGAAAAAUGAGCAUCAGCGUAUUAUUGCUGUCCGAGGACCUUUUGGUAACAAACCCAUUAGUGCAACAGGAAGAAGCUGCUGCAUCAAGACGUGAUAAUCGUGAGAUUUGAGUCCCAUUAUCUUGCAAUCUUCUACUGAUACACCCCUUGAUAUAUUAGAACAAUACCCAUCAGGACCUUGAAACUCUAAUAGACGCUUGCAGAAUGUUUUCUUCUUUGAUUUGGACAAAGACCAAGGUGCUGCUGGAAGGUAUGUUCGUUUUCCUUGUGCGUUAGGAUGCAAAUCCUUCCUUACACCAAGAUCUUGCAGAUCUUUCCUAGCAUUUAGCCCAUCUUUGGAUUUUCCACAAUGUAACAAAGUAGAUACAAUGCUUGCACCCACAUUUCGCUCUACAUGUAUUACAUCCAAGUUAUGCCUCACCGGUAAAUCCUAAACAAUACAAAAACAGUUCAUAAGGAUCACACCAUAAACGUCACUUACAUGAUCAAUAGACAAAUUAACAUUUACCUCCCAAUAAGACAGCUUGAAAAAAAUGGAUCUCUUCUUCCAUCUUGAUAACUCAUCUUCGUCUACUUCUAGUUCCUCAUCUUCUUCGGAUUCACUAGAUUCAUCGUCACUAUCAGUGACUGAUUCAAUGCAAUCAUUCCUUUUUCUCUUCCUCCCAGAUUCUUUAGCAUUCUCGAAAUCAUUUUUGAAGUUUUUCAGGGUUUGUGAAACUUCACGACCUGUUAGAAUUCUUGCCUUUCUCCCAUGUUCUAUCUUUCCGUCAAACCAAGCCUUCUUGUUUCUAUAACUAUGUGUUGGUGCCAACCCUUUUCUAUGACACAUAAACACAUGCUUUCUGCUAUAUUUCAACCACAUACUAUUUGUGCCUUUUCCACAUAGAGGACAACCCAUUUUACCUUUAACUUUGCAUCCAGCAAGGUUUCCAUAGGCGGGAAAGUCACUGAUGGUCCAUAAAAGCAUUGCCUUUAGAGUGAAUGUAGUCUUACUGAAGGCAUCAUAUGUUAACUCACCCUUCUUCCACAGAUGGUUAAGAUCUUCAAUAAGGGGUUCCAAGUACACAUCAAUACUAUUUCCAGGUUGUUGUGGUCCAGGGAUAAGCAGGCUAAGCAUUAUGUUCUCCUUCUUCAUACAUAGGUCAGGCGGCAAAUUGUAGUUUACUAACAGAACAUGCCAGCAACUAUAUCUAGUAUUCUUCAUGUUGAAUGGAUUAAAUCCAUCUGUUGAAAGGCCAAGCCGCAGGUUUCUUUCUUUAGCAUCAAAUUCAGGAUACUUGUCAUUCAUCUUAUCCCAUGUAACCGAAUCUAUAGGGUGACGAAGUUUUCCAUCAGUGCUUUUGUUACUAUAAUGCCACCUUAAGUCCUUGGCCAUUUUCUCUGAUCUGAACAUUCUCUUAAACCGUGGAAUUAUCGGAAAGUAUCGUAAUACCUUCUGUGGGACUCCUUUCUUAGCUUCACCAGUUUGCAUGUUACUCUUCCACCGUGACGCAUUGCAUUUAGGACAAUUUUCUAGAUUCUUGUACCUCUUUCUAAAUAGACAGCAGUCGUUUACAAAUGCAUGAAUCUUUUCAUAUCCCAUAUCAAAGCUCUUUAGAAAUUACUUGACUUCAUACAAUGAUGUAUGAAGCACAUUGUCUGCGGGCAACAUCUCUGGCAAUGUUCCAAGAAGUUCAUUGAAACUCUUAUGAGACCAACCAUUUUUGGUCUUGAUCCUAAAAAGAGUCACUAUAGCAGACAGCUUGCUGUGGUUUAAACAGCUAGGAUAUAGAGGUGUUUCAGCAUCUGCCCACUUUGCCAGGAACUCAUCUUCUCUUAUGUCCUCACCCUCUGCAAUCUCACCUAAGUCAGCAUCAAAAUCCUGAGCUGCUUGGUAUAGCUCCAAAAUUUCAGCAUUCCAACGACUGAAGUUGCUCUCACAGUCAGCCACUGAGUCCACGUCCCCAUGAUGAUACCAAUCAACUCUCAACUUGUAAGCCUCAUCCAUCCCCCAUCUUACAAGAUGAUCUACCACAUCGCUGCCUGACUGUCGUUCCACAUUACGACAGUCUUUGCAGGGACAUACGAUCAUGUCAAUGUCUCCUAAUGCAGCAGCCACAUCGGUUACAAAUUUCUGAGCACCUUUCUCAUAUCCAGGAUCAGCUCUUCAAGUAAACAGGAAAAAUAAAAAGCCUCUUAAAGCAACCAAACCUAAUCAGAAAACUAACCCAUAUUAAUUAUCUGCUAACCUGCAUAGACGAACCCAUGCCUUGUCCAACAUUAUAUGUUCUAAGCUUAAUAAAAACCUUUGUAAAAGCAAUUCAAACCAUAAGCAACAUUAAACUAUAGAAGACAGUAACUCAAAUAGCAUCACAGACAAAUGCAGUUGGACCAAUAUACAAACUUAUCUCUUAUCAAGUUCAUCAAAUUAAGAAAUAAACAAUGGCAAACACAAUCGACAAUAUACUAUCUCAGAUUAAAUCAAAGACACAUGUUUUAGGACCAACAAAUUACACUAUCUCAGCAAAUAAAACCAAUCAACAACAAUCACAACAACUUCAGUAAAGAACACAAUCGACAGUAUACUAUCUUAGAUUAAUUCAUAGACACAUGUUUAAGGACCAACAAAUUACACUAUCUCAGCCAAUAAAACCAAUCGAAAACAAUCACAUCAACUUCAGUAAAGAACAAAACAAAAGAAUCACAGCAACUUAAGUUCAUACAACUCAUAAGUAAAGAACAGAACAAAAGAAUCUGUCGUGUGACUAACUUGCAGUCGUGUGAAUAGAAGAAAAAAAGUAUAUAAACCCCAAAACGAUAAUCAGUAUAAGAAAGAAGAAAAGUUUCACUUCCUAAUUCCAUUCAAAUCACAUUGCCCUAGAAAUAACAAAUCGAUGCAUAUAAACCCCAAAAUCAAAUCGUCACAAAGAACUAAGUCAAUUGAGAGUAAGACAUGCUUUGAUUUUGAGCUCACUGGUGGCUGCUACAAGGUUAGAGCUCAUUGGUGGCUGCGACAAGGUUAGAGCUCACUGGUGGCUGCAAAAUGGAAGUCGAUUCUAUGAGAUUAGGUCAAAAUGCGAGUAAGAUGGAAGCUGAAAUGGAUUAAUAAGGAAGAAAGACUAACCUUGAAUUUGAGCUCAACAGUGGCUGAGCUGGAGAAUGUGGCGGCGGAGAAUCUGAAUUUCUGGCCAGCGACAAUGUUGAAUCGAUUUUGGGUUGCUAAUUGGAAGUGGAUUCGACAGAUCUUAGCUUUUAGGCAAAAGUGAAUAAUUUUGGUCUUCUCGAUUUUGUUAGGUUUUCACGAAGUUGUAGAGGGAAGUGAAUAGUUUUGCCUAAGUGUUGGCGCUGAAGUGAAUAAUUUUGCCUAAGUGUUGGCGGACUAAAGUAUUUUACAUUCCCGCUAGAGGAUUUACGGUCUUAGCGUUUAUAAGGUGCUAUUAAGAAGUAACCAAAACUUUUAUUCAUCUUUUAUAGCAGUUCAGGAAAAUGAGCUAUCAUCUACUGCUAUCAAUGAGGACUUUUUUUGUAGUGUUUGUAACUUGACUAUACUACUUUGAUCGUAACUCGCUUAUCUGAUACCAUUCCCUAUCUAUUAGAACCUGAACUGAAUUUGAAAUUAUCAUGUCUAUGCAUUGUUUAUGAUCUCAUGGCUACCAUAUACAUACGUGGAUCAUCUUAUUCACUUCAUCACCCUCUGUUAAUCCAAGUAGUUGUCUCUCAUUUUUAGAGCAGUUUCCCAUACCCUUAGCCUAGCCUUAUUUCAAGCCGAAGAUCAUUUGUGUGUGAUUGUAAGGUCUUUUUCGAUUGAGCUUGGUAUAACGUGUUAGGUAUGAGCCGACAAGAGCAGUCUUUCAUGUAGACCUAGCCCACACUUUUUGGGUUAGCUAGGACUAGGUGGAGACUUGUAUUUGGGAUUGGGAUUGUGUAUGGAAUGAAUGGGAAUGAGAGUGAGAAUGAAAAAAAAAAAAAAAAAAAGAGAAUAAGAGUUUAGAGUUCUAAAGGGGAUACAAAAUUGUUAAGUCUAGUAAAGGGUUUGGAAUUCAAAGAAGUUAGGCAUUGUUAUUCAAAGAAAAGGGUAAAACGCCCUAUGUGCUAAGAUUAGAAGAAACGCCUUAAGUUUGUCAAAGUAUAAAACCAAACCCGCUAGAUUCUUAAAUCGUUUCAAGAGAAAGCCUUAGAACAUGAACGAAAAAGAGAGAAAGAAUGAGAAAAAGGGUAGAGUUAGGACAUCUAUGGGAAUGGGAUCAACUUCUGAGCUAUCAUACUAUAUCAUUGGGUAGAUGGGAGUCUGUUCUUGUAUGUGUCAGUUGGCUUUUACCUUUAGCAUUCUAUUGAAGCUCAAUCUUUUCUCUGAGAGUCCCCUGUUACUCGACCAAACCAUUAGAGGGACCAUUUUUGUCUCUUGGCCUAAGCCCGAAACCAAGUGAGUUCAUAACCAUUGCAUUGCUUGAUCCACUGUUAGUGUUUAAUGAAUGUUAAAGGGAAUUGGUUGACGUGAAUGCUUGAAUAGAUUAAGGCAAGUUGUUAGGUUGCAUUGUGACGAGUACGACUAACGUUUUUAAGUAAGGGUCUAUCAUCUUGCAACCUAGAAUUAGCUACAUGGACAUUGAGCUUACCCGUUUUAUAGGCAUGCUUCGGUUUUUGAAUCCCCACCUUCAAACCUCUCCUUCAACUUAAGAUUUUUUGUUUGCUUGAGGGCAAGCAAGAGAUAAGUUUGGGGGAGUUGAUAACACAGUAUUUUACUCAUUUUAGGUGUAUGUUUAUCAUCAUUUAGCUUUGCAUUUGCUCAUUGUAUCAUAUCAUUUUGAACCAUUUUAACUUGUUUUGUAUACUUAGGCAUCUAGGAUCAUAUUGCAUUCGCAUUGCAUAUUUUGGUGUGUUUUCAGGUGCAAAAAGAGCUUAAAAGGACUCUACUCGAUUCAUCCACUCGAUCCAAGCAGCUACAGAAGAGGCAUCAUUCUACUCGACCUCUUUACUCGAUCCAGGAUACUAAAAAGGAGGCUGCAGUUUACUCGACCCUCGUACUCGAUCAAGGCAACCUCAGAUGAAGCAGCAGAUUCAUCUACUCGCCCCUCCACCUCGAUCCAUUCACUCGACCAAGGGUGACCAUCUCUACAAGACUUGUUGAGCUAUCAAAGCGUCUUCGGAUCCUCCUCAUUCCCCACUCAACCAUACAUGUGAGCAUACGGAUAGGAGAGGAUGAAGCAUCUACUCGACCAAUUGAUCACUCGGAGAAUAGACACAAAGGCGCAGACUUUGCAGCACCCUCUUUACUCGAUCCCCAAGGUCGAGUAUUCGCCCAAACCGUCUUAAGUCUCUUGUCUUCUAGUGAAUCUAGGGUUUCAACAUUUUAGUAUAAAUAGAUCACUUUGGGAUUUAUCCAAGGGAUCUAUGCUUUAUCUUUCAGUUUUUCUUUGUGUUUAUGAAUCUUGAAACCUUAAUUACUCUUAAUCUAUUUCCUUUUUGCAUUUGAUUGUUUAAGUAAAAUUGUUUAGGUUGUUUAGAUUUACAUUUUGGUAUGAUUUUAGUAAUUUCUGGGUUUGUGUUCUUGAGAAUGUUGCUUGAGUAGUGAUUAGGGUUCUUGAGGAUGGAUUAGAUUAGGGUAAUCUCUAGGUUAGUUAGGUAGUUAGUGUUUAGGUUUACACCCUUCUGGAUUCGCUUGGCCCCUAUGCGGUUUUCGCUGGCUAAUAUGGAGAUUCGAUCAUAGACUUCCAGCGUCCAAAAGACGUUCAAAUGGAUGUCUGACCUACGAAUUCCAGAGAUUUGUAGACUCGACCAAGGGAUUGGCUUGUCUGCCUAUUGGCUUUGGUAGAUUGUUUCUUAAACCCUACUUUGCUAUGUUUCAUCAACGAGAGUUGAGAUUAGGAAGUGGUAGAGUUAUGGGGGUCUCUGUCACGAGAGUGGAUUGACCCGGUUUUUGAUACUAUCGUCAUGGGUAUCUACCUUUCGCCUAUUCGCCAUUUGAUGAACCCUAGAGUUACCCUUAUCAAUGAAUCCAUCCUUAGAACUUCUAUUAGAUUGAUUUGUAUCCCAUGUUGAUUGCACUUUUAUUCACCUAUUAUUUGUAUCCUCUGUUGAUUGCAUUUUAGUUCUUAAUUUUGUCACCUGUUUGUUCUACUCGACCCAAUGAUCGAGUAGGGCUCUUAAGUUCUCAUUUUAACUUGUUUGAAUCCUGCCUUAGGAUUGUUACUAGGAACCCACCAUCAUUAUAAUUUGCCUUGACUUAGUUGUUUUUGUACACAUCUUGAUUGCUAGCAAUAUAGUGGACUGGAUUGACACCUUCUAUAACUGCAUCGACAUGUUUGUGUUUUAGGGAAAUUGAACUGAAUCACACAUUCACCAUAAGCAGACCUGAAAAACUUGCUUAUCAGAGGCGCUCUCCUUCAAGAACAAAGUCUAUGGCAAAUGUGGGUACAGAGUUAGGGAAGUCGCGUUGGUCUCCACGCAGACCCUCACACUCAGGAAAGGAAGCUAACCACAGGUCUGACUCUCGGGAGUCUCAGAGACGUAGUUGUUUAUUGAAACGUUCUCUAGUCCCGCCUGCUAAAAACCCAAGUCCAAAGGACAAGGAUGGCGCCACUAGCACUCCUAGGUCUCGAAGACCAGCUCUACAACAUAUUGUGCAGUUACCAGUUCAAACUUGGGAAGGUUACAAGAAGUAGUCUUCUAGUAUGCACGGGAGCCUAGUCAUCCAUCUCCUCCUUCUAGACCCUCUCCGCUUUCUGAUUCUCAUCACACCCUCGCUGUUCAGGAAAGUAGAGUUGUGGAUAAUAGAGUGCAUACUUCCCUCAGAAUGGGACCUCAGUUGGAUUCUAUCACAAUUACGGUUCCCGAGGAAAUGUCAAAUACAAGAGCUUCAGGGAAAAGAAAUACUCCAAAUCAAAAACCAAAGCCACCACAAAAGAUUGGACCAAAACAAAAGCCUGGACCAAAACCAAGAGUAAUUCGUAGUCCCUCCAAGGGGUAAGCCUAAGAAAGCAGAAGGCAACCACUACUUGGGCCUCUUCCUCCAGGAAAAAGCUCCACGUUGAUAAUAUACCUGACUUUCAGGAUGGCGAGGCAGCUGUGGCCCUUCUGCACCGCGUAUACUGCCUAUAAUCCCUGCUAUUAACAGAGCCUCGGUGGAUUUUCAAAUUCCACCAAACACUCUUCCUUAGCUAUUGUAGCUUGGAACUUCCAAGGGUUGGGAAGCACCCUAACAGUUCCUAGAUUAAAGGAAAUUCGACGCAGUCUGUUUCGUGAUAUCUUUUUUCUCAUGGAGACCAAAAAUCAAGAUGACUUCAUUAUUAAAUCUUUUGAGGGGAUGGGUUAUCACAGCAUGUUUACUAUACCUCCUCUAGGGUUAAGCGGGGGUUUAGCUCUCUUCUGGAAAGAUGGAGACUGCCCACAUCAUGGUUUCAGUGAGGUACAACUCUUUGGUACCUUCUUCAGAUGAGUCGAUUGGAGAUACCAGAUGGCUCUAGAUGCAGCGAGUAAUGGUAACUUCAACACCGUUACCCAGCUGAUGCUACAGCUCUAAUAGAGAACCUCGCUUGCAGCAAAAGUGAUUAUAGGUUUUUAGUCAAUUAUCCUAAAACACCAAUCAUGUCGUUGUGGUAUUUUAGGUUGUCAAUCCAAAUAGAUGUGAUGCUAACAAUCAAGAUGUGAUCAGAAGUCACUAAGUCAAGCCAAGCAAUAACAGGGUUUGGUGUGUUCUAGCAGUCCUAAGUGAACAUGCAGAAAACAGAAAAUCAAGCAGAAACAGUAAAACACUCGACCAACACAGCUCAUUGUUGAGCACUGGGUGUGGUCGAGUGACAGGUCGAGUAAUAAAUAGAAAAUAUAACAGGAAUACUCGACUGCACAGUGUGUUGCCAGACAACUGGGUGGUCGAGUACGAGGUCGAGUAAUAGGAGAGAAAUGCAAAUUCUAAGCAAAAGGUAACAAGAUGAAGUAAACGAUAGUAGAGUAAAGAAUUAAAUCAAUCAGAUAAAGAAUUCCCGAGGAUGGGGUAAUUGAGUAGUUUCGUUUCCUCAGUUUAUAGGUGAUUGACAUGCUCAAUACAACAAGUUCAUUAACCAAAUCUAAGUGCCACCGCAACAGAGACCCUCAAGUUAAACUAGUCCCAGACUCAAUCACCACUGACGAGAGCUAAGCUAACAGGCAUUACGAAUCAACAAGUUAAAGCCAAAACGAACCCUGCAACCAAUACCUUGGUAUAGAGCCACGAAUCUCUGGAAUUAGUGGUUCAAACAUUUCAUCGAACACCUUUUGGGCGCGGAAAUGUCUGGGCUCAAAUUCCAGUUGAUCAGAAAGCAAUAGGCAUUAAGAACAACUAAUUGAAGGGAUCUAUCAAUCAAACUCAACCACCUAGCAUACCGAGAAUUCUAAACUUCUCUAACCCAUCCUAGGAAACCUAUUCACUACUCAGACAUCAUUGCAAAGAACAUAAACGUUGAAUAGAAUGAAAACAUGAUAACAACAGAGUAAUAGCAAGAUGAUAACAGGAUGAACAACAGUAAACGAAAUCAAAAGCGAAUGCUGAAUACCGAAUAAAUUAAGAGAAAUCCGGAUUACAAAAAGUCAAGAACACAGUGUCUGCGGAAUAAAACUUAGAUAAACGAAAAUAUAAAGUACAUGCUACUUAUAGCGAAAUAUUCCAAAACCCUAAUACUCAAAACGACGUAGUAUUACGACGGAUUAAGAACGGCACUCGACCCAGGUGGUCGAGUGAGUGGUCGAGUGAUAAGCUGGAGUCUUCUUUUCUUCCUUCUGCUCGAGUGUCUGGUUGAGUGCAAAAUGGAGAAGACUCUGAAGCUGGCAGUCGAGUAUGUAGUCGAGUGAUAGGGAUGGUGGUACUCGGCUUGGUGGUAGAGUGAUCGAGUGAAGGUGAUGAAGGUACUCGACCACGUGGUUGAGUAGUGUGAUCGAGUGAAGGUGAUGUGGUGGACGUGAUGAUACUCGACCAGGGGGUCGAGUAAUGUGAUCGAGUGGUUGUCCAGGUGGUACUCGACCAUGGGGUCGAGUGGUGACGUGAAGUGCUGAGGUCUUCUACUCGACCACGGGGUCGAGUGGUCUGUUGAUGUCGUGAGGCAUCUACUUGACUAGGGGGUCGAGUGGUUUGACAUGAUCAGGUCCGCUUCUUCCAAUUAGCUGGUCAACAGCUCCAAAUCACCUGAAAUCAACACAAAUAUGCAACAUGCAUGCAAAACUAUCCUAAACAUGCAAAACACUUGUGAUAUGAUGCAAUAGUGAUAACAAAUUGAUGCUCAAAACAUGUAAAAUACACACUUAUCAAACAGUACCAAGAAUGCUGACUUUUAGAGUAAGAAGAUUGAUGGAGCCAUUUCAGGCAAUCAGAUAGCAGAGGUGAAUGCUAAGGUGGAUUCAGUUCAUAACUUGCUUACAGGGAAGAAGCAUGUCCACUUUGCAGCUGAGGAGGAAAUUAUUGAGCCUGAGCCUGAGUCAGGAAGUACAUAGAUGGUCAGGGCUACAACAAGUUUGGGCAGCCACAAGGCAACAUCACUGACAAUAGGUUUACAGGGAACCAGGGUUCCUCCAACUACACUCCAAAGCAUGCUUAUCAGGAGACCUUUCCUCAGAACACCUUUCAGAGGACCUAUGGUAAUUCAGCCUACCAAGCCCCCCUCCACCCUCAUUAGAGAUAAGCAUGGAUUCUAUGCUUGAGCAGAUUCUAGAUAGCCAAACAAAACUCGUUGUGGAGUUUAAUGGCAAGUUUGAUGUUGCCUAUACAGAUCUUAAUGGGAAGAUUGACAAUCUAAGCUCUCACUUGAAGAAGCUGGAAGUACAGGUCGCUCAAACUGCACAAUCAAUCAAGUUACAAGAGGGUUUUCUUCCUGGUAAUCCUGAUGCUAACCCAAGGAAGAGCUGUAAUGCCAUCUUGAUCAUAGAAGGAGAUGAUGUGUGGGAAGAAUUGGACACUGAAGACGAGCUGGACCUCACAGUUGCAGAGAUGGUGUCGAUCGACACCUUCCACUGUCGAUCUGACACCCUACGGGACGCUCUUCUCUGAGACGAGCCAGUACGAAGGUGUCGAUCGAUACCCCUCUAGUGUCGAUCCACAGUGGAUCCGAACUGCACCUUGUGAGGUGCAAAUCCCAAUGCAGCCCGAGUCUGUUUACACUCCUCCUGUCCCUUAUCUGAGGAAGCGUCGUUCUAAGCAGGAAGCAAGAGAUUCAUGCUGCUAAGUGCAUAGCAAUCAUGGAGAAGAUUCUCACUUCUCUCCCUAAGGAUGCAUCUGAGACAUCUUCUGCUCCACUCAACAGGUAUGUCAAGCAACUUGUUGAUAAUGGUAUUAGCUCAGAUGAAGCUAAGGUGCUGACACGGGACAUCAGUGUAAUCAUGCUGCCUAAGGUCAAGAAAGAGAAGGCUUAUAGAGAAGACAUUGCAGAGUACAUUUGCACCAUCACUCCUGAUCAGACCACUGAAAGCUUCCAGAUCCAGGUAGCUUUGUUCUUGAUUGCGCUAUUUCCACCAGUAGGUUCAGCCUCUCUUUGUGUGAUCUCGGAUCAAGUAUCAACCUCAUCCCUAAGUCUGUUGCUGAGAGACUAGGCAUGACUCACUACAUGCCGAACGCAUCACUCUCCUCUUCACGGAUCGUUCAAACGAUUCCCUGAAGGAAUUCUCGAAAAUGUUCUUGUUAAGGUUGGUAACUCCAUAAUCCCUGCUGAUUUCGUAGUCCUGGACUAUGAGAAGGAACCCUAGGAUCCUCUUAUCCUCGGAAGAGCAUUCCUAUCUACAGCUGGUGCUAGGUUUGAUGUGAAGAGAGGGAGAAUCUCUCUCAAGGUGUGUGAUUUGUAGAGGGAGUUUAGCAUGGAUGGUUAAGAGCUUACUAAGACUAUCAAUAGCAUUGCUUCCAGCACUAACACACCUCCUCAGAUUGCUCAGAAUCCCCAGACAGAGCCACACACAACGCUCCCGUCAGCUCAGCUCGCCAUUGAGAGUUGAAGAGCAACGGUGUCGAUCGACACCACCACUCCUGUCGAUCGACACCCUCGGGUUUCACAGACAGCUGAUUCUGCACAUUCUCUUCAGCCAACACCACUUGAGGACCUAUGUGAUACCUUCGAUUCAUUCCUUAGAUUCUUCAAAGUUUGCUUCACAAUAUAACAAGCCUAGAAUUCCUCGAAAGCUUGUUUCUCCUGUUGUUCUUACAGGUGACGAGACGAGUGCCUUGGAAGGCGAGCUCCGACCAUAUCAGUCUACACACCGCCUUGGAAGGCGAGGAGGCAGCAGCAAUCCUCCACCACUCCACCCACAUCCUGAACUCUACCAAGUCAAGCUAUUGACUCAAAAUAAGCGCUUAGUGGUAGGCAACCCACUGGUUUAGUUUUUCUUUCCCUUUCUUUUAUUUUCUUUUAUUUUUGUUUCUUAUUAUUUUUCCCGCCUUCAGAUAUUAAUGCCACUGAGGACAGUGUCAUUUAAGUCUGGGGGAGGUUCUUACUAAUAUUUUUAUUUAUUUUUGUUUCUUAUUAUAUUUCGUUUUUGAGUUUAUUAACUUCUUAAAAAAAAAAAGAUUAAAAAAAAAAAACGUUUUCUUUAGUCUAGUUAGGAAUCAUGAUCUAUAUGUCUCUUGAUUAUUCCCUGAUUGAUGAGUGCUGCAAGUUCGAGUCAAUCCGACUAUUGGAAAAUCUAGAUAGUAAACUAACAGACUUGAGGAUAUCCUAGUUUCCAACUCAACCACUAAGGAGCUAUUCUCAUUGCUCUUCCUUUUACCUCUUCAAACGGUUAGUAUUCAUAGAUCUUAACUCCUUGUUCAUACCUGAUAUUGAGACCAAUGUGAUAGAAAAAGAAUGUGUUCCUUUCCCCUUAUAAAAAGAAAAAUAUAAUGAAAGAUUGAGAAGAUUUUUAGAUACUGUAUAGGGGUAGGAAUGUUUCCUAUGACCCCAUUAUUAUACAUUAUUUGGAAUGAUCAAUUACAAAGGUUGGAAAAAUGCCGAGAGUGUCGAUCCAGUAUGCGAGUUCCCCUUUGUUUACUCUCUAAAAAGAAUAAGUCUGGGGAGAGAAAGAACACCAAAGAAAAAAAAAUAUAAAGAAUGGUCGAUUUAUCAUGGUAUAGUACAGGAAUGAGUUUAGAAGGAUCUUGAAUGUUUACUUGUUUGAUGAGACCCAGUGAUGUAAGCCUCGUUGAUAUAGUUGUGGAACUAAGGUAUGGAAUCUAGAAUGUUGUGUAAGCUAAAAGAGAAGUACAUGUUGGUUAGGAUUUGAUUAGACUUGUUAGGCAUAUGGACUUAGUUUAGAUGACAUGGCAAUAGGCUAGAGAAUGUUGGGAGUUCCUUUGUUUUCAAAACCUCUUCCACGGGUUCGGCUUUUGGGUUUUGCUUGAGGGCAAGCAAAAGCUAAGUCUGGGGGAGUUGAUAUAUCCCUAUUUUCACUGAAUUUAUCUAUGUUUUAGGCAUAGGAUUUUGAGUCUUUGUGUUAUUUCUCAAGUCUUUUUAGUGUCUUUUCAAGUAUUCUAUGCAGUGGGAAAUAAUGGAGAUGAGGAGACAUUUUGGAGCAAAAGCUAAGGAAAAUGAAGCUAAGGACGAUUUUGGAUUCAUGAAUCAAGAGAAGUAUCGAUCGACACACUCUUGGUGUCGAUCGACACCAGUUUCGGCCCAGCAGAGUCCAAGACGCUUUCAAGUUUAAAGAACAGGGAAAUAUGCCCCAGGAGACUUCCCUAUUUGCAUUAUUAGUCCCUGGACGUUUUAUAGGGUUUAUAUACAUUGUUUUACACCCUAGUUUCGUUAUCAUCAAGUUUUUAUCAAGCUUUUUGCAAAACCCUGUUACAUAGAGACAUAAGCAAUUCAUCGAGUGUUUUCAGAGAUUGAUUCAGUUCUUAAUACAGUGAAAAGAUUCCUUCUUUCCCUUAAUCUAUUUGUUGUGUUUAUGAUUUCAUACUCAAUUAUGUUGUUUGCUUCAAUUAAUAUGUCUGAGUAAUCUGCUUGUUAGGAAUAGGGUUUCUCAUUAGGGAUUCAUAUGGUUUAGUAGAUUGCCCCUUCUGGUAGGUUAUCUGUAGAAUUCUUUAUCUUUAGUUAUGUUUAAUGCUAGAUCUAGAGUAAUUAACUAGAUCUUAAAUCCAGGCAGUAGAUAUGCCCACCAUAUGUAUUUUGUAGUUGGAUCUAUUAUUUGAUGAACCUGGUUUUUAGGUGUGUAAUAAAAAUAGGGCUAUCUACUAAGGUGAACAAUCGAACUCGUUAAGAAUGCAUAUUUAGGUUAAUAAUCUCUCGGCUUCUCCGGUUAUUCUUACCUAUAUAUAUGGGGAGUUUUGCGGAACGCGACCGGUUAUUCCAUAAUUAGAGUUUGAGUUUAAGAAAGGUUCGAUAACAACCUACCUUUCAUUAGAUCUACUCACCAAUAGUUUCCUGAGAAUACCAUGUUCCUAGAUCUUUUUCUAAUCGUUUACAACACAAUCAACCUAAUGUGUUCUUACUUUGUUUUCUUACUAUUUCAAUCAUCACCUGCUAGCUUAAUCUUGAUAUUCAACUCAUUGUUUGAACAAAAGAACUUUGUGAAUUCGAUCCUUAAAUACUGCAUUUGAUCUCUUAUUGGAGAGAGUAGUUUUAGGGUAAUUUCACUACAAGAAAACAAUCGUUUUGGUAGGGAAAAAUUACUCGCUAAUCCCUCGCAAACAGCCAUACGCGAGGGACUUGCGAAGAAAUCAAGUUCCUCGCAAAUCGCUUCUCGCAAAUGGUAAAAAGUCGCAAUUCCCUCGCAAAUUUUGCGAGCAACUGUUUUCCUCGCAAAACACACGCAACUACAGUUCUAGUACUUCCCUCGCAACAGUUGCGAGGGAUUUGCGAUUCUUUUCUUUCUGCCUAGCAAAUCCAUCGCAAAUAUUGCGAUGGAUUUGCAAGUAUUUUGCAACUGAUUUCCUAAUAUAUUAAGGCUUGAUUAGUGGAUAAUUAGAGUCUAAUUACCUGGUUAACUCACAAGGACACAACAGAAAACAAGUGAGAAAACAAGUUCAACACAAGACAAAAGAAUUCAAACACAACUAGACAACGCUAACAGUGACUAUCAAGUACACAACACAACCACACUUGCAAUAGAAAGCAAUUCAAACACAACACUACACAAAGUAUAAUGAAUAAGCGGUCAAGAUUUCAGACAACACAAUAAGUUGUCAAUAAGAUUUCAGACAACACAAUAAGAUUUCAGACACAACUAGACAACGCUAACAGUGAUUAUCAAGUACACAACACAACCACACUUGCAAUAGAAAGGAAUUCAAACACAACACUACACAAAGCAUAAUGAAUAAGCUGUCAAGAUUUCAGACAACACAAUAAGAUUUCAGACACAAAAGCAAUUCAAACACAACACUACACAAAGUAUAAGAUUUCAGACAACAGAAAGAGCACAUAAAAUUUACCUCAGUAAAUAUCUUGUUCUUGGCAUGAAUAGAAAGUCCACCUGAUCCAGUGCUCUCCGGAUUGUCCCCUGAACGCAUAUGAGACUCUUCCUUUCAAUCCUAGAUGUCACUUGCUUGUAGAUCUCCUCUGACUUCCCAUCGAUGAAGCUUCCAUCCGCUUUUCUGUGUGUCUCAUCUAGUAGCUCAAGGAAAUCAGGAGUUUUUUCUCCAAUCUUCUCACACUGAAACACAAAGAGAUAAACAAGAUGUCAGUAUGUAAUUCUAGAUUCAGUAAUGGUAAGGAGAGAAGAAUACUUAUCUUACCCGUUUUCUUGCACGAGCUUUGUAUGAGGUCUGGCCUUAACGGUGUUUAUAGAUGCCUUUGCCAUCCGGAUCAUGAUACCUAGCAUUUCUGCUGUUAUUACUCUUUUUUCUGACUUUGGAUCUUGCCAAAACAGUACUAGACCUUUCCACACAUCAGCAUCAAUCCAUUUUAGCUUGGCUUCAUCACCCUUCUCCUUCCAAUUUCCCUUCCACCGUGACACUUGAUCAGUCAUCCUAGACUUUAGCUUUGCUUCAAACUCAACCCUUACUCUUUUGUUAAUUGAACGGUCCCAGUUAUAUACUUGCUACAAAAGAGAAGCUAACAUCAGAAAUGAAACCAUACACAAAACAAGCAUAAACAUCAAAAGAGCACAGAACUUACCGCAAACGUUUCAUACCAUCGAUCGAUUGUAGCCUUUGAUGUUUGUGACCAAUUGGCAUAAGGUUCUUUGAAAUCUCUUUCAAAGAUGUUGUGGACUGUUGCUGCAACUGCAGCGUCAUCGUCAAACCUACAAGAAGACCAACCAGCCCACACAUAAGGAUUUCUAUGUCUUUAAACUUCUAAGACAUCACAAUGCUAAGUACAACCAAGCUGUUCUAUUUGUUGAAACUUCUAAGGCACUAGAACCUAAUUCCAUUACGCUCUAAGGCACUACAAAGUUCUAAGGCACUACAACCUAAGCUGUUCUAGGACAAUGAAUUUAACCUUACCAGAGAGUUCUCGGGGGACGCUUUGGGUCUAGCCUUGUCAAGCCAGCACGACCAGGACUAUCAAGAAGCUCCUCCAGUGUGAGAUUGUUGAGACGCUCAGCUUGAGAAUCAGAAUGGUUGACAGAAGGCUGAGUGGUUGGCGUUGGAGGCGAUGGUGGAUGGCAUGAACCUUGAACCCCUGAAAUAUUCCCAGCACUGACAGGAGAAUUGACAUGCAACGGGUCUCGCUGCUGUGACCUAUAUCGUGCAUAAGUAUUCUCCGACGACGGCAUCUUGCAAAACAAACAAAACCCUGAGUUUAGAUCCGUAAACUAGAACAUAUUAGAUCUGGAAAACAAUGCCAGAUCGGAGAUGAAGAAAAAGUUAGAUCGGAGAGAAGCAGUUAGAUCGGAGAAGAAGACGCUACCUUGGAGGUAAAAGAGAUCGAGUCGCUGCUGCUACUGGAGAAGAAGAGUCGCGACGGCUGCUGGAGAAGAAGAGUUGCGACGGCUGCUGGAGAAGAAGAGUCAUGACGGUUGCUGGAGAAGACGAGACGCAACGGAGAAGAAGAAGAAGUUAGAUCGAACGGUGGAAGUUGGAAUGGAAAGAAGAAGUUAUAUCGGAGAAGAAGACGUUACCUUGGAGAAGAAACAGAUCGACUCGCGGCUGAAGUUGGAGAAGAAGAGUUGCGGCGGCUGCUGGAGAAUAAGAGACGCGGCGGAGAAAAAGAAGAGAGGCGGCGACGUAAUCAAAUCGAAGAAGAAGAGAGGCGGCACCGAAGAAAAUAGAUCGGAGAAGAAGAGAAGCCGGCGACGAGGAAAACAGAUCGGAGAAGAAGAGAAUCAAAGAAAAAACUUAGGUUUAGGGUUUAAUGCGGCAGGUUUGAGCUCCGCUCAAAAUAGGUUAUCGAGUAUAUAUAAGAAUAUAUUUCCUCGCAAAUCACUCGCAAACCUUGCUAGAAAAUUGCGAGGAACCGUCUUUUAAACCAAUCAAAAUGCAACUUACAUUGCGAGGGAACUGCGAGAGCGCCUAGCAAAUCCCUCGCAGUGUUUUAACCAAUUAAAUCAUAUCUGAUUCAAUAAUUAUAUUUGAUUCAGUCUCUCCUAUUUCUAGUAAGACCCUCAGCAAAAUAAGAACAUGACUAAAAAUUCUAAAUAUUUUAGGGUUUAGUGUAAAUAUUGCGAGGGAAGUGCUACGCGUACUAGCAAACACCUCGCAAUAUCCUCGCAAUGUAUAAUCAAUUUCGAAAAAUACAACAAUCACUACUCAAAAUCAUUUGGAUUCAUUUUUUUGAAUCAUUAGAACGUUAAUUAUCUACAUUUGAACCUAUUUUAUCAUCAUAUAAUUCGAAUGUGUGUUUUCCCCAAAUACAUCAAUGAUGAUCUUAUGGUUUUCUUUAAGUAUGAAUCAUGAAUGUUUAACAUUUUCAAAAUGAAAUGUUAAUAUUGAAACCAAUACAAUAUUUUUUUGUUCAAACCAUAUAAUCAACUUGAAUGAUUAUAUGGUCACUUAGAUUCAUAUUUAUAAAUGAGAAUCAAAGAUUGCAAAACACUUUUAUGUAUUUUAGGGUUUAGGAUAAAGAUUUGCGACGUAUCUGCUUGGGAUUUGCGACGGAUAAUAUCUUUCUUGCGAAACCAUCGUACUUCCCUCGCAAAUUUGCGAGGAAGUCUUCCCUCGCUAGUUUUGCGACGGAAUUGCUACGCGCGUGCGGUACGUAACACCUUUCUCGCAAUACCCUCGCAAAAACUGCGAGGAAUGCCUUCCCUCGCAACCCUUCCUCGCAAAUUGACUGUUUUCUUGUAGUGUUUGAACCAUAUCACUAAUCCAUCCUCAAGAACCCUAAUCACUACUCAAACAACAUAACUAAGAACACAAACCAAGAAAUUACUGAAAUCAUACCAAAAUGUAGAUCUAAACAAACUAAACAACUUUACUCAAAGAACUAAAUGCAAAAACAAAAUAGAUUAAGAGUAAUUAAGUUUUUUAGAUUCAAGAACACAAAAAAAAACUAAAGGAUAAAAGCUAGAUCCUUUGAACAAAUCCCAAAGUGAUCGAUUUAUACUAAAAUGUUGAAAACCCUAGAUUCACUAGAAGACAAGAGACUUGAGGCGGUUUGGGUGAGUGCUCGAUCUUGGGGAUCAAGUAAAGAGGGUGCUGCAAACUCUGCGCCUUUGUGUCUAUGCUCCGAGUGAUCAAUUGGUCGAGUAGAUGCUUCUUCCUCUCCUAUCUGUAUGCUCCGAUGUCUGGUUGAGUGAGGAAUGAGGAGGAUCUGAAGAUGCUUUGAUAGAUCAACAAGUCUUGUAAAGUUGGUCGUCCUUGAUCGAGUGAAGGGGUCGAGUAGAGGAUCGAGUAAGAGGGGCGAGUAGACCGAUCUCCUGCUUCCUCUGUAGCUGCAUGGAUCGAGUAAACUGGUCGAGUGAAUUGCUGCCUCCUCUAUAGAUGCCUGGAUCGAGUGAACUGGUCGAGUAGAUUGCUCCGCUGCUUCCCUCCUGGUUGGAUAGAGUAGAGGGUCGAGUAGAAUCCUUUUAAGCUCCUUCUACACCUGAAAACGCACAAAAACAUGCAAUAUGUAUGCAAGAUGAUCCUAAAUGCCUAAAGGUGCAAAAUAAGCCAAAAAUGAUUCAAAAUGAUAUGAAAUAUUGAGUGAUCACUAAGCUAAAUGAAGAUAAAUACAUGUCUAAAAUGAGUAAAAUACAGUGUUAUCAACUCCCCCAAACUUAUCUCUUGCUUGCCCUCAAGCAAACAAAAAAUCUUAAGUUGAAGGAGAGGUUUGAAGGUGGGGAUUCAAAAACCGAAGCAUGCAUAUAGAACGGGUAAGCUCAAUGUCCAGGUAGCUAAUUCUAGAUUGCAAGAUGAUAGACCCUUACUUAAAAACUUUAGCCAUACUCGUCAUAAUGCAACCUAACAACCUGCCUUAAUCUAUUCAGGCAUUCAGAUCAACCAAUUCCCUUUAACAUUCAUUAAGCACGAACAGUAGAUCAAGCAAUACAAAGGUUAUAAACUCACUUGGUUUCGAGCUUAGGCUAAGAGACAUAAAUGGUCCCUCUAAUGAUUUGGUCGAGUAACAGGGGACUCUUAGAGAAAAGAUUGAGCUUUAGCAGAAUGCUAAAGGUAAAAGCCAACGGACACAUCCAGUCCCAUAGAUGUCGUAACUCUACCCUUUUUCUCAUUCUUUCUCUUUUUGGUUCAAGUUCUAAGGGGUUCUAUUUUUAAACGAUUCAAGAGUCUAGCGGAUUUGGUGGUGAAACUCUGUGCCUUCCUGAAACCACUUCUUCAGGGCGGUUUUCUCGCACCAUGGUGGCGCAUGCGGAAGAGCAGCUCAGUACAGCCUGAAUUACGUUGAUGGCCUUGCCACAAUUUUCCAACAUCUUGUCUUGAAACUUAUUCCAAGCAGUCAUCGAACCAAUAUUCUUAUGCGCUUCACUCAGACUCUUACUCACUCUUGGUGGUGGUUUGUGUUCCUCAAAAUGGAACCUACUCGCAUUGUAGUUCUCCCAAUCCAUCUCCUCCACUUCUUAAUUCCCAGCCCUUUCUUCAUUCUCAGCCCUUUCUUCAUUGUUCGGAGCUUCUCUUGUCGGGGGUGCCCCAUCCAUGAAGAAAAGUGCCUCAUUAGGAGGGUUGAAAUCGAUGUUACACCUCACUGUGAUGGUUGUGAGCUCUUGGCUAGGUAUGAGAAGUCUGGCAUCCAUUUUCGUUCUAUGCUGAAACUUGAGAAUGUGCAUCCCUUCAUGACGCUGAUGCUCAAUGAACAAAGCCCAUUUUAGGUAGGAAUGUCGAUCCAUCUUGGGGCAAAGGGAGUCAACGGAAGUGGCACUGCACAAGCCAUUAGUAUAGGUGUUAUCACCCCUCCUAUAGAAAUGGUUCUCUUGUGUUUAUUCGCUAGUGCUCAUUUCCUGAAACCACAAAGAUGAUUCAAUAAACGCAUUGACGGUGAGGCAUCGUUUGUGUCACCUCUGAAACAACUCUACUUCCAGUGAAGCAAGAAACUGAAGCGCUUCUGUUUUGUAGGCUGAGUGAGGAUUGGUGAUGAGACCCAAAAGACCACUCUUUUCAAAGAGGUACUCGACAUCUUUUGUUAUGCCAAGCUCAUUCAUGGUUUGGGAGUGAGGGUAUCGAGUUCCAUGGAAAUUGUGAACCGCCAAAAGCUCAUAGUAUCCAUCCGGCGACAGCUUAGUCUUCUUCAUCAAGGAUUUGGUGGCUCUUGGAGUUAUUUCAGGUACAUAGUCUUCAUCCCCACCAAGGUCUUCAUCCACGAGGCUUCUCUCUUCCGCCAUGGCUCUCUUACCUCUUGCAAUUUCAGCUCUUCUUCUAACACGAGCUAGGACUUUGACGGCUUGUUCACUGAACCGCCUGUAUUCUUCCAUCUCCCUCUCAGGCCUAGUAGACCAAGAUUCUGCUUCAUCUACGUUGAAAUCAGCAUCCAUUGAAGAUUUGUUGCUUUUUGAACUCAUGGUGAUACUGAACUCUUAGAAACCAAAAUCGAAGAUUAAUAGGUGAGUCAAAAACAAGAAGAAAAAUCGAUGUGUUUGGUCGAGUGAAAGAAAACUGAAGAUUGAAAUUUUGGGAAUGAUUUUGCUAAAGGAAUCGAGUGAGAGAGAUGAUGGUUAGGUGCGAUCAAAAGAGAAAAAGAAAAGAGGGUGAAAGCCUUAUCUUUGAUGUCGAUUUGAAUGAGUGGAGGAGGAUGGUCUCCAUGCUUUCUUGUUGGGAUAAAGGGGGUUGACCAAAUAGCGUUGAGCAAAACGGGUUAAUGCAUUAUCCGACGAGUAAUAGAGUGAUGGGGAAACAAGUGGGCCACUCGAUCACCAUGCUUGGUUGUCUAGUCACUAUACUUGACCAGUUCAUAGAGUAAAAUGAUGAUGCAAAUUUACUCGACCAAUUAAUAGAGUAGAAUUGCUUCUAUAGUAGAUAUUUCUAGAUUACAGAUUCCAGAGCUCUAUAAAUCCUAAUUUAUUUCCUGAACUCCAAAAACACUUAAAAGCAUAUCAAAAUAUCAAAAUUAAAUAUGUACAGAGAUGGGCAUGGGAUUUCCUCCCAAGUGAGCUAGUUUAAAGUCUUAAGCUAGACUUCUUACUAUUUUAGGCACUGAUGGGCUCCUAGAGGUGAACUGUAGUUCCUUCAGGAAUAGGGCAAUCUGUAAUGUAACGCUUGACCCUCUGUCCAUUCACAAUAAAUUCAGAACUUCUCUUCUCGGUAAUAGUAAUUGCCCCAUAUGGCAAUACUUCUUUGAUGGUGAAAGAUCCGGACCACCUGGAUUUUAGCUUUCUUGGAAACAACUUGAGCCUGGAGUUGCAUAGCAGAACUUGGUCUCCAAUGUUGAAAUAUUUUGGUGAGAUCUUUUUGUCAUGAAAGGCAUUUGUUUUUUCUUUGUAGAUUUAAAAGUCUCAUAUGCUUCGAGUCUAAUCUCUUCCAGUUUAUGCUGGUCGACUGCUCUUUUUUCUUGAUCACCCUUGAUUUUCAAGUUCAAAAGUUUGGUUGCUCAAAUGGCUUUAUAUUCCACUUCGACUAGUAGAUGACAAGAUUUCCCAUAUAGCAUCUGGAAUGGGGUUCUUCCAAUAGGCGUUUUGUAUGCAGUUCUAUAGGCCCAUAAAGUCUUAUCAAAUUUAGCUGGACAAUCCCUUCUUUAGACACCAACAACUUUUGUGAGUAUAGCUUUGAUCUGUCUGUUCGAUACUUCCACUUGGCCACUGGUCUGAGGGUGAUAGGGAGGGUCAACCUUAUGCUUGACCCCAUGUUUUUUCAAUAGACUUUCAAAGACCUUGUUAAUGAAAUGUGAGCCUCCAUCACUUAUCACUACCUUCAGGAUACCAUAUCAGGGAAAAAUAAUGGACUUAAACAUUUUUAGGACUACUUUGUGAUCGUUGGUUGGUGCUGAUAUUGCUUCCACCCACUUGGAGACGUAAUCCACGGCUACCAAGAUAUAAGCAUUUCCAUAUAAGGGAGGGUUGAACGGACCCAUGAAGUAUAUUUCCCACACAUCAAAAACUUCUACCUCAAGAAUGGGAUUCUAUGGCAUCUCAUUCCUCCUGGAUAUGUUCCCGACUCUUUGGCAAGGAUCGCAUUUCGCUAUGAAUUCCUGAGUAUCUUUAAACAUUGUGGGCCACUACAGACCUGCCUGCAAAACUUUCUAGGCAGUCUUGAAGGUGGCGAAAUGCCCUCCAUAUGUGGAGCCUUGGCAAUGUUCCAGUAUACCUUGGACUUCUCCUUCAGAGACACACCUCCUGAAUAGCCCAUCAUUCCCCUUUUUAUAUAGGUACGGUUCAUCCCAAUAGUAAUGGUGGACAUCUCUAAAGGACUUCAUUUUUUUAUAUGCAUCCAAACUCUGGGGGAUCAUAACGCUUGCUAAAUAAUUGACUAAAUCUGCAUAACAGGCCAACUUUUCUUCUUCAACUGCAUAUGCUUCGUCCAACAUGUCCUUUGUGUCGAUGCUUUUGUUAACAAGGUCAGUUCAAUAAUUGACUAAUUGAUAAGUAAGUUUUUACGCCUACUUAUAUGCUGAAGUGAGGUUCAGUUCAAUUCCCCAUAAACACUAACAUGUCGAUGCAACUACAAGGGGUGUCAAUCUAGUCCACUGGUAUUGCUUGCAAUCAAGAUGUGUACAGAAGCAACUAAGUCAAGUCAGAUUAUAGUGAUGGUUGGUUUCUAGUAACAAUCCUAGGUCAAGAUUCAGACAACAAAAAUAAGAACUUAAAAGCCCUACUCGAUAAUUGGGUCGAGUAGAACCAACAGGUGACAAUAUUAAGAACUAAAAUGCAAUCAACAGGUGAUACAAAUAACAGAUAAAUAAAAGUACAACAACGGGGGUGAAUACAAAUAAAUAUAAGAAGAAUUGAAGUCCUAAGGAUGGAUUUAUUGAUAAGGACAACUCUAGGGUUCAUCAAGUGGCUAACAGGUGAAAGGCAGAAACCCUAGAUGAUAGAUUCAAAAACCGGGUCAAUUCACUCUCGUGACGGAGACCCCCAUAACUCUACCACUUCCUAAUCCCAACUCUCGUUGAUGAAACAUAGCAGAGCAGGGUUUAAGCAACAAUCUACCAAAGCCAAUAAGCAAUCUAGCCAAUCUCUUGGUCUAUAGUCUACAUAGUAGAUGCUUCUUCCACUCCUAUCGGUAUGCUCAGAUGUCUGGUUGAGUGAGGAAUGAGGAGGAUCCGAAAACGCUUUGAUAGAUCAACAAGUCUUGUAGAGUUGGUCGUCCUUGAUCGAGUAAAGGGGUCGAGUAGAGGAUCGAGUAAGAGGGGCAAGUAGACAGAUAUGUUGCUUCCUUCGUAGCUGCCUUGAUCGAGUAAACUAGUCGAGUGAAUUUCUGCCUCCUCGGUAGCUGCCUGGAUCGAGUGAACUGAUCGAGUAGAUUGCUCCGCUGCUUCCCUCCUGGUUGGAUACAGUAGAGGGUCGAGUAGAAUCCUUUUAAGCUCCUUUUGCACCUGAAAACACACCAAAACAUGCAAUAUGUAUGCAAGAUGAUCCUAAAUGCCUAAGUGUCUAAAAUAAGCUAAAUGAUGAUAAAUACAGUGUUAUCAACUUUGCUGGGCCAAAACUAGUGUCGAUCGACACUCUCUCUGAUUCCUGAAUGUCUCCUUAUCUCCAUUGUUGUCCCACUACAUAGAGUACUUGAAAAGACACUAAAACGACUUGAGAAACAACAUAAAGACUCAAAAUCCUAACCCUAAAUCAUAGAUAAAAUCAAUGAAAAUAGGGAUAUAUUAAGUAUAAAUGGGGUUACUUCAUGUUAUUUCAAAGGAAGGACAAGUUUACGGCAGGGAGACCCAUUAUCCUCGAUUCUGUGGUAAUGAAUGUGUUAUCUCAUAUGUUGAAUAAAGCAGGAGAAGAAGGAUAUUUCUAGUAUCACCCUGGAUGUGUGGAUCUUAGGCUUACACAUCUGUGUUUUGCUGAUGAUUUAUUGAUCUUCUUAGAGGGUUCUAAGCAAUCUUUGAGAGGGGUUCUGUCAGUCCUUACAGCGUUUGAGGAUAUGACUAGGUUGGGAAUGAAUAUUGAGAAAACCUCUAUGUUUAGUUCUGGUUUGAAUGAGCAUAGCUUGAGCCGUUUAAAGGGUAUAUUCAAUCUGCAGCCUACCCCUCUUCCAAUUAGGUACUUGGGUCUCCCUUUAUGCUCAAGAAAGCUUUUGGUUCGAGAUUGUGAUCCCUUGUUAUCUCAAAUCAGGAAAAAAUUAAACUCGUGGACUCACAAGUUUCUGAGUUUGGCUAGCAGAUUAACUUUGAUCUCUUCUGUCAUCUCGGGCAUCAUAGGUUUUUGGACUAGUGCUUUCUUACUUCCUAAGCAGGUUAUUCGAAAGAUCAAUGGGCUUUGCAGCUCCUUUCUAUGAAAUUGGAUACACCUUCAGGUGCAAAAGUAUCAUGGUAUAAUGUUUGUUUCCCUAAAUCUGAAGGUGACUUGGAUUGAGACAUAUUGGUAGUUGGGAUGAGACUUAUGCCAUGAAACUUUUUUGGAUGCUGUUUUUUAGAGCCAGAUCUUUAUGGGUUGCAUGGAUACGAAGUAAGUACUUGUCUACAGCUCCUUUGUGGGCACUGAAUGAAAAGAAUGUUGCUUACUCAGAAAAUUACUCAAGCUUCGUUCGAAAACUCUUCAAUUUCUGAGCAUCAAUAUUGGAAAUGGUGAUUCCACGUUCUUUUGGUGGGAUCCUUGGACUCCUUUUGAUUCUCUUUACCAUUUCCUUGGAUCAGAUGGGCCUACUCAUUAAGGAAUCGGGAAAAAUGUCGAUAUGUCUCUUAAAUACCAAAGUUAUUGUUGAUUUUGUAAUUAAGUGGGUUAAGUCUUUGGUUAUAAAUUGCUUUUGGUUAUGAGAUUAAGUCAAUUGACAGAAAAAUUAACUGAGUUAAGUCUUUGGUUAUAAAUUCUAUUAACUUAUGAAACGACAUCGUUUCAAAUUUUAAAAAUUUAUAACAAGUUCAGGAAUCGAACUCGUAUCCUCUGAGAAGAUGACGCCAAUGACUGGAGGAUAUAGAUGAUUGUCACUAGGGGAAAGUACCUGUUUUCGAAAGUUAUGUAAAAAGUGCUUUAAAGUAAAUAUAUAACCAAGACAAAUGCCUAUUUUGCAAUUAACUCUUAUUAAAAAUUGAGGGUUUUGAUCCCCUUUGUCGGAGUCACCGAGAAGGCGAGUAUCUCACCGUCGUCAACUCGCCGCAUCCUAGUGAAUUUCAUACCCAUUGAGCACAGUUUGCAGAACAUAAUCAAUCUUUCCCUAACCAAUUUCAAAAGUUCUUUCCAAGAGAGAAGUCGAUUGAUUACUCCUCCGAAAAUGGUGAGUAAAUUUGGAGAAAGCUUGAUCAGAAGAUGCGAAGAUGGUCAAUUCUUUCUAAUCGUCGUGGUUUAGAUCUUGAUUCGCGAUCUUAAGAGUGAGUCCCAGAGAAAUGUAGCCCGAAUCGGAAGUUAAUGCCAUGGAUGCAUUUAUCGAGCUUUUAUUUAAGCUAUAUAUGUAUCUAAGUUUGUGUACAAUCAAUACGAUGUCUCAGCUCAGUAGGUUCAGUAUCAGCGUUUCAUCUCAAAGGUGUUAUGUUUGAUUCUUCACUUUUUAAUAUUUUUAUAAUAUUAAAACUUCGCCGAUUAUAAGUUAACAGAAUUUAUAACGAAAAACUUAACACUGUUAAUUUUUCCGUCAGUUGACUUAACGUUAGGUCCAAAAUGGCAAAGUCAACAAAAGUUAACUAUUUAAUUUAAAAGUCAACAAUUACUUUGGUAUUUAAGUGACAUUUUAAAAGUUUAUGUUUUUUUCGUCCCAAAUUUGAAAGUUCAUUCUUUUUAAACAUUUUUCCCUUUAGGAAUCCCUCUGUUUUCAACUAGGCCUGGGAGUUCGGCAGAAACCGGUUAAACCGAACUGAACAAACCGACGAUUAUUGUUUUCGGUUUCAAACCGAGUUAUUGUUCUAAACCGAUCGGCCAAAAAUUAAAUUAAUUUUGGUCUUCGGAUAAUACGGUUCGGUUCAUCAAAUCCGAACGGUUUUUUCGGUUUAGGGAGAUACCUUACAAAAAUAGAAAACCCUAAAUCUAUCACUAAAUUCUAAAUUGUUUUCUAAUCUCUCCUCCUCUACAAACGCUUCUUGUCUCCUUUUCUUCUUCAACCACUUUUUAUUUUUGACCUUCUAAUCCUUCUUCAUUCUUCUUCGUAUUCCUUCUUCUUCUUCUCCUUGUCUUAGUUCUUCUUCUCCACCUUUUUGUUUUGUAGGUGUCUUCUGUCAAAGCCGUCGCGACAUAAAUCCUUCUGUCAUUGACGACUUUAACGGCAACAAUUUUAUGGUUCUCUACAUCUCUUCUCGCCAGAUCUAGAUUCAUCUUCUCUGUUUUUUUUCUUUUUCACCUCACCUUUGUUUUUCCAUCUCACUCCAACCGUUUGCCGUCAUCUUCACAAAAUGAACAACAAAACCCUAGAUGUGGGUAGUGGGCUUCACUUGACCUAGAACAACGUUUUGGGCUUAUAAAAGCUAAAAACAUAAAGUUGGGCUUUAGAAAACUUAGCCCAUUAUGCAUAAACUUGAUCCAACACUAUUUGGUUAACCGAUUAAAAACAGUUUCGGUUCAAAUUCGGCGAGUUAUAAAUUUUAUUAACCGAACUGAAUUAACCGAGUACCAAACUGAACCGAAUUUUUAUUCGGUUCAAUUCGGCAAAAUUUUAAAAAACCAAAAAACCCGGAAAACCGAUUAAACCGAAUUGUUUAACCCGAUUUAACCGAUCUCCCAGGCCUAUUUUCAACUGUGGCUGAACUACGAAAUAUAGAUGGUUGGUCUCUUCCUCCUGCUAGAACAGAGAGACAAGUUCUUCUCCACUCUUUUAUCUCUACUAUUUCCAUGUCAUCAGCGAAUGAUACUCCGGUUUGGGCAAUUGAUGGUAGGCCUUACUUCUCUUUCUCUUCUAAAUCUGUAUGGAAUGCUAUUAGGAUUUCAAAUCAAGUUCAAUCUUGGGUUCCUCUUGUAUGGCACAAAGCAGUCAUUCCACGUCAUGCUAUCACAUCCUGGCUUUUUAUACUCAAUCGUAACCCUACUCUAGAUCGUUUAUCUACAUGGGGUUUUGAUAUUGAGUUGGACUGUCUUUUGUGUGGCUUUGUCAGGGCAUGAAGUGAUGCUAGCAGACUGAAGCUUGGUGCUGAGGUAAGAGAUUAGUUGUUGGAUGUGAUCUUUAGACAUUAUUUCAUCCUGCAUAACCGGUGCUUGAUUUUCAGACUGAUCGAUGCUUGUUAGAUUUGUACUGCCUACACAAGAACUCUGUUGAUUUGCCCUUGGAUGUCCCGGAGGAUAGCCAUGAACUUUGUAACACUUGUCAACAGUGUGACCAAUACGAUUGCAGUGAGUACAUUUGGGUUUCUUGAAGUUUCCCUGAGCCAUCAAUAUUGGAUUCUGUUCAGUAAGCAAACCUUGAGUCUGAAAAGCAGCCGGAGAGGGAGUAGGUUUCGAAGCAUGUCCAACCAAUCGCUGACUCUCAUCUUGAUCAAGCAUGUUGUAAAUUUCAUUCAGUCCAGGUCUAGGCUUCAUGUUAAGAAUCUGACUCAUGAUAGUAUUAAAGUCAUCAUUUAAACCCAUCAAAAACUGAAUGACUCUACUUGUUUCAGCAUCUUCAAGCAGCUCCUUCACUUGAUCACAGUCACACUUCUUCACACUACGAGUUUUAGUAUUCAACAACUGUUCCCAUAGAGUUUUCUUCUUUGUAAAGUAAGUGGAUAGAUUAAGAGAUCCCUGCUUCAGUGUCAUCACAGCUUGUUCCAGCUGAUACUUCCUAGGCAAAUUAUUCACCCUAAACCGAGUAAAUAGAUCAGUCCACAUCUCAACAGCAUCUUCAUAAUAAAGUAUACUGUCAUAAAUCUCCUUGUUCACAACAUUAAGAAUCCACGAUUUCACCAUACUAUUGCAUCUACUCCAGAUUCGAAAAGUAGAAUCAUCAACAGAAGGUCGCAACAGAGAUCCAUCAACAAAACCCAGCUUGUUUUUCGCAUCUAGGCUGAUUCUCAUCGCUAUGGACCAACUAUUAUAGUUACUACCAUCAAGAACAUGAGCUACAAUAGAUAAACCUGGAUGAUCGGAGGAAUGGAGAAUCAAUGGGUUAUCAACGUUGUCAGGAACCUUCGGAUUUGACCCAUUUCCACCAUAAGCAUCCGAUCGUUGAGUAAGUUGCUGUUUCAGUGCCAUGAGCUUCUGAUCUUCAAGGAUCGUUGCUUCACGAGCAGAUCUGACAGCUGAACCUUCAUCAUCCGUCAUUGCACUUCGAGUCUUCAUUUUUCCACCUUUCUUCACCAUUUUUCUUCAAACUGAGCUCGCGGAAGAACAAUCAAUGAUCAGAGAAGGAAGAAUCGGUGAAGAUGGAACAGAAACUGUAGAAACGAAGGUGAAAUCACCAGAUUUGUGUGAGGAAAUGCUCUGAUACCAUAUUAGAAGUCGAGAACAAAAGAGUUUUGUGAAAUGAUUUUCUAUUUUCUCAAAUGUAAAAGUAAUUACAAAGCUGAUUAUAUACAAUUCUCCUAAACCAACUAAACCAAGCUACAAUGUACAAUCUAAGCUAAACCGGAUUACAAUAGGUAAGUUAAUACCCACGAAUCAAGGAAUCAUUUGUAUUUGAAUGUGUCUUCUCUGCUGAAGUUUGGCGAUUGAUAACACAACGGCUUCAGACAUCACCCCCUCCGCUCCUCUGGGAUCAAAUCCUUCUUUGGCUACCUAAAGCUUCAACAUCUAAACAUCGUAAUCUAGCUCUCCUUCAAGGUUGGCAAGGUGCAAUCUAUGCAUUGUGGAAGGAACGAAAUCGCCGAUUCCAUGAUGGUCUCUCCCUCUCUUCGGGUACAAUCGCAAUGGACGUCAUGUCCACCAUGAUUAACAAGUGUAAAGUAAUGAUUCAGCUGGACUUAAAGCGUGGAAUUUCACUUCUCCAAUGUUGGACUCACUAUGGUUUAAAUCAAGAUUAUGGCUCUGUUUUUCUUUAUGCAGGUUUCUCUGUUUUUGAUUCUUACUCUUUCUAGCAUUCUCUGCUAGUCCUCUUUCUUCUCUUUCUGGUUGUAAUAGUUUCGUCUUCUUUCAUUGUAAUUUUUUCUUCCAUUUAUUUUAAAAAACCGGUAAACAAAAAAAAGUAUACAAUAAUUCCAUUCUCAUACUUUUUGUCGUAUAUAUUGACUUAAUUAGGAAUCUAAACAGAAAUCAGUAUUUAGUAAUGAUUAAUAUUGAUUCAAAAAUUUUGACUUAAAAUUGAUCGAGAGUCAGUGUAUAGCGAGAGAGGCUAAAUAUAUAGUCAUGGAAUACAACUCUGUUACUAUAUUCCCUAAAAGUCAAGAUCUAUAGUAAUAAAUUCGUGUAAAAUAAACAAAAGAUAGAACAUAGAUUUAGAGAACAUUAGAGUAAAUGUAAGAGAACUGGACAAAGAACGAUGAGAGGAAAUAGAUUUUUUCGAAUAAAUUGAAAUGAAUUCAAAACCAAAAUAGUGUAAACCUUACAAAUCCGAAAAUGGUUUUAACAAAGACAAUUGAAAUCAAUAAUGAAAGAAACAUGAAAUAAUCAAAUCGAAUGCAAAGAAAUGUAACAAAAUUGUCCAUCUAAAACAACCGUCACAUUUUUGAAAGACCAGCAAAUCACUCCUUCUUUUCGACCUUCACCUUAAAAACCUCUUUCUUAACAGCCUCCUUCUUCACAAUAAUCAGCUCAACACUUCCCCUAUCAACAGUAACCUCUUCAUCUAACUCCACCACUGUCCCUUUCUUUUUGAUAUCAACACGCUCGUCUCCAACAAUCAAGGUAUUAGGUGUAGCAGCUCCACGAAUAACACCCUCCGCAUCAAACUCUAGUUUAGACUUUCCCAAGUAUAUAGGUUCAAGACAUAAUUUCUUCGAAGUUGAAGAUCAAUCUGAUGCAUCAAUUUCUGUAGCAUAGACACGCUUAGAAGAUGGAGUAAUAGACUCGGUUGUUUCCUGGCUAUUCUCUAUCAUGAGUGGUACCUAUUGUAUUAUAAUACACGAUUAAAGAUUAGACAUAUGAAUGGAAGCACAAUAAAUACAAAUUAUUAUAAGUGUUAUGAUUAAUGAUAUAUGUUUAUAGUAGGAUUACCUGAUCACCAGAAACGAUUGAAGCCGCGUUGACAAUCUCAGCAGAGUCCUCUAGCAAUUGGUCAUCAAGAAGUCCAUCCUUGAGGAGAACCUUUGAAACCUUGUAGAUCUCUUUUCUCAUCCCAUAUAUUCUCUUUCUCAACACAUACCAGGAAAAGAAAUGUCUUUCCAAUCAAAUUUUUCACGGGAUCAUGCAAUACAUCUGGAUCCUCGAUCUCCUCAACGGAGCCAUCAAGUACAAAAGCAGAGGACUCGCCAAUAAUUUCAGAGCAAAUUGAAUCAAAUAGCAACAAUUUCGCCUCUCCAGUAUUAUCAAUGACUUUAGCAAAACAUCAUGAACCUGUAAAAAAAAAACAACUCAUACAAUAUAAGUAAGACCGUUUGAGAAAAUCCAUAAACAUUUUCCAAAUUAAUAAAACGCAUAGGGAGUGCAUAUGCACCUAGUAACAACAUUUGUGACCACAUACUUGCACAUGUCACACCAUAAACGUGGUUUCUUUCCUUUGUUAUUGACACCAUGCACCCCAUCAUGUAGAUAUGUGUUACCUUCUUUUUGCAAACUUUGCAACUGAUGAAGUACCAAGCCCAAUCUGUAUCUAUCGCAUAAAUAGUACACAAUACCCUUACCUUACCAAUGUACACAUACAUAAAAUUUCAAACAUUAGGAUAUAUAACAAAAAAGAUCAUCAAGGUCAAAAACACCAAAAAUAAUAUGAUCUCACACCUCUACAUAAUUAAUGAGUUAUGAGAUAGUGUUCCUUGCGAACUCAGCAUAGUCAACAUUCUGACCAGCGACCAUUUGAAACCUUGGAACUCUCUCUCGAUGUACGCAAAUGAUACCAUCCGCUGGGAGUAUAGAUUUAAAAGCAGAACCGGUAUUCAUAUACAUUACAAAAAAAGCAAAAUUCAAUAUGAGCAGGUUCGUAUGGUUAGCAAAACUUACGAUCGCACGAAAACAUCAACCUCUGGGAAAGGUGGAUUGACAUGUACUUGAGAGGAGUCAAACGAAUUAGAUAAACUUCGAACACCUAAUAUUUGAUAUUCAAUAAAAAUUACGAAUCAAUCUAUAGAAAAUAUGACAUCUUCGUACCAUUAUAAGCCUUUAUUUUGGAAAACCGUAAGAGGUAGACCACAAUCUUGCCAUCAGACUCCUGACAGGACCUAAAGACAUGUUCGGCGAACGAACUCCACAAAGUUACAGCCAAUCUCUCAUCCCUGUUAGUAGUAAAUGAAGACGAAAUGAGUACCAAUACUAACACAACCAAAAAUCAGAGAAUAAGCAACUUACAUCUCAUCUCUUAUUUCAAAAUCAAUCUUCUUGGUUGGCUUAUUAUUAGUCUCGAGAUCUUCAAGCUCACCAAUCAUAACAAUCUGACCUAUAAAUUUUGUUACACGAAAGAGCAAGCAAAUAUUAAUAAUUUGGAAUAACAUGACAAUUAAAAUACACGGAUCUUUGAUAUAACCCUUACCAACCAAGAUGUGAGGAUUCAACUCUCCACUUUGAAUUAUUUUAUAGCUUGCCAACUGUCAGGAAGUUGGAAUCAGAUUUUGAUUCACAGCCCAUGACUUGAGUUCCAGUUUGGAAACUCAUCUUAUACAAAUGGUUGGUAGGAUAAAACUGGCCACCUGCAUAAUUGAGACCAAACUUCUCAAUGAAGAUCCAUUCAUCAACAAUAAGCUGGUUGACAAACUUAGACAUCAACUCCUUUUUCACAGAUGUGUGUCUUCCCCUACAAAUGUUUUGAAAAAUGAUACGAUGCAUUAGCAAGACAUAUACAUUAUUUACGUUUGUAAAGAAUAUACUUGGAGGGUCUGUUUUUUACUUGCUCAUCAUAAAUGACCAACUCCAAUGUUUCACCGGUACUCGCGGUGAACUGUUUCCACUUGUCUUGUAGGGUCUCACAACUUUAAGAUAUGCGAAAGUGGAAACCAUUUUUCUGAAGUAAGCUUUUUGCUAAUGAAUUAGUAAGAGAUUGGAGUUUGUGAUGAUGAGAAGUGCCGGUCGUUAAAAGAGUAUUUAUAGAGAUAACAAUAGGUUAAAAAUCCUUUUGCUCUACACAGAGAAAAAAAAACGCAUAAGGAAAUUUCUUUUCAUUUCUCGAAAAAGUUAUUGCUUAAAUAUUCUUGGCCAUUAUGUUAGUGAUAUUGCGUGAUUAGAAUUCGUUUGUAUAAGGAAAGUUGUGAGCUACACACGAAAAAAACACAUAGGGAAAGUCAACGUUAUUCCUUAAAUAUAUUGGCUAUUAUGUUAGUGAUUUUGCUUGAUUAGAAUUCGGUUGUAUAAGGCAAGUCGUAAGCAACAUUAUUGCUUAAAUAUAUUGGCUAUUAAGAAGAAACGAACAGAGAAAGUCCGUGAGCUAAUCACGCAAACUUUAUUGCUUAAAUAUAUUGACUAUUAUGAAUGUGAUAUUGUGGUGAGAAUUCGUUUAUAUAGGGCAAGUUGUAUAUGCCAAUUGAUAUUUACCAUAUAUUUGAAUUGAGAAUUUUAAUUGACAUGAAUGCACAUUGUUGAGUAUGGAAACUGUUUAUAAAAUUUUUGUGUCGUUGGAGUUAUUCAAUUCAAGUGUUAUUGGAGUUAAUUCAACUAAUUACUGCAAUUCAACUAAUUGUAAGUUUUUAGUUAUAAAGUAUUUGAUUGAAAUUAAAUUUGUAAAGACUAAUAUUGAAAAUAGUAAAUAGGUGAGGGAUUUUUGGCCAAAAACCCUACCAAAAAUGUAUACGUAGAUCAUUGUAAAUCUAUGUUACUUGUGUAGUUUCGAAACAACACAGUCAUUACAAGUCAUUUUAAAGGACUUUAAAAACCCUUGUAAAAUCAUUUUUAAAAAUCCUUCAUAAUCCUUUUAAAGACUUUUUUAUAACCCUUGUACAAAAAAAUUUUAAAAUUUUUUAAAAGCACACAACCAUAAAUAGAAACAAAAAAAAAACAUUUUCAAACCAGCUCUAAUCAACUGGUAACCCAUAAAUUAAGUGAGGAUUGGCAUAUAAGAGAAUUGGCAUUAGAAAUCUUUUUAAAAGUUUUUCGAAACCCAAAUAUCAAACUUUAAAUAUUAAUCUAUCAAAAUUGUAAAACCAUUUCUAAAAUUCUUUCAUAAUCCCAAAUAUCAAUCUAUUUUACUUGUGUAGUUUGUAACCAAAAACCCUAGAAAUUGCUAUAACAAAGAAGAGAUUCGGCAAAAAGAAACAAAAUCGAACAAAUCCAAAUAUCAAACUUUAGUGUCAUAAAUUGUGACCUUCAAUUCAUUUCUUUGCUGGAAAAACGGAAUUUCUUCAAAUUGUUGAAGGGACAGUUUCUUUGCAUCUUUUUUUUUUUGUUACUUUCACGAUUUCCUUUUCUUUUUGUUUUUAGUGAAUUUUGGGCUUCAGUGAAUUUUUACUAAAACGGCUUGCUUUUCAAAAAUAAGUGGCCUAGGCCAAAUUACUAACAGUACAAGUGUUAACAUUAUUGUAACUUUUUCAACGCUUUAAAAUUCUUUUAAAACCUUUUAAAAAGGAUUGUAGAUCCUUUCAAAAACCUUUUAAAAUUGCUUUUGUAAAUCAUUUUUGAAUCCUUUUCAAUUCAACUUUAAGCACUUUCUAACCCAGACAACCAUAUAUAGGAAUUGUACUAAAUAAACUUCAUCAAUAUUUUUUUCCAUUUUAGUUUUAUAGGUCUUGAGUUCGAAUUACUUUUAGUGCACCUUUUUCAAAAAAAUUUAAACACUUUAAAAUUCUUUUAAAAACGAUUGUAAAUUCUUUUAAAAAUGGUUGUAAAUUUUUUUAAAAACAGUUGUAAAUCUUUUUAUAAUAACAGUUACUGCAAUUUUUUCAACGCUUUUAAAUCCUUUAAAAAAAAGCUUGUACAUCAUUUAAAAAUCUGCUAAAAAGCAUAUUUAUCAUACAGUAAUUGUGUUCAAUAGUAAUUGUACUAAAUAAAUUUCAUAAAAUUUAUAUCAUACAGAUGUUCAUAAAAUAUUCAAACGACAAAGUUUUAUGAAAUAAGAAACAAAAGCUGCUAAAUCUUUCUUAUACUCCACUCUUUUUUAUUAGCAAUCUGCUACUUCUGCAUAGUGACUGACCCUAUUCAAAAGAAAAAUGAUAAUAUAACCCAAAACUUCUUAAUUCUUCAAACGGAUUGGUUAUUGAAAUUAUAUUGGUUUAAGCAUAUACUAACCUAUAUAUUUGCUAAUUCUGUGUAGAUGUUAGCCGCGAAUUUCUUCCUUGCGUUUCCAAUAAUAUUUCCCUCAAGGUUUGAAUGACUAGUAUACAUUGUAUAGCACUCCAUUAUCUUCACAACGUAGAUACCAAAAUCUUCAAUCUUAGGAGCCUACCACCAAAAACCAAAAGAAUUUUAAGCAUUUAAUUUGGAAAUUACUUGAGGAAUAGAGGUCAAGACUCUGAUAUAUUAAAGAAAUUUAGAAAUUUGUUGAGGAAAAGAGGUCAAGACUCUAAUACUGAAUGGAGAGACAUCCAUGUCCUCUUUUCUGAGGAUGUUCUGAACAAUGUAUGGCACAACAAUAGAGUAGGCACCAACAUGUUUUUUGUUAACUUCUUUUGUUAAAAAAGCUGAUGCACAAUCCCACACACAAACUGCCUUCUGUUCCAAGUGGAUUAGCAUGACGACCCAACAAAUUCCUUUAAUACACAAAAGAGCGAUUAUGCACUUGAUAUCUUCCUCUAUUAUCAGGUUACAGAUUUCUUCAGAUGGAAAUUGAAAUCCCUCUUUGUCAUCCACAAACUCCAUGUAUGACUCAUCAAUCACAUUUAAAAAAGACAAUCCAACUAAUACAACAGUUUUAUUUUUGAACAUUUCUGGAUUUCUUUCCUUCCUCGUUUUCAAUAACUCCAAUGCUGCAUCAACAAGCUAAACACAAAACAAAAAUAGAAAUUAUCAUAUAAGAAAAUUGGUUUUACAAGGAUUUUAAAAUAUUAAAUAUAUUGUUGCUGUUAUUGCUUUCCCUAGCGUUUCUAGCGUUGUAAACCACUUUGUAUCUAUAUUAUUUUCCGCAAUUGUUAGUGCCCUAAAACAACAAAACAGUCACCAAUGAUUUCAAAUUUAUAAAUGCAAAAGCAUGUUUUUAAUUUUGUUCUUACUAACAAAAAACUCACUUGCAUUUCCUUGACUUCUUCCCCUCAGCCAAUUUCUCAACCCGUGAUGCGUCAACUUUCGCAAAUGGAUACAAUAUUGGGUGCUUCUUCUUCUCAGCUGUGAAAGGUGGUUGUGUAUGAAUUGAAGGAAUUGUACCUCGCUUACUUUUUCUUUGUGCAGUAGGAUGAUCAUCAUUGUCGCCAACAGGUGGUCCGUCAACAUUAUCAGCGUCGUCAACUCGACUUUGUUUGUUUGAUCUUGUUGGAACAUUAUCACCAUCAUUGUCAAUAAUUUUUCUCUUCUUACUCAGUGUCUACCAAAAAGAAAAGAAAAACAGAUGUUUUAAAUACCUUGUAAACAAAAUUUUAGUUCCUUGCAAACAUUCUUAUACCAUAAAUUUCUCGCAAUCUCAUAACAUAUUACUUUUUUAAAAACCCUCAUAUAAUUUUUUAAAUAAGAUACUAACCUCUUUUCCUGUUGAAACAUCAUCUUGUUUCUGCCUCUUUCUCGGCGCCUAGAAUAAAUGAAAAACACUUUUUUAAAAUUACUUUUAAAAUCCCUUUUAAAUAUCAUUACAAGACGAUUGACAAUUUUUAAAAAUAGUUCCAUUGUAAAUAUUAACCUGUUUUCUUACGCUUGGUUUAAGUCUCUUCUUCUUAAGUUGAAAGAAAGAUAAUUUUUUAAAGAAACAUUACAAACACUUUGUGAGAUAAUACAAAUUCUUUUAAAUGCUAACGUCAUUUUUUCCUCAACUAACUCUCUUCUUAUCCUUUUCAAUAUCCAGACUUUCUUUAGAUAAAAUAUUGAAAUUUGGUGUAGAGAAUCGUGAAGUAGGAGACUGAUACUUCAAAAGAUAACAGAAUGUAAAGUUCUAAAAACGAUACUAAUCAUUUUUGUAAAACUUUUAGAGAAAUAAGAUUACUUCAGUUUUGAUGAUUGUUCAGCUAUUUCAUCACCAAUAUCGCGUUGGGUGUUUUCAUCAUUACCCGGAUAGCUCCCAUAUUGUAUUUUUGGCUUUCAGAUUGAAUCUUCAAAUGUGUCAUUCUCAUUCUGCAACAAAAUAAAAUAAUUAGUCAAUAGAUAAUAUAUGUAGUAAACCUUUAAAAUACAUAUAAGAUACAUUGUAAACCUUCCUAAACACCUAUUAAAUAACUUUCUAAAUACCUACUUAACGUUUAAAAUUCAUUGUAAAACCUUUGUAAGACUUUUUAAAUAGCUUGUAAAGAUUUUCAAUUACCUCUUCUUUUCUUUCUACUCUUUCUUCUUCUGACUGCAAAAAAAAGAGUACACCUUUUUAAUUAACUGUUGUAAAUUGACUUAAAUACGUAAAAUCUUUAUAAAUAUUCUUUUACCUGUUCUUUUCUUUCUUCAUCUUCAUCAGAUCUCUGAUUAUUCUUUCUCUCCAUUUUAAUGUCUAAAAUCUUCUCAAUGAGCUCGACUCACUUGUUAAGAUCUUCAAGGAUUGUAAAAAUCCUGUCAAGAUUCUCGCUAUCAGAUAUUUUGUUAUUCAUUUUCUUUUCACCUACUUCUUCAAGGGCAACAAAAACAUCAAUGCAUCUUGUAUUCAUUCAGUUUUCUUCAUUCUAUAGCCCAUCUUAAAAAGUUUCAGAACUUGUUGGAAUUCUGUGUCAUUUAGAUGAAAACCAGGAACUAAAGACUUGAAGUCUUCUAGGUUCCUUAUAAUUGUAUCCACCUCAAUCUGCGAAGAUACAAUAACAUUAAAAAUCUUGAAAAAGCAGAACUUCAAAUCUCAAAGCCAUUCUAAAUUACCUUUUGAAAUCUCUUGUAAAUCCUUUAAACCCUUUGUAAAUUAUUAUAAACGACUUGUAAUUCUAUAAAAAAAACCCAAUCUAAAACACUUUUUAAAAUCUCUUGUAAAUAAUUUUUAUACUAAGACAUAACAAUAAAACUCUUCAAAUUAUAUAAAUAGACAGACCAAAGCUUACAUCAGUAGUUUGAUUUACCAGGUUUACAACCUUGGAAAACUCUGGCGUACUAGUGCUUUUCCACUUCAAUAUCAAAGGAUAUUCAGAUCAGUAUUCCUUAUCACUAAUUCCAUAUGCUGCACCAAAUGCUGGAACUGCGCUCAACAACCAUAUGGUUAGCGCAAGUCCAAAUCCUCUUAGAUCUUAUUUUUUGGUUGCCCAAGUUUUCUCGUCCAUUCUUAGAAUUGAAUUUGAUAGAAUACUGUAUGGUUCUUUACCCCACAGUUGGGCUGUGUACAUCUUAAAAUCAGAAGCAUGCUGCAAUCUUAACAAAGGAAUCUUCUCUUUGUCAAAAGUUGUCAAUAGAAGUCCUUCAGUCAACAACACUGCACCAAGACACAACUUUUUUUCAUCUUCAACAGGAGCUUCACCUUCCUUAGGUUUUGUAAACUAUCGAUCUUCGAGGUCACAAAGAGUAUAUACUCCUUCAGUCGCCCAAAAGUAUGGAUCUUUUACUGGAUCUUUGCCCAUUCGUCGAAGUUCCCUAUUAGCAGGUUCACAUUGAAUUCCUGUAAGAACAAAAGACAACGUAAAGACAUUUAUUACAGGUUUUAUAGUAAAUACUUUAAUAACGAUUGUAAAUCAUGUAAACCCUUUUAAAAACCCUUAUAAACCCUUCAAAAUCACUUUUUUAUCCUUUAAAAACGAUUGUAAAUCAUGUUAACCCAUUUUCAAAGCUUUAAUUAUCCUUGUAAAUCAUUCUAUACCACUUGCUUAUGCUUUAAAAAUGAUUGUAAAUUACCUGUCGCGAGGAAGAAUUCUCUCAUGGAGAACCAGAGUGGUUGGGAAUCAACUCUAAACCAAAGAGUUGAACCUUUUGUCCUGACACUAUGUAGCAUAAGGUAAUGAAAAAUUUUCCCUGAAAAUUUUAUUCCUUUCUUUGCCUUCAUUCUUGGGGGUAAAUCAACUAAUGGACCAAAGAAUGAGCUUUUAAUUUUGGCAAACAGAGUAUCGCCUAACGCAUCCUCCACUUUCUUAACCAAUGACCAAUCUGAAUGGUGCAGAACCAUCCCUAUUGAAAUCGAUUCUUUUCCUUGUUUAUAGAUCUGUUCAGGUAAAGUUAGAAUUUCGCUCUCUGAAUCCAUCUGCGAAAUAAUAUAAAAAAUAAAUCAAAAUCGAGAUCUAAACUAUAAGAUUUAGGGUGAUUUGCAAAAGUAUUAAUUGUUAAGCAAAUCCACUAGAAAUUGCACAACUGAGAAUCAUAUUUACCGUAGAUUCUUUCGCCGAAAAGUUUCUUCACCGAAUCUGGUGAUUUUUUUGUCGGAUCUUCAAAUUCAAAGUCGCCGAAAAAGUUUCUUCACCAUAUCUGGCGAUUUAUUCGUCGGAUCUUCAAAUACGAAAUCGUAGUAAGAGAAUAAGGUCGGAGAAGAAGAACUGUUUGUCAAAGAGAAGACAAGUGAAUUGAAAACCCUAAUUUUUCAUUAAGGGUAACAUAGUCAUUUUAUGCAAAAUAAGAGGCAGUUUUAAAAAUGGCCAUGAGAAAAGUCAUUUUUGCAAAAGGGCACUAAAAAUACACUUAUUUUGCAUCGAUUGAGUAUUACUUGUCUGUUUUUAAAAAUUUGAAUUACAUCAGAUGUAGAAAAAAUCGAAUAUUUUAUUAACUAUUUGUAUUUUAUAUAUAAAGUCAAAAUAAAUUAUAUAUAAGAACAAAUAUAGUGAUAGAAAAAUUAUAUAUAUAUUUUUAAUGUUGAUAUAGAGAUUUUAGGAAAUUAGCAUUAAUAAAAUAUAAUUCAAUAAAAUAAGAUUUAAUUAAGGAUAAAAAGUUAGGAAAGAGUUAAUUCAAGUAUUUAAGGCAAAUUAACAAUUUGUAAGUUUUUAGGAAUAGAAUAUUUUGUUGAGAUAGAACUUGUAAAGACCUGAAUAUUAAUAUUAAAUUGUAUAGGGAUUUUUGGCCAAAAAGUCUAACAAAAAUGUAUAUAUUAAUAUGUGUAUAUAUAAAAGAAAAUAUAAAUUUUUUUCUAAACGAAAAAGAAAAAUUAACAAAUUUAGUUAUAAAUGUGUUAUUCGUAAUUUCAAUUUAGCAUGUAAUUUUAAAAAGAAAAUUAUUUACGAUGGAUAAUAAUACUAAUUAGAAAGGCUCUUGAAAUUUAAAUUAACAAUACAAUUUAUUCAACAUUAAUUUAAGAGCCCCUUAAUUUAAUUGGAUAGAAAAAAACUAACAAAGCGAAACAAGUCUACAUAUACUUAUUUAGUUGUCUAUGUCUAAAAAAAAAAAAAAUAUUAACAAAAAGGAAAAUUAACAAAUUUAUUUUAACAUUUGUUAUUGGUCAAUUAAAUUAGCAUGUAAUUUUCUAUUUAAAAUUAAUUAGUUUAGAUAAUAUACUAAAUCAAAAGCCCACUGAGGUUUAAAAUAACAAUUAGAUAACAAACCCGCACUAUAUUAACAACUAAUUAAAAAACGGUAUAAAAUGAUUCACGUAAAUUAUUAUGGAUAAAAUUAUAUAUUACAUUUUUGAGGUAAUUAUAUAUUUGAUUAUUAACUUAGUUAGAAUAUAUAUACCAUAAUCGGUGGAAGAAUAAAAUUACCAAUCAAUUAUAAAAUAUUUUUCAAUUCCAUAUUUUAGAUUUAGUGGAUAUGCAUCUUAUUAAAUCGAUUAUAAAUUUUAAAAUAGAUAUCUCAUUAUUGAUCCUUUUAAAUAUACUCUAAUUAUUUAAUUAGUAGAAAUCAAGGAACAGAGGAUGCUGACAAAAAAUAAUUCCAAAAGUUAACAUUAAAUUUGGGUGAUUGUUAAGAUAGCGAACAUUAGUAAUUAAACAUUACGUAUAGGUGAAAUUGAACCAAAGGUUGACGAGGAGGCUGAACGACAAAUUGAUUUUCCCUAACAGGGGCAAGGGCACUUUGUGGUCGCCAGAAAUGUCUAGUAGGGGCCAUUGGUCGAGGGUGGAUACAUUUGCCUUUCUCACAGACGAUUUUGGGCAUUUUGGAUUAUCGACUCGGAUAGUACUGAAGGUGUACAAAUAACAAUCUAAAAAUGAAAAUUUAAGCAACCCAGAUAAAUGUAGAUUUAAUCCAUAACUUUGAGAUCGUGAUAGAAUGGAAUCCUAAUUCUCUGUCACAUUGAAGAGAGUGGGGUGUCGUGGUGAGAUGGGUUAGUGGCGACAUAUGUAGUGGGUCCUACAAAAAAAUAGUUAGACUAGGGAAUAAAUUUUCUCAUGUCCAAAAUAAAUCAUGUGUGUCCAAAUUAUGUUGUCCAAAGAUAUAUAUCCUUAUGGUGUAUAAUAUAUAGACGUGGAUAGGGACGUAGAUGUCUUGUAACAUGCAACCCAACGGGGACUCAUCUAGGUAAUACAUACAUAGACUGAACUCAUUAAACACCAACAACAAAAUAAGAUGGAUAAGCCUUAGCAAAUAUUGAAAUGAAGAUUAAAUAGCAAACGAGAAUAUCACAUUAAAAAGUCAGACUAGCAGAAGCAUAAAUACAAAAAAAUCAAGUUUUAGAAAAAGAUAAACAUGUAGAUAGACAGAUAAUGAUGGAUAACACAUUAUGAAAACAUUGUCUUUCAAUAUUUGGGACAAUUAGCUCUUUUGUGUGCCCGAGAUUUGCAACGGGAGCAACGUGGAAUACUCUCUCGAACUCGGGGUUGAGCCCAGUAAGCUCCAUGGAUUUGUACCCAUCCUCCGUCCUUUCCAUAAGGUUCCAUCCAUAAACUAGCUCUACAACUUCAUCAACCAAAUUCUCAUAUGCGAUUCCUUUGUAUAAUACAGCAGUUAAAGCAUGUGGAUUGUUGGCUUCAAUAUAUUUUGUAAAGAAAUGAUAAUAGAUGGAAUGCGGCAUUGACCACCACAUAAAAUACCGAGAUAUGUCAAGGCGGACACAACUUAGAGUUUCCUCGGAAUAGACUGCCGCUUUAAAUAACAGACCAGCCUUAACAAAGGGUUUCAAAGCAUCAACACCAGAUUCUGAGUAGCUAACAAUUUUAGCAAGCACCGGGGUGGCAAGUAAAUUUAUGGGAUAGCAACAACCUGUUGAAAAAAACAAACGGAAGAGAUUGUUAGUAUUUGCUUAAAGAUGUAGUUAAAACUAUAGAAAACUAAGUACUUUAGGUUUGGAUGAACAACCAUUUUAACAUCUGAAAUAGAUGAUGUUUCAUUGUUGUGUAUCUUCGUAAACUUCUGCAUAAUUUCUCUGUGUUCAGGUUUUAACUAAAGAGAUGGGUAAUGGAAAAAACAUAAAACAAUUUUGGAUCUUUAUUAUAUAGAGAUUAUUAAGGUUUGAGUAAGUAGUUACAGUAUUUUUGCGGUUUUACUAAAAGUUAUAAUCGGUGGGAAAUUGUCCCGCUAUAAAACAGUUUCUCAAUUUUGGGGACGGAACUCAAUUCAGAUGCGGAUAAAAGAGAGAGAAUAUAACGUAUAGACCUAAAAGUGAUUAGGAUAUGAAAGAAAAUCAAUUUAUUAACCUAUCUAUAAACAGCAAUCCACGAAAGUAGUUUCUUAUGGAUUAAAAAUGAAAUUUUUAUUGAAAGACAUUGGUAUUAGCUAAUCAUGUAUCUGUAGCAAUAAUUUGUUCGUAGCAACCGAAAAAAAGGAAAAAUGACGAUAAUAAUAAAUAAUAUCAAGAAAUUACAGUAUUCAAACGAUAAGAAAGUGACAUUAAGUUUGAGGGGUACAUAAGAGGGAAAAAAAAAAAAACUUGUGAUAAUAAUAUUGAAGCAGCAAGCAUUGUGAUGAUUUUAUUCCUCUUGUAUUAGUCGACAACCUUAAAAGAGAAUGACAAGAAAUAGUGGAUAAGUUUAUAAAAUGUUAUUUGAAGAAAUUAUUUUAACGAAAGAGUACAUACCAUUUUAAUUUCUUUCACUUCCUCGAGAUCAGGUUCAGGAUACACAAUUGAUAUAGGGGCAUGGCUUACAAUCUUCACACGGUGACCACCGGCAUAAUAUAUAACUACCUUCCAUCAAGCAAGGGCAAUAACAAUAUUGUUAUUGCGAAGGGAUCAAAACCUUCUGUCAAAGUCCACUGCGAUUUCUCCAUAAGCCUCGCAUUGCAAUAUUGUUCGGCUGAAAAUCAGUAAGAAUAUGAGAUUGUUACCUCUUGUUAAUGCAAAGAAAUGUAACCAUGCUCUGUUGGAAAAAAAACUGAAAUUGAUGGUAAAGAGAUGUACUAUAUAUCUAUCCAUGAUCUUGAAGGGUAGCUUGAAUCCGUCCAAAUCGGUACCAUUCCUCGCAAUAUUGGUCAGAAAUCCAUAAUCAACAAGUCCACCAAGCAAAUUUGGUCAAAAUAUGAAGAAGAUGAGAGACGUAAAAUCUGUGUGCUUUGAAAGAAAAUUAAAUUUGUGAAGUUAUUACUUACCAACCAAAGUAUCUUUGGGAACAGUGUUUUCGACGAUGUAGUCAAAUGGAGUGAAGUUGUUAAGCAAAAUGGUUUCUCUUGUUGUUGAGGAAGUCACGGCAGUUUGCUCCAUGAACAAAAUCCGAAAUUCAUGAGUUGUUCUUAUUGCUUCGCAGUUUGGUCGAACAAUGAAAGUAGUAAUCGUUUUCCAUUAAUUCUCUUUGAUUAUGUCAUAGUAGAAGGCAGAAAAAGGAGGCCCGAUGGUUGCCUUGAUCCGCUGUCGUUAUGCUAUAUGACAUGUUAAUUUUCAGAAUAUUACGUAUUGAGGUGAGGUGGUUGUAAUAUUAGAUAGAUAAUUCGUCUAGUGUCGUUUAUAGUUGAGUUAGAUAUCUGUAAUUAAAUGCUAGAUGUCUACAUACUACUGUCCGUUAAUGUUAAAUGUAGACGACAAAGAGCAAUGAUACUAUAUAACUUCCACAAAAUAUAUGUUCUGUCACAGAAUAUUACGUAUUGAGGUGGGGUGGUUGAAAUAUUAGAUAGAUAAUUCGUCUGGUGUCGUUUAUAGUCGAGUUAUUUAUCUGUAAUUAAAUGCUAGAUGUCCACAUACUACUGUCCGUUAAUGUUAAUUGUAUACGACAAAGAGCAACGAUACUAUAUAACUUCCCCAAAAUAUAUGUUCUGUCCAAGACAACAUGUCCAAAGAUACAUGUCCGUUUGGAAUUUAUUAUAACGACGUGCGCACAAGUAUAUGGCAUUAAAGGGUUAUCAAUUGGAAAUCAUUUCUGCUGAUUUAGCUUAAACAUAUAUAGGCAAAACUCAUUCAUGGCAACGAGCGAAUUUUGAUGGGAUCUGACUUUUCAAAGGAUUAACCAGAGUAGAAAUGAUUUAUUUACAAAAACAAAGGCAGAACAGUAGAAAUGAAUAAGGAACCACAUUGUCUUUCAAAAUUUGGGACUAUUUGUUCCUUUCUUUAAUUCCUAUCCUUCAUGCUCUCCGAACAGCUCCGCCCAUAAGGUAGAUCUAUAGCAUUCGGCAGCAAAAUUCUCAUAUGCUAUUGGUUUGUACAAUACAACUUUCAAAGCAUGUGGAUUGUUGGCUUCAAGACAUUUUGUGAAGAAAUGAUAAUAGAUAAAAUGGGUGAAGAAAUGAAAAAGUAGCAUUAGUGAAGAACUUGAUGAUGAAUGUUGUGGAAAUAGGAAAAAUGAAUGCUAAACCAUACAUAUCUGGAGCGCUAGAGAGGGUUUUGACAAACGGUGAAUAAUCGGCUUUUUAGUGUUGGUAAAAGUGGUUGUGUCUCAGGUAUCGGUUGCGAUGUCAACUCGGCUAUGAGACGUGCUUCAGCUUGGGACGUGCUUCAGCUUGGGAGAGAAUUGGUUUUUCUCUUUUACGCGCCGGGGAUGAAUCAGAUAACUCAACAUAUUGAUAUGCAGGUGAGUUAGAGUGUUAUGACUUAUUAUCCUGUACGGGAAAAUGUAAUAUCAAACCAAUAGACAUAAGUUGUUACAGAACUAAAAACUUAUUCCCUAUCCAUUAUGAACAAUAGUGAAUAUAUGUUAAGCAAUACCUCGUUUCUUGUACCCCCACUAUUGGAACUAUGUGUAGGAGAUGAUUGGGGGUCUUUGUCAGCUUUGGAACUGAUAUCAAAUACAGGCUUCCCAAACACAACCAUUGCCUGAAAUAAGAAGAUAAUGUUAAAAACAAUCCAAACAGUGUUGUCCAAUAAAACAUACCAGAAAAGUAUGAUACUUGUUAUUGAUGUAUACUUUCAUAGGAUCAAUGUUGACUUCACAAACUCCUGAAUGAGAUGCUACAACCGUCUCCAUGGUGACCUGAAUGUUGAAGUACAAAAAAAGAUGGUGAGAAAAAAUAAGAAAAUAUUACCUGCAAAUUAUAACGUAUCCACAAACUUCUAUCAAAUAUAAAAGUGAACAUGCAAUCCUAAUUUAGUUUAGACAUAAGGAUGACCUUCUUUUUAAAAAACAUUGGAAACCCUAACAAUAAAUGAGAUGCUGGAGGCCUCUCUAUGGUGUCGUGAAUGUUGAAGUACACAAAAAGAUGGUGAGAAAAACAUAAGAAAAUAUUAUCUGCAAAUUUUAAAGUAUCCACAAACUCUUGUCAAAUAUAAAAUUGAACAUGGGAUCAUAAUUUAGUUCAGACCUAAUGUUGACCUUCUUUUUAGAGAACUUUACCCUGUGGAGCAUUUUUUCUAUAAAUGUUUGUUGCAUUAUGACUAAGAGAUGCAACAUACCUCUACAAUAUCUAAUAAAUCAAUAAAUGUAAAUGAUUAACUGAAACUAGUUAGAAAUGUAUACCUCCAUAGGAUCAUUGCCAAUCUUUACUUCGGGUUGCGCCUCCGACACUAAAUGCGAUGUUGCAGGCAUCUCCAAAGUAACCUGAAUGUUAAAGUACACAUGUAACUGGUUAGAAUAAAUAUAAGAAAUAUUGCCUACAAAUUAUGAAGUAUCCACAAAAUCAUGUCCAAUAACACAAAAACCGCAACCCGUAAAAUGAUACUUGUUAUUACUGUAUACCUUCAUAGGAACACCGUCGAUGUUGACUUCUGAUUGAGUCUCUAGCAAUGAAUGAGAUGCUGCAGCCGUCUCGAUGUUGUCCUGAAAGUUGAAGUCCCCAAAAAUAUGGUCAGAAAAAAUAAAAGAAAUAUUGCCUACAAAUUAUGAAGUAACCACAAAAUCUUGUCCAAUAACACAAGAACCGCAACCCAUAAAAUAAUACUUGUUGUUACUGUAUACCUUCAUAGGAUCACAAUCGAUGUUGACUACUGGUUGAGACUCUAACAAUGAAUAAGAUGCUGCAUUGCCCUAUGGAGAAUUGCCCUGUGGAGAAUUAUUUCUAUAAAUGUUUUUUUGGACAAGGACUGAGAGAUGAAGCAUGCCUCUCCUGUGUCCAAUAAAUCAAGGAACUAGUUAAAAAUGUAUACUUCCAUAAGAUCAUCAAGUUGUGGCUCCACCACUUAUUGAGAUGCUGCAUCCGCCUCCAAAGUGACCUGAAUGUUGAAGUAUACUUGUAAGUAUCCACAAAAUUUUGUCUAUAAUAACUAUGCACAUGUGCCAUUAUUUGGUUUAAGGACUAGGAUGCAGAAACUCUCCCCAAUGUGUUAUAUCAAAUUAUAUAUUAGCUUACCUCCGUCAUUGGAUCAUCGUCAAUGUUUUCUUCGGGUUGCGUCUCCAACACUGAAAGAGAAGCUUCAACCGUCUCCAAGGUGUCCUGAAUAAUGAAUUACAAACGAAUAUGGCUUAAGGACUGUGACAAUAAGUAUGUUUAAGGACUGGGAUGCAGCAACCCUCUCCGAUGUGUUCCCACAAAUUAUAUAUUAGCUUACCUCCAUAAUAUUAUCUUGCUCGAGAGGAGGUUGUUUUUUGUUGCUUAGGUUUGCACUUGAAUCAAACUGAUUGUAAAGUACAAUAGUCAAAGGUGUCAGAAUCUAUAAACUGUUAAAUAAAUUGUUUGAUUUGUUCUGUUUGUAUUUAUAAAAGUACCUGAAUUUUGCCCUCCUCAUCUGCUUCAUUGCCAUUUGGAUCUUUGACAUCAGUGUCAUAAAUUGGGUUGCCUUCUUUUGCAUCAUCCUUAUAAGAUUCCUGUGAUUCAUUUGGAGUAUGAUAGACGUCAAUGGUGUCAUCAGUAAUCACCUGAAACAAGAUUUGUUGACGUAAUCAAUUCUACCAAGGAGAUAUUGGAAAUUAAAUAUUACACUAACCGUGUUUGUCAAUGUGGUUCUAUAAAAGGAGUCCUCUUGAAACUUCUGGAAUUCAGCAUCAACAACUAAUAUACAAGCGGGGUGGGGGGGGGAAGAGGAGGAGAAAACAUCUCGUGAAUUAUCCUUUUGCUCAAAUUGAUGUUAUCAAGAGUGAACUUUUUUGAUUAAGUACAUAUAGAUGUGGUAACAGAAUAAUCAAUAAACACAUAAGGUUGAACCAGCAGACCUCAAAAUCAAAUUCCUCAUUCUGGUGCUCAGACAGCGUGUGUGAAUGAGAUGGAUUCUAUGAGGAAAAUAAAGAACCUAAGGGGUUUCAGAUUGGAUAGGUACCUCCAAUGACUUCUUGCGCUUUGAUCUAGAAGAACAUGGAACAAAACUGAAGGAGAGUUUUCUGGACCGCUUGAAUAUGAUAGCUUUUCUUUUCUUUUUAAGCUUCAUUACACGAUUUGAUAGCUCUUCCACCGUGUUUUGUAGUUCAACGAGCAACCUAGACUUCUCAUCAUGAGAUAGCUUUAGUUAUGGAUUAGUACGAGUUGAAUACCUAUGCCAUGAUUUGACAGGGUCAGACUUCACCCGUAGUCUCUUCUUACGAUCCACAAUGUGCUAUUUGUGAACAACAAAUAGCUUCUUCUUUGAGAUUUUAAUUGAUGGCAAUGUGCAUCACCUCUUGGCCAUUCGCUUUUUUUGAAUUGAUGAGAUGUCAGUAUCGAAUCUUUCAUGUGCGCAACUUUCAUAUCUUUCACCUCAUCAUCCCACUCUGUCCAACUUUGGUGAACAUUAAUAUCUUCAACUAUAAGCGGAUCCACUAGUCUCUAUUGAAAAAUAGAAGGUUAUUAUUAGUAAAUAAGACUGGAUAUAUAGAAAGAGAAUAUUAUAGAGACCAUAUAGAAACUUUUGGGUUAAUAAAAAAAUACCUUAAGGUUGCUUUCUAAAGCGUGAAUAUGAGGAAGGGAUAUCUGUUGUGUUGGAUGAGUUAAAUUUUCCAAUGAAUGAUUGUCAAGGAGGUGUCGUCAAAGGACAACAAAUCUACCAUUCCAGGUAUGUUACGAAAUGCUAAGAGCUGCAGCGCAUGCGGGAACCUUUAAGACGGAAUGAGAUGUGUUGAAGUUGCUUCUCCAAAUUCUGAAUAGGAUCGUUUGUGAGCUGUCUUUUACCUGUGCACUUAUCGAGAAUCCGUUUCUCGGGUGUCAUCGCUUCUACCGUCUUCAUAAAUGACUCUCUACCACAAGGAAAUGAAAGGAAUUUCUCUAGAUCUGCCAACAUCUCUACAUAUUUAAAUGUAGGCCUACCAGUUUGGUUCGAUGCUAUGAGGACACCAUCUACAAUUAGUAGAAACGCGAGCUUCAGUUUGUGCUCAGAAGACAAUUUCUUGCGUCUCUUGGUUAGCAUGGCUGAUAUAUCCCCUAACGUAACCGUCUUGUCUGGACCAAUUAACUCGUUCCGGUAACUCUUCUUGCCAUCAUCAUAAACCGGAGUAUUUUCAGGGUCGUACUCCACCGGAAACUCCCCACAAGGCAAGCCAGCCAGGGAAGCAAAUUCAAGUAGUGAAAAUCACAUUGGGUGUGUCCAAAACUCAUACUUUUUCUUAGUAACCAACUUCCUACAUAGUAAGGCAUGAAUGACUUUACCCGAAGUCGCAACCCUACUAACCGACAAAUGGAAUAGAGAUCCAAAGCAUGACUGAAGAAUAAAAUCGAAUUUCUCUGUCUCAUCAAAAACCUUCCGGACAAAGGAUAGAAUAUCUAGUCUAGAGUAUACAUUCAGCCUUCCCUUCGAAUAUUGAUCGCUGGCGAAGAGUCCAUUAGGAAGUUUUGAAUCCCCACUGAGAAUAUGUGAUGGGUUGAGUUGUUAAAUGGGUUAACCCAUUUAAAUAAGAAUUUAAUUAAUUAUUAUUGUAAAACAAAAAUAAAUAAUUAUCGUUAUUAAUAAUUAUUAUUUCAUUACGGAUUCUACUUUUACGGGUUUACGUUUUCGGCGGAAAAAUUACGGGUUUACUUUUUUGGCGGAAGAAUCAUGGGUUUACAUUUUUUUCGGGAAAAUUACGGGUUUAUGUUUUUGGCGGAAAAAUUACAGGUUUACGUUUUUGGCGGGAAAAUCACGGGUUUACGUUUUUUUGGCGGAAAAUAUUAUUUUCUAAUGUAAUUUAGCAAAUAUGAUUUAUUUAUAUAUAUAUAUAUAUAUAUAAUUAUAAAUAUCGAAUUAAUAUGUUUGAAUUCAAAAUUGGCUUAAAUAUUCUAAAUUUAUAUAAAUAACUGUAAUAACAUUUAAUUAAACCAUCUUUUAUGUUUCAUAAUUAAAAUAUAAAAAUAUUUUUAAACAUUAAAAAAUAAUACAUUUUUGGUUUGAUAUUUAAAUAUUAAUUUUCAUAACAUUUAUUAAUUUCCGCUUUGAAAAUAAUUCAUAACUUAAAUAUACAAAAUUAUUUUCGAAUCUUAUUUAAUUUGAUCUAUUUACGUGUAUUUAAUAUGAUUGAUUGAGUAUUCGAAUAUGAUAUAAAAAUUAUGAUUAUACUCCCUAAAUCUGAUAUUAUAAUCGUUUAAAACAAGCAUAUUCCACAAAUUUAUAAUUAUGUAUAUUUAAUAUGAAUGAUCAUUGAUUGAGUAUUCAAAUAUGAAAAUGAAAAUUUUCAUUUAUUUUUUUAGCAUUGCUCUCAAAGCUUAAAAGAAGAUUUCACUAGAAGAUUCAAAAUUUUAACCCUAAAUCGACAUCCUCUCUUCAUUAUAUAAGAUCAUCCAUAUCUUUCAACAAGACAUCCAUUGUUUUCUUCCCAGUUUUAUAUAAAUUAUUUAAUUAUGAUUUUGUUUAAUUUAAUUUAUUUGUUUUAUUUUAUGUUUCAUUAUUAACUAAAUUUUUCAUAUUCAGAUUAUAGCUCUCUGAUAUUUGGAAAAAUUCGACUAUAGAUCAUCACAACUAUCUUCCAAUGAAAAACAAAUUUAUAAGGUAUGCAAAAAAAUUUCUCAACCAUCACCACUUUUACUCAACCGCUCAUUGACUUUUUUUUAUAAAAACUUUUGACCUUAGAUUUUGUUUUAAUCUUGACUUGAAUAUAAAAAUAAUUCAUUAAGAUAUCAAUCUAAAUUUGGUCAAAAACAAAAAAUUAAUUAAAUGAUGAAAGAUCCAAUAUUUAUGGAAUAUACAAGAAAAAUACUUAUAAUAUUUAAAUAGAAAUUUAAAAUUCUGCCUACAAAACAUAUAUUAUAGAUUAUCACUUUUCAAUAAUUCUGAAGUAAAUAUUAAAAUAACAAUCGAAAAAUAGUUUAACAAAAAAGGAUUUGUUUUUUUUUUAAAUGUAACAUAUAUUUUAUUAUAUGAGGUAACUGAGCAUGGAAAAGGUUUUAGAGUUGAUAUGAAUGCAAAGAAAUGUGUGUGUAGGAGGUGGAGUAUGAUAUGAUUACCUUGUCGACAUGUACUACAAAUAAUAUUGGUAAAAAGCUGAAGCUUGAAGAUUUCGUUGUCUCAGAUUGGUAUUUGACUACAAGUUGGGUAAAUCAAUACAGUGAGACACUUAUGGGAGUAUAUGGAAUGGAUUUUUGGGGAAAAUCUAGGGAAUCUACAGUUCAACCACCAUCAAGGGAUAAGGGUCGUAAAAAGAAGCAGAAAAGAAUCAAGUUGAAAAAUGAGUCACCACAGAAGAAGAAGAUGAAAGAGAUAUGAGCAAAUCAACCUCCUCAGAAAAUGCAAAAAUUGACAAGACAAGGAGUGACUCUUCAUUGUGGACAUUGUGGAUCAACAAGCCAUAACAUAACAAGGUGUAACAACAUAGGAGUCCCAGUGAAAAGCUAACCAAAGAAGCAACAAGAGGCAAAUUCUUCCUAUAUUCUUAGGAACCUCCAUCCUCCAAAUUAUAGUCCAAACACAAGUUUGUAGUAUCUUUGGAAUAUUUAAUGGUUAAUAGUAUUUCUGAUUUUUAUUUAUUUUUAAUUCGCAGUAUUUUUCAAAAGACCCGUGCAAUGCCAAUAUAUACCACGGAUUAAAUAUUAGUGCUGGAACUAGAUAUUUUGGUCAAAAAUUUAAAGGUCUUAUAUAUUGAAGGCAAAAAAGUAGAGAAUUGUUGAUAAAUUUAAAAUGGUAAAUGAACGGGCAAGCAGACAAUAACACCUCAAUAUGGUGUUUAGGUAACUCAAUUAGAGAAUUUAAAAAUGAAAGAAGUUUGAACUAUUUUUUCAUAAUGGUGCAUGAACAGAAUAUGAAAAUGCUCUUCAAAGUACAUCCCAAAAUAUUAAGACAAUUUACUAUGUCAAUAAAGAAAUGUUUGAACUAUGUCUUUCGUAUAAAAAUAUAUGUAUGUAAUGUAUUAGCAGAUGAAGAAGAAUAUUGAAUGCUCGUUGAAAGGAAAUAAAUACUCAUAAAGUUUGAAGAGCCAAAUUAAGAAAGAAAAAACUCUUCUGAUCCAUGGAUUCAUGUCCGUUUAUAUAUAUAUAUAUAUAUAUAUAUAUAUGCAUGUGAAAGCAGCAAAUGCAUGUAGACGUGAUGGAGGUUUCACACAGUUUACACUGUAGCCAUUACAAUAAUAAACAACAAAUACUUCUGGUAGGAGAAGGAUAUUUCUCUUUUUUUUGUAUCUUGCAAGAGCCUUUGGUUCGGGUACUAGCAUAACUGUAAAUUCUUUCGAUACUCGAGGUAGAAACAGAUAUCAUUGUAGUAUAGACAUUUCCUUAUAAUCUAAAGUAUAAAAAAAUUGUUUGACCAUCAUUGUUACUUUGUCUGUGUUAUUAUUUGCCAUUAUAUGAUGAUUACAAUAUCAGAACACGUAAAUUUGCGGUUAUAGCAAUCAUACUUGUUGAGUGUUGUAGAGGAGUUAAAGGUGAAGUGCAAGAAUGCGAAGACAAAUGUAGAAGAGUUGGAGAGACUUGGAUGCAUUGUGGUCCAUGGUGUUAAUGUGCACUCCAUGAGCAUAGAUUGCAGGGUUGUUGGAACGAUUCUAUAUGAUAGAAUCAUCUUCAAUUUUUCUCAUGUAUGGUUUUCUUUUGGUCGUGAGCAUGAGAGCUACAUCAUCUCAUAUGAUUUUUUGUUGUACAUAUAUAUAUGGUCGCUGUUAUUGUUUAUGGUGUUUUAAACAAAUAUUUCCGUACUUGUGAGAGAAGACACAGGAAACACCAAAAACCGGUGGAAGGUUUUUUCAGGAGUGCUAGAGUGAUGCUUAAAGACCAAUAUGGAGAGAUUCAUGUGACUCAUAAGAUGGUUCACUCAUUUAAGGAGUGGAGGAUACUGGUUCUGGGUUUUACAUUUGGUUUUCGUUGUCACAGAGAAGUGGAAAUUAACGCAUGCAAUAUCUAGGUUACACUAAUAAGAGAGGAGGUGGAAGUGACUAUGACUCUAGUUUCCCUGUUGGACAAGCUUCUACUUUCAUGUUUAGGAAAUUCUAAAGGAGAGUUGAUAUGAAACCACUCAUUUUGUAGAAUUCUUUUAAAUUAUAUGAUUUGUUUGUCCACCAGAACUAAUCAAUCUUAUGAGUAUCAUAGGUAUCUGGAUCAUGUCUGAAUACCAGUACCACAAGAUUUUGUGUCAUAAUGUAUUUCGAGUUUUAGAAAAUUAAUUUCUAUGUACUUUUAAAAUUUGUUAUAAGGCAUGUCCAUGGUUUUUUUCCUUCUUAUGUAUAUAACUCCAACACUUUAUAUAACUACAAAUUUAAUAAUAGAUGGAGAGACAAACAAACAUAGAUGGACAUUUUUGGGAUUAUGAAAAUUAUUAAGCAAUCAGUUAUUUGGGCAAUAAAUAAAAAUUAAUGGAGGUUAUCCUAGCUAAUCAUAAUAAUAAAAAAAAAGUGGGUAAUCUUAGGUAAAUUUUAGUAUAUGAGUCCAUUUACACAUAAAUGAUUAGAUUAAUUAGGAUAACCUCCUUUAAUUUUAAAUUGGGAGAUAAAUGGAAAAACAUUGAGAUAAAAUGAAAACUGUUACAAAUAAUUGAUGGAUGCCCAUUAUAAGGCCUAUCUUCUAGAAUUCUCUAGAAUUAUUUGUAUCUAGAAUUUUAUUUUGUCACCAAGUAAAAUUCUUCACUUGUACUCCUAUAUAAAGGACCCUUUAUUCAUUGGAAUAAUACACUCAUUUUGUACAAUCUCUUUCUCUAGUUACAACACGUUAUCAGCGCGCUUUAAAAGAAACAAUGAAUGGUGGAGAAAUAUGCUUGGCAGACAAUGCAACUAAUCAUACUAUUUUAAAAAAUAAGAGAUAUUUCUCUUUUUUGACAAUGAAAGAAGCAAGUGUAACUAUCGUAACAGGUAGUGCAAAGAUAAUUGAAGGCUUUGGAAGAGCAAAUAUAGCAAUGCCUAUGGGAACAAAAUUAGAGAUUGUGGAGGCCUUAUACUCUCCUAAAUCUCAAAGGAACUUAUUAAGUUUUAAAGACAUCUGCAGAAAUGGAUAUCAUAUUGAGACUAUAAGCGAAGGUAGUAUCGAAUACCUUCGAAUCACAAGUAAUAUCCAAGAAUCUCAAAAUAUUCAGGAAAAACUACCUGCUUUCUCCACUGGUUUAUAUUAUACUACAAUUAAUACAAUUGAAGUAAAUGCUACAGUAAACCAGAACUCUACAGAAAACAUUAAAGUUUGGCAUGACCGGUAGGCCAUCCCAGUACAAUAAUGAUGCGAAAGAUAAUCACGAAUUCAUGUGGACAUUCAUGAAAGAACCAAUAGAUUCGUCCUAAUGAUUUUUCAUGUGUUGGUUGUUCACAAGGCAAGUUGAUUAUACGGCCUUCACCAGCUAAGAUAAAUUUCGAAUCAAUCAAUUUUUUGGAAUGAAUACAAGGAGAUAUUUGUGGGCCGAUUAACCCAUCAUGUGGAACUUUAUAAUCCUUUAUGGUUUUAAUUGACUCAUCUAGAAGAUGGUCGCAUGUAUCCCUAUUAUCAACUCGAAACCUGGCGUUUGCAAGAUUGCUUGCUCAGUUGAUUAGAAUACGAGCAUAUUUUCCAGACUUUCCUUUAACAAAAAUGUGUCUUGAUAAUGUUGGUGAAUUCACAUCUCAAGCUUUUAAUGACUAUUGUAUGUCUAUUAGGAUAAGUGUUGAACAUCCUGUAGCACAUGUUCACACACAAAAUGGUUUAUCAGAAUCACUAAUCAAGUGUCUUCAAUUGAUUGCUAGACCAUUACAAAUGAAAUCAAAACUCCCAAUAUCUGCUUGGGGACAUGCUAUAUUACAUGUAGCAUCAUUGAUUCGCAUCAGGCCAACAAGUAAUCAUAAGUUCUCUCCAUCUCAACUGGUUCUCGGUGAGGAACCAAAUAUUUCUCAUCUCAAAGUUUUUGGAUUGUGCUCUAUAUGUUCCAAUUGCUCCACCACAGCCAUAUAAGAUGGGACCUCAAAGAACGUUGGGAGUAUAUGUUGGUUAUGAUUCCCCAUCAAUAAUUAAGUAUCUCAAUCUAUCUAUAGGAGAUUUAUUCAAAGCUCGAUUCGUAGACUGUCAUUUUAAUGAGUCUGUUUUCCUAACAUUAGGGGGAGAAAAUAAAUAGUCGGGAAAAGAUAUAGUUUGGAAUGAAUUAUCAAUGUCUUAUCUUUAUCCUCGGACUAAAGAGUGUGAAUUAGAAGUCCAAAAGAUAAUUCAUUUACAGAGUUUAGCAAAUCAGCUGCCAGAUGCAUUCAUUGACCCAAAAAGUGUGAUCAAAUCACAUAUACCGGCUGCAAAUGCUCCAAUAAGAAUAAAUAUCCUAGAAGGACAAAAUCAAACUGUAAAUGAGUCUAAGACAUGUUUAAAGCGUGGUAGACCUAUUGGUUCCAAAGAUAAAAAUCCUCGAAAAAGAAAAGGGGCAAAAAUUGGCAUAGGUAAAACAGAGGAUAUAAUUACAAAUGAAGAAUCUCCAGAAGAGAGCUUAGACAUGACACAUAAAGAAAUUCAGGUACCUGACAAUGAAGAGAUCUCAAUUACUUAUGUCAUGUCUGGAAUAAAAUGGAACCAAAAGCAAAUCGAUAUCCAUGAUAUUUUUGCAUGCAAUGUAGCAGUUGAUGUUAUGGAUGAGGAUCAUGAACCAACAUCUAUUGAAGAGUGUACACAAAUAAGUGAUUGGCCAAAAUGGAAUGAAGCAAUAGAUGCUGAAUUAAAAUUUCUUGCAAAGAGAGAAGUGUUUAGACCAGUAGUCCGUACAUCCAAAGGUGUAAAACCAGUUGGACAUAAAUGAGUUUUUGUACUAAAGAAGAAUGCAAAUGGUGAAAUUGUGAGGCGUUUAGUCGCACAAGGAUUCUCACAAAGACCAUGAAUUGACUAUGAAGAGACAUGGUGACUUGAUUUACGUUUGAUGGAUGUUGUCACAACCUAUUUAUACGGUCUACUAGAAAAUGACAUUUAUAUGAAAGUCCGAGAAGGAUUAAAAAUGCCUCAAGCAGUAAAUUCAAAUUCUCGAGAACAAUACUGCAUAAAAUUAAAUUGAUCCCUUUAUGGAUUAAAAGAAUCAGGGCGUAUGUGGUAUAAUCGCCUUAGUGAGAACUUGCUAAAAGAAGGCUACAAAAAUGACCCUGUUAGUCCAUGCAUCUUUAUAAAAAUUUUGGGAAAGGAUUUGUUAUAAUUGCAGUUUAUGUUGAUAAUUUAAAUAUUAUGGGAACUAUUGCAGAGAUCUCAUUCACUGUAGAAUAUUUAAAGAAAGAAUUCGAGAUGAAAGAUCUUGGAAAAACGAAAUUUUGUUUAGGACUACAAAUCGAACACCUAAAGAACGUAAUUCUGGAGUAUCAAGAGACAUAUACCAAAAAUGUUCUCAAAAGAUUCUAUAUGGAUGGAGCAUACCCCUUGAGUAGUCCAAUGGUUGUAAGAUAACUUGAUGUGGAUAAACAUCCAUUCCGUCCUUGGGAAAACAAUGAAGAAGUUCUUAGUCCUGAAGGACCAUACUUAAGUGCAAUAUGAGCACUGAUGUAUCUUGCUAGUCAUAUAAGACCUUAUAUAUCAUUUGCGGUGAAUUUAUUAGCAAGGUUCAGCUCAUGUCCAACUUGAAGGCAUUGGAAUGGAAUUAUACAUAUACUUUGUUACCUCCAAGGUACGAAAGACAUGGGUCUGUAUUUUCCUAACAAAUCCAAGUAGCGAGUGCGAGUGUGUAUGGCUAAGAUCCAUAGUUCACCAUAUACAAGAAGAUUGUGGUUUGUAUGCAGGGAAAAAGGCUCCAACAAUUAUGUACGAAGACAAAUGCAGCAUGCAUCCCACAACUCAAAGACGGAUACAUUAAAGGUGAUAGAACAAAUGCAGCAUGCAUCCCACAUUCUUCUUCACACACGAUCUACAGAAGAGCGGCGAUGUAUGAGUUCUACCGAUCCGUUCGAACGAUAAUCUGGCUGACCUAUUCACCAAGGCUCUACCUACUGCUACUUUCAAGAAUUUCGUCUAUCGUAUCGGAUUACGCCGUCUCAAAGAUCUCGACGUAUAUACUCAUAAGGGGGAGUAAUGGCGUGUUGCACUCUUUUUCCCUUAAUCAUGGUUUUCCCAAUGGGAUUUCUUGGUAAGGUUUUUAAUGAGAUAUCAUUUCAGAUGCACUACGAGCUAUGGUACUAUAAUGGUCAUCAAGGGGGAGUGUUAUGAAUAAUAGAUGGAUGCCCAUUAUAAGGUCAAUCUUCUAGAAGUUUCUAGAAUUACUUGUAUCUAGGGUUUUACUUUGUCACCAAGUAAAAUCCUUCCCAUGUACUCCUAUAUAACGGACCCUUUAUUCAUUGAAAUAAUACACUCAUUUUCUACUAUCUCUUUCUCUAGUUACAACAACAACUAAAAAGUUAAAAGAAUACUAUACAACAAUAAGCAAAAAUAAUUCUGACCAAAGAUUGUAAGUUUAGUCAACGAUCAGAAAUUUAUGAUCAUUCAGGGUUUGGUUUUGGAUAUGGGUACCAGAGCUAGGUACUACAUCAUGUAGAGUGCGAAAAAUAUGGUAAAAGACGUCAGUGGAGUCAUGUUACUCAUAAGAUGGCUCAUGCAUCCAUUUGACAAGUGAGAGAUCAAGAUUGUCUAGCUGAAGAAAGCGUUCAAUCUGUGUUUGAUCCGGGAGGUGGAGUUUCACCAAUUAUGUUUUCUUGGUUACUCAAAUAAGAAAGGAAGUGGACGCCGCUGUGACUCUAGCUUUCGUUUCAGAAAAUCUUCUACUUUCCUGUUUCAAAAACGAAGUCUUAAAAACAAAAUCUGUUGAAGUGUGUUUUGGAUUACUUUUUCUUUGUGAUGAAGAUAUGAAACUUACUAAUUUGUAUAUAUGUUGUUACUGGAUAACUUUCAUGGGACAAGGAUAAUAGUUUUUUUUAACCUCUUCAGAUCGACAAGCCCGAUCCACAGUUAAUCUCUACUACACGGAUAAGACGAUUUACUGGAUUCGAAUUCCGAUAGAAAAAGCGGAGUGUAAUGGAGCUAACCACUUGACUAAACACUAUUGAAUUAAACACCUUAGAACCUAGAAGAUUGCAAGUAUAAAAGACUCUUUCUUUUAUUAGUUAAGGAAAAUAACUCAAAACCUAAACCUUACAAAUCUCUCAAGUUCUCAAAACACACACAAGUUAUGUCACACUUUGACAUCUCCUUAUAUAGAGAACUCUUAUACUUAAUCCAAAUCUAAUUAGGAUUGUAUUUAAAUAACUCUUAAACACUUCGUUAGAUAACUCCUAAAGACCGAAAUAUUAUCUCUUUAAUAACUUAUAUCUUAAGUUAUCUUCAAGCUUACUUCAACAUUCUUCCCCUUAAGCUUGAACUCACAUUUCACCACAUCUUGAACUCCAACAAGAUCUCUCAUUUCCUUGAACUUUAUCCUUGCAAGCGCCUUAGUUCAGAUAUCGGCUCUCUGCUCCUUACCGGGAAUGUGCUCUACUUCAACUUGCUCAUUCAUAACACAUUCUCGGAUAAAGUGAUAUCUCUUGUAUAUACGUUGGCUUCGACCAUGAAAAACAGGAAUCUUUGUAAGAGCUAUUGUUGACUUGUUGUCGAUUAGAAUGGAACUUUCUUACACGAUUCUCCAGUGAUUUCUCCGAGAAGCUCUUGAAGCCAAAUGGCUUGUUUUGCUGCUUCAGCGGCAGCCAUAAACUAAGCUUCACACGAUGACAAAGCCACGUUUUCUUGUUUCUACGAACACCAACUUAUGGGACAGUUGUUAAGGUAAAAGAUGUGACCUGUUGUGGUUCUACCAUCGUCUUCAUCAACGUUGUGGUUGCUGUCACUGAAACCUAUUAACUUUGUUUAAUUCAUCCGCUCAAAACAGAGUCCAUAGGGCGGAGUUCCUUUUAGGUACCAAAGAACUUGUUCAAGUGCUACUCCAUGGGAUUCUUUUGGCUCAUACACGUACCUGCUAAGAACUCUGACAAUGUAAGAGAGAUCCGGUCUUGUGUGAAGUAGGUAUCGAAGACAACCAAUGUUUCUCGUGUACUCCUUCUCAUCAAUGCCGUUUUCUCCUUGUGCUUUACAUAGUUGACAUUCACAUCCAUUAGAAUAUACACUACAUUACAAUCAUCUAUUCUUGCUUCUUCGAGAACCUUUGAUGCAUAUCUCUCUUGUUUUAGCAUACUCCCUUCUUCAUGUUGAAUUACUUUAAUGCCUAGGUAGUAAGUUAGCUUUCCAAGGUCACUCAUCUCGAAUUUUCCCGCCAUUCCUUCUUUGAAUUCUAGUAUUACUUGUAAGUUGGACCCUGUGACAAGUAAAUCGUCGACAUAGACAGCUACAACAAGAAACUCAUCAUUCUCCCUCUUUUGAUACAGAGAUGGUUCCUUGGAAUACUUAACGAAUUUUUGCCCCAGAAGAAUCUUGUUCAAUUUGUUGUCCACGCCCUAGGUGCUUGUUUAAGUCCAUAAAGUGCUUUGUUCAGUUUAUAGACUUUAUUUUCGCUUCCCUCUAUCACAAAACCUUCAGGCUCAGGCUACGAGACGUAGACCCGUUCUUUCAACUCACCAUGAAGAAACUCUGUUUUCACAUCAAGAUGAUGUACCUCCCAUCCUCUAGCUACUGCUAACGCAAUGAUAAGUCGGAUUGUUUCAGUGCGAGCCACAAUAGCAAACACUUCAUCAAAGUCAACACCAUGUCUUUGCACAUAACCUUUAGCCACAAGUCUUGCUUUGUGUUUAUUUAUACUUCCAUCCGAGUUUUGUUGGAUCUUAAAGACCCAUUUCAGUCCAAUUGGUUUAGCUCCUGUAGGAAGACCAACUAAAUCCCAAGUGUGGUUCUUUUCAAUCGAUGAGAUUUCUUCUACGCACGCUUGUGUCCAUUCCUUUGACUCCUUUGCGUCAUUGAAGUUCCAUGGCUCUUCGUUUAUUGCAAACAAGAGUCUCUCGCAUUCUGUUUGAUCCAUCAAGAUAUAGUCAUGUAAGUGUCUUGGCCUUGAAGUCUCUCUCUGCGACCUUCUUAAUGUUGUUUGUGGUGGUGCUUGUUGUUCUUCUGUUUAUGUGUCAAGAGUAGGCGGCACAUGUUCCUCGACUGGUUCUGUAUCAUGACUUUCAUCCCUCUUGUGAUUCUCUGUUUCUCCAUUGACUUUGGCUUCCCUUAUACCAUUGUUUCCAAAUUCACCAAAUGAUAAACUGAACAAACCUGAGUCACUAUUAGUUUCAUCUUUAUCAUUACUCCACCUCCAGCUCUUAGUCUCAUCAAAAACAACAUAUCUACUCACUACUACCUUCUUCUUUGUUGGAUCCAAUAGACGAUAUGCUUUCGAGCCGGGCUCUGUUCGGAGGUGUACUAGCAUUCGUGAGCAAUCAUCCAACUUCUUUAAGUUCACAGUCUCUACUUUUGCGUACCCAAUGCAACCAAAUACCCGUAAGCGCUCAACGUUCGGUUUCUUUCCUAUGAAGGCUUCGUAUGGUGUUUGGUUAACUAAGGUUCUCGUUGCCACUCUAUUUAUGAGAUAGGUUGCAUGUCUCACCAUAGAUAGUUUGGAAUAUUCAUUAACGGUUAUUUUUUCCGUUAGUGUCUUUUAUCGCAACUUCUCAUACAACUGUAUUUUUUAUCUAAACAGUUGUGUCUAUUAAAAUAUUGACAGUUACUCUUUUACAUUCGUGUCUUUUAAUCGUAAACAUUAGAUUACUAAUUAAAUAUCGGAAAUUUUGCUUAAAUCAAAAAAUAUCACAUUUAAUAUCAAAUUUUUUAUAGAUUACUAAUUUACUACUCGAAAUUCAAAUACUAUCGAUUAAUAUUUAAAUGUAUAUAUAUUACAUCCGUCUAUUUAGGUGGGCUUUAUCUAGAUAAGAUGAAAGUACAGUUUUACAAGUUACAAACUCAUAUGAUUGUGCCACGUGUCAAAUAUAACGAUCAGAUGUUUUACUGUAUCACUAAAAAUUUAAUUUUUUUAUUUUUUUUUUUAAAAUAAAAAAACUAAAAAAGUAAACAAAUUUACAUAUACUAAUUUUAUUAUAUAUAUAUAUAUAUAUAGACAAAUAUUUUGAUCAACCUAAAGGAAAAUUUACAAAUUUGUUACUACAUGUGUUAUUGGUCGAUUAAAUAAGUCUAAAAUGUAUUAAUUCAAAAUAGAAUCAUUAGUAUGAAUAAUCUAUACUAUAUAAAAGUUGAAGCUAUUUGCUUAUAAAGACGUCCACAUAGGAUAUAGAACGACUAAUCGGGGUUGGACAUGUCAUUAAUUAACAUUUUUUUACCAUUUUAUUGAUUAACUUUUAUAAAUUUUACGAAUUUUCUAUAAUAAGAUUAUUAUAUGGAAAACAAUAUAUAUGGAAAGAAGAGAUAUGACAACUUUUGAAAAUAUAGCAUAUGGAAAUAAGAAAAGUGUAAAAUUGUUUAGGCUAUUUGCUCUUUACGGCGUCCACAUAGAAUUUUAAACAACUAAUUGCAGUUGAAGAUGUCAUUAAUUAGCAUUUUUAGCCAUUAUGUUAAUUUACAUUUUUAAAUUUUAACAAAUUUCUAUGUUAAAAUAUUUAUGAAAAGAAAAAAAGAUAUGGAGAUAAGAAAAUGUAUUAUUUGAUUAGUAUAUUAUAGAAAUAUUAAUGUCAUUGUUAGUGUCACUAUGUUAGCUUCCAAAUAAAUUAAAAAAAAAUCUUAAUUCUAAAAUAAUAUAUAUAAUAAGAAUUGGAAAAAAAAUCAAAUAUAAAAAUAAAUUUUCUAAAACUCUAUACUAUAGAAAAGUCGAAGCUUAUGAGCCUCUAAAGACAUCCACAUAGGAUUUUAAACAACGAAUUGCGGUUGGACAUUGUCAUUAAUUAGCAUUUUUAGUCAUUCUGUUAGUUUACAAUUUUAACUUUUUAACAAACUUCAAUAUUAAGAUAUUUAUGAAAAAGAAAACAAGAUAUGGAAAUAAAAAAACGUAUAAUUCAAUUAUAUAAUGUUGAAAUAUUAAUGUCAUUGUUAGUCUCACUAUGUUAGCUUCCAAAUAAAUUAAGAAAAAAUCCUAAUUCUAAGAUAAUAUAGAUAAUUAGAAUUGGAAAAAAAUCAAAUAUAAGAAGAAGUUUUCUAAAUAUUAACAAAAAGAUAGUAAUAAACAACCGUGCAGAAAUUUUCCGGAAGUUUGAGAAAAUUAAAGUUUAAACAAAAAGAAAAAGCUUAAUGACUUAAAGAAAAACUUCUUCUUAACAACCAUGGAAAUUAAUAAAGUCUUAAAUAAUAAAGCAGUGGUGUCUAUAUAAAUAAACAUCUAUGGACCAUUGAUGAUAGUCGAUCAAAGAUUUUACUUUGAAAAGUUUAAACAACUAAUUUAUUGACUUAACUAAGCGACCUCUCGACAAACUUGAAAAAAGCUUUUACUAAUAAGAAAAGGAAGAAACUUUUAAAGAAUCAUAUAUAUGAAAGUUGAACAACUCUCUCCAUAUGAGUGACACAUCAUCACACAAGAAAAUGACAUGUGUGAUUCUACAUUAAUUAAAUAAAAAGAUUAAAAACUAUUUGAGGAAAAAUUCUUUUGUUGUAUUAAAUCCACCAUUAAUCUCACUCUUAAAUAAAUAUUCUAACUAUACAAAUAUAAUUACAUAAAAUGAAUAUAACUUUAUUAACUACAUAAUAACAUACACGAAAAUAACAUAAAUUAAUAAUAAAAAUAGUUAAACAUAAUUAUUUUUAAACAAAUUUCAAACAACAACCAACAAAAUGACAAUCACAAUGUGAAUCCAAACUUUAAUCAUGAGCCUAUCACAAUGUUACUGAAGUACAUAAAACAAGGAAAUGAUUAUUUAUAAUCGAGUUAGGCAAAUAUUAAACCACAAAAAUAACAUAGUUACACAGAAUUGUAUUAAAAUAUCAUUAUUGUUGUUAUAUGUAUUCAUAAAGUGAAAAAUAUUAAAAUUUUAUAAAUAAUCAACUUUAUACACAAAAAUAUAUAAAUUGAUAUUUCGAGUCACAAAUGAAUCUAACCAUAAAAAUUGUAACUACAUAUUAUGGAUCUAAUUUUACUAAUAAUACAAGAAUAAACAAAUAGUAAAUAUAAAUUAGCAAAAAGAACAAUCAAUGUAAUUUUUUUUUAACAAUUUUCAAAACAGAUCCACGCGUAGCAUGGGUACUCAUCUAGUAUAUAUGAAGGUAGGCUAUGUGAAAAUUUUGGAAGGUAGGCUAUGUAUUGUUUAAACAAAAUCAUAAGAGGAUGGAAAGAUACACCCGUUAAAAAAAAGUGUGUGAAAUUUUUUUUAAAAAACAAAUUAUUUCUAACUCUUUUUUCUCGAUAGAUAAUCAAGCCUAUGGCGUCAAUGUUUUUUUGCUGUUGAUGUCGAUGGAAGUCCAUCACGAGAUUAAUAAUAUUUUAUACUAACAUAUCUUGGCCCACAUUAAGAAGCCCACCAAGAUUCUCAAGCCCACUAUAGGCCCAUCAGCUUUUUAUUUCUUCAAUUGAGUUUGACGUGUUAACUAUAUAGCCGGAAGGUACCAAAAUACUUUUCGAAGCUUUGACCUAACUUGGAGAUGAGAGAUUUAACAACAGCGAUGUCCGAUCUUCCACGAGAUUUGGAAGAGGAAGUGCUCUCUAGGGUCCAGUUAGCAUCUCUUAGAGCAGUGCGAACUACUUGCAAAAAGUGGAACCGUCGUUUAUCCAAAUAUCGCUUUACAAAGAAGUAUAUUCGUAAAUCAAGAUCAGCAACGGCGGAUAAAGAGUUUUUAGCGAUCAUGAUGUUGGAUUCUAGUCUAUAUCUAAUGAAUGUUGUUAUUGACAAGAUCGACAACGAAAACAACGUUGAAUCAUCUAUAGAGAGAAAAGGUAAACUGAUUAGCGUAAACGACGCAGAUGGAGUCGAUAUAAUAAGCGUCGUCCACUAUAAUGCUUUGUUGUUAUGCCUCACCAAAGAAAAAACACCGAAGGCUUGUGGUUUGGAACCCUUGUCGUGGGCAAUCAAGGUGGAUCGAAACUGCUUAUCGUUGCGGUUUAUUUGAAUAGUCCAAAUGCUUCUUCAAUUUUUAACCAUUUUAUUUGAUGUUGCGAGCGAUGACGAUGACACGAUCGGCAGCAAACCCAAAGUGAAAUGUAGCCGUCACAAAUGACUUGGAAAACCAAAGCUACAGGGUGUCUCCCCCGAAACUUUAAGAGAUAAGUUGGAAAAACAUACGUUUUUCAAACUUAAUUAUCAAAGCAGUACGGUUCCUAUUCAUAAUUGGAGAUUUCAGCGGGACCACCGUUGUGUCCAAUACAGAUAAAGUGGGGUAUGUUUUCUUUUGUGGAAAUUACGUAUAAGGGCUUCCAUUAUUUUUAUGAGAAAACGAAACCCUCUGGCCGAGUUCGGGUUUUUGUUUUGUUAAGUCAUAGUCAAAGUUAGGAAACGUCUGAUCGUUAUGGGCUCAACGAAAUCGUAAAUGGACCUUAAACGGAAAUUCUUCUUAUCUUAGAAACGAAGUACGUGUUGAAGUCAACUUGUCUUCCUCGUCGACAAAUUCAAUGACGGAGUGGGAGCUGAAAGAAACGACGGAAUUUAUGAGAUUUUCAAAUCAACGAAAUUAGUUAACAGGUUGGUGAAUAAAAUGAUUUAAUACUCAGACUCUCUUUAGUUUUUUUUUUUUGAAAUUAGCUAAAUUUUUGGAUUGGCAGUUUAGAUGCUUUAAAUCUUUAAGAACUAGUGAUAAAUCUGUGAAUCUUUUUGUGUGUUUUAGAGAAGGUGAUUCAGUUAUAGUCGACACUACUUCUGAAGCUGGAAAGACUUGCACAACCAUUGCUAAGUGUUUAGAAGCUGGAGAAUCAUCAUCUACAAGUAUUGUACAGACUAGAGUUAAACCCCUUGCUGCAGUGGAAGGAGGAUACUUUGCUGGUCUGUUAUCUUCUGUUCAAGUUAAUACCACUGUCUAUCCUCCCAACCCUCAGUUUGCUAUUGUUCAGAGUACAGAUGGUUGUAAAACAUCCAGUGAAUGGGGCAUAAGCGAUGAACUUCUGUUAGAAGCCCUAGAAGCAGUGGAGAACUCAACUAAUGGUGUGAAUACAUCUAUAGCGGUAGAAGUUCUUGUGUCGGGUGAUGACUAUGAGUUCUUAGGAAACUCUGAUGAUUAUUUCUCUCUCAGUACAGGGAGUGAAUCAGAAGAUGAUGAGUUCGAUGACGAUAACCACACUACAGGUCCGCUUCAAGCUGGGAAAGAAACCGUUGUAUAUGGAGACAAUGGGGAUGAUGAUUUUGUUAAGCAGCCCCCUAAAAAGAAAGUCAUGCAAAAAGAAAGUAAUGUUGGUGCUAUGAAAGAGUUUCUGGAAACAUUUCAGAAAAGUAUAAGCAUUGAUCAAGUGUAUGGGUACGACGAAAUUGAGCCAAUGUUUGGAGAUGAUGAUAUGGAUGCAAAAGCAGCUCAUGUUAACUUGAGCAAAGAGAAUGACAAUAUGUUUGUCGGAAGGACCUUUGCAUCAAGGGAAGAUUUCAGGAUUGCCUUGUCCAUUUAUGCCAUAAACUUUAUUUUCCGCUUCAAAUUUACUAGGUAUGAGAAACAUUACUUGGUUGUUGAAUGUUAUGAUAAACAAUGCUGUGAUUGGAGAGUCAGAGCACACCAAGUUGGGGACAGUGAAGAGUAUGAGUUCAGGAAGGCAAAGUCGGAACAUAUGUGUAAGGUUGAGACUAGGAGCCGCUUUUCAAAACAUGUUACUUCUAAGGUUAUAGCUGCAUUCCUAAGGGCUAAGUAUGCGAAGGCGUUCUGUGGGCCAAGAGCGAGAGACUUACCCGAUUCUCUGUUGAGGGAGCACAAUGUGCGGAUGACGUAUUGUGGAUGUUGGAAAGCUAAAGAACUGGGUGUUGAGACAGCUCAGGGCACAAAUGAGAGCUCUUUCUCCUUGUUACCAGUAUAUCUUCACGUCUUAUAACUUGCAAAUCCUGGCACAAUUUAUCAUUUGGAAACAGAGUUGGUAUUGGUGAUGAGCGAUUCAAAUAUGGUUUCCUAGCAUUGGGGGCUAGUGUAAAAGGGUUAAUAUAUCUUCGGAGAGUCAUUGUAGUAGAUGAUACACACCUUUUUGGUAAGUUUCUUGGCUGUCUUCUUACCGCUAGUUGGCAGGAUGCAAACUUUUAGAUUUUCCCAAUAGCUUUCUGUAGUGGACAACGAGACUGAUGAAUCAUGGACAUGGUUCAUGAAUAAGCUUUCAGAAAUAAUCAAAGAUGGCCCAGACUUGACAUUUGUCUCAAAUUGCAAUCAAUCAAUAUUCAAAUCCGUGAGUCUUGUGUUCACUCAAGCACACCAUGGAGCUUGUUUGGUCCACAUAAGAAGGAAUGUUAAAGGAAGGUAAGGAAAGAAGAGUGGCCUUCCAGCUUUAGUGUGGCAAGCAGGUAACACAUUUCGGCUCAAAUAUUUUAAUAAUGUAUGUGAAAGGAUCAAGAAAAGGAGUAUGGGCUGUUGGAAAUAUAUAGAAGAAAUGGGUCUUGCGAAUUGGAGUAGGGUUCAUUUUACAUGGGAGAGAUAUAAUUUGAUGUCUAAUAACAUUGUUGAGUCUUUGAACAAUGCUUUACUACCAGCUAGGGGAAGUCCAGUUGUGGCAUUGCUUAAAUUUAUAAGGAAAAUGCUUGCUAGGUGGUUUGAAUCAAGGAGGAAAAAAAUAUCUAGAUUAGUCGGGGACAUACCUAUUGCGGUUGAAAGGGAACUUAUGAAGCGGUUCAAAGGUGCUUUGGGAAUGUCUGUUCCGGCUGUUGGGAGGAGUUGGGAUUUCUAAGUAGUUGCAAAGGAUGGAGUACAGUCCCACGUCUCCUUGGAACAACAGACUUUCACUUGCUUGGAGUUUCAGAAAAUCGAAAUACCCUGUACGCAUGCAAUGGCUGCCGCUCAUGAUAGGGGUUUGGAAUUCAGAUCUUUGGUUGGAGAGAUGCAUAGGCUAGGAAUGUGGUCACCAACGGUCCAAGAACCAAUCCUCCUUGUACGCGAUCCAUCGGAGGUGGAUGUCCCUGAGGAAAUAAGGGUUCUCUGUUUAAUGCCUCCGAAAAUAAAAAGACCUCCUGGGAGACCCCCAAAGCUGCGAAUACACUCAGUUGGGGAAUAUGAGGUCAGUUAUAUUUUUUCAUCCAUAUAUUUCUAUAUAAUUCAAAGGUAACAAUACUUUUUGUCUUAUUUCGGGGAUAAGAAGUCUAAAACGCCUCAUAAGUGUGGAAGAUAUGGAGGUGUAGGUCACAAUUGUGUUACGCGCAAGAAUCCCCUUGGGUGACGCUAUGGAAUCUUAGAAAGAUUUGGAAAGUUUUUCGGUUAUCAAUAGAGAAGUAUUUUGGCCCGAGACCUUUUUGGUUUUGUUAAUGGGUAGACAUUUAUAUGAAAUAUGGUUGGAGACAAUUUUCAUAACAAUGUCUAUUUUUAUGAAUUGUACAAAUUAUUACCUAAACUUCUUUUGAAGUGGCAAGUACUACUGAUGAAUGUAUAUCUCUCUUUAUGUAUUACCCAAGUAUGAUUGGUGAUGUAUUUUUAUUUAUUUUGUUGUCAUCCCUUCUCAAAAAGUAGUUUUUUCUUCAAUUCAAGAUAUACUUGUACAGUUCUUAAUUUUACUGUACGGAUUUAAACAGAGUACAUUCUACGUUUGAUGUACAUAUGGAUUAAAAUAGCUUUACGACAGUACUGUACAGAUAGCGCUAUACAGUUAUCUGUAGUUUAUUGUACAGAUGGAGCUGUAGAGAUGUGUUCGUCAAGAUUCUGUUGGAGAGGUUAAUAUUUAACAUUAAUUGGGUAAUAUUUGUAAAAAUCUAACAUGUCAUAAAUAUGUUUGGUAUGAGGAUUAAAUUAUUCUCAAUUGUAAGUUUCAAAACUACUACAUUAUUAUGGCUUAUAUAUACAAGAAAGUUGAAUUUCUAAAUAACAUCUUAGAAGAAGAAAACUUCUCUUAGUUUAUUCUCAGUUAAAAAAAAAAUAUGGGAACAAAAAUGCCAGACAUUGCUAAUGAUUUGUUGGCUAAAAUCGUUAAGCUUGUGGCUGAUGAUCGUUGGUGGCGGCUGUAAUUUGUUUUUCUUAUUCCCUUCUAUAACUAUAGUUUUUUCUCUAUUAUCUUAGUAUUUUGUAUAAUUAUUAUAUUAUGUUGUUUUGGCACUUUUGGAAGUAUAAUAUUUGUUUUUUUGUAAUAUAUAUAUAUAUUCUAUGGGUUUCGAAACAUUGUCUUGUUUGAAUUUAUUUAUGAUUGUGUGUAUUUAUGGGAUAAAUGUUGACCGCCUAAUAGUGUUGACUGAGUUUCUAUAUAUCUUACAUUAUUUAUUAAUGUAAUAAUUCGUUUAUUUAUUAAUGCCGACCACUUGAAUGAAUUUCUAUAUAUCUUACAUUAUUUAACUCGUUCUAACAAUAAACGAAUUUUCAUAUACUUUAAGUGCUGGUGACAUUAUCAGCUUUUGUCUAUUUUAUUAAUAGAAAUUCGGCUUCUUGUGAUUUCUUGGGCAGAAAUGAACAAGAUGUGGGAUAUGUUUCGGUUAUAUUGUGAGGAGGUGAGAACUCAAAAGUACUGAUAUGAUUGAAAUUUCAGACUAGACCAUCCACUUAUAUAUCGUUGGACAGAUAAAUUAGUUGACAUGUGUUAAAAAAGUAUGUGUAUUAGUACUGUUGAGUCUUGCUCCAACUGACAGUAAUAAUUAGUUUUCAAAAUAUAUUAAUAAUUUCAAUCUGAAUAAAUGUGAUUUGCACUUUCGAACAGUUGUGUCUUUUAAUUUAUUGACAGUUACUUUUUAAUAUUUGUAUCUUUUCAUUGUAAAUAGUUAUGUCUGUUAAAUUGUUGACGAUUAUUUUUUUACAUUCAUGUCUUCUUAUCGUAAACAGUUGUGUCUGUUAAAAUAUUAAAGGUUACUUUUUACGUUCGUGUCUUUUUAUUGACGGUUACUUUUUUAAUUCAUGUCUAUUCAUCGUAAACAGUUGUGUCUGUUAAAAUAUUGGUGGUUACUUUUUACAUUCGUAUAUUUCAUUGACGGUUAUUUUUUUAUGGUUACUUAUUUACAUUCGUGUCUUCUCAUUGACGUUUAUUUUCUUACGUUCGUGUCUUUUCAGCGUAAACUAUUGUGUCUGUUAAAAUAUUGACGUUUACUUUUUUACAUUCUUAUCUUUUUAUCGUAACUUUUGGUUAACAUUGACGGUUACUCUUUAUAUUUGUCAUUCUUCAGAUUAUUGUUUCAUGAUGAAUCCAAAAAAAAAACCUUAAAAUGACUAGAAAUUCUUGACUCUCUAAUCUAAUCUGUUUCUAAAUAUACAUCAAUUUAAUAUCAAAGAAAUUCUUCUAAUUCUUGAUCUAACCAAAGAUUUUUGGAAUGAUUAUAACAAUGGUGAAGUUUUAAUCAACUCUAAAUAUAAAAUUCUAAUGAAGAUGCCAACAAUUUUCUUCUCAGAAUUGGGCGGAUUAUACAGUGAAUUUUUUUAUUUAACUAUUGUAUAUGGUAAUAGUGAUACUUUCUGUCUUAAGGCAAUAUAUAUGGGUUGUAUACAACGAAAUAUUGAUGCUGCGUUAACACUAUUACAAAGUCCGAAUAUGAGAAGACAUCCUCAAGCAAUAUGGCUAUAUUUUUCAUAUGUGUUGGGCGCUUUAAAUGUGGUAAACGUCAAAUGAACCAUUUUAAAUGGUAUAGUAAUCCAGAAAUCAUCUCCGUUAUUAGGAAAAAAGCAAUGAUUCCAAUACGUCACAUGAAUAUUCAAGGAAGAAGUUUUUUUAGUCAGUUAAUUUAUCAAUAUAAGUAUAAAUUCAUGAAAUCUUGUAAAUGCUUAUUUGUUUUUUUUUUUUUUUUAACACUCACUAUGCUUUAUUGAUUAACAGAGUCAACGUACAGAGCAGUUGCAAUACAUGGUGGGAUUAAAUGGUGAUAAAAGAAAUCGAUGGUUGAUAAACGUUGAUUCCGUGCAAGCUGAUCUGCUGCUUUGUUAGCUGUUCUUGGGACCCAGUUAUAUUCGACACCUUCAAAUCUUCGUUCCCAUAACUUGAUCUCUGUUACCCAGUUGAAUAAGUCAAAGCGCUGUGCAGGAGAUUGAAGAAGAGACACUAAGACCAUGUUUAUUUGUUUGUUAUAGAUGUAAUUUACGUCAUCAAAUAUUGUAUUUUCUCAAAUCUAUAUAAUAUAAUCUGAAAAUUAUCCAGAUUGACUUAAAACUGGGCAAUAAUAAUUAAAAUGACUCUCAUUAGUGAUAGAUAACUAGACUAACACAAAUUUUAUGUAAAAAGACAAUUUGACCUUAGAUGUCCACAUUUAAUGUUUUAGUGGUAAAUAUGGUAACUGUUCUAAUAAGUCUGUCAUUACAUGGAAAAAAAACUGUCACCAUUGUAAAUAUUAUUAUAGCAAACAAAUAUGCAAAAAAAAACCAUAAUUGAUUUUUGAAGUUAUAGAAUUUUUAUAUAUUUGGGUUGACUAUGUAUAUUUACGGUAUAAUUUUUAGGUGUCAGGUUUAGUAUUUAGGAUAUAGAAAUUAGUUUUGAAUAUUAAAUUUAGUUUUAGAUUUGUGGUAUUUUUGAAAAAUAAAAUUCAUUAUAGUAUUUUUUGGAAAAACUCAUUUUAGUAGUAUUUAAAAGAAUUUCAAAAAAAAUUGACAAAAAAAAAUCAAAUCUGUCAUAAUAUGAUUUUCCAAAUAAAACAAAUGUUACAAUAGUUAGUAUUAUUCUAUGAAAAAAAUCAUGGAAAAAAGAAAACUAUAAAUCGGUCACCAUAAGGAUUUCAAAUUACAAAUCUGUUGUAACAUAAAAUAUUUUUAAGGUCAUGCCAUCAAACGACAGAUUUAUGGUAAUAUAAGUUUAUCUGUCACAACAUAAAACAACUCUGUCAUAACACAAAAUAUUAUAUUUUAGAAAAUAAAUCUGCCAUCAAACGACCGAUGUUGUGUAAAAUUGCAAGAAUCUUUUAUAACAUAAAACAAGUCUAUCUUAACAUUAAAAAAAUUGGUUAUCGUUAGACGUCAUUCUAGUAAUUAACUUUUUGACAACAAAUGUGUUACAAUGUGACAGAAUUUUUUAACAAAAUUAUAAAUCUGCCAUCACUUAACGUAAAAAAAACAUCCAAAAAAAUAAGUCUGUCAAAUUAUAUGAAAGUCUGUGAUUGAACAGUGGGUAAACCAUAUAUAAAAAAAAUUAUAUCCUGAAUUUAUUUGUAUUUCCAAUUACUCAAAAAAGCAAUGUAUCUAGAUCAUCUUUGAAUCAUCCCAUAAAUCUAAAACUGGUGUUGUCAUUAUUCACUAAAUCGACUUCCACUCUUUCUUACAGAAAUAUGUUUGAUAAUCAAUAGAAAGAGAUACAUAAAUGAGAAAACUACGAACUCUAUUAUGAUUUUAAACGAUAUUGAAUAUACAAGAAACUUAAUUUCGAGAGAAACAAAAGAGACAAAUUAAAAUAAAAACCUCCAAAGAACUAAUAAAAUCGUGUAAAAAAAAAUCAAAGCUUUUGAAACGUAAAUUAGUAAAUUUGUCUGUAACGAAAAAUAUUCCGAUGACCACCAGCACGGUCACCAACUUUUCUCCCUCUUCCUUCGCCUCCACCGCCAUUAAUAGCAGGUUCAUACUGUCGAACCGACUCUGUUUUUUCUUCUUCUCCUCCUCCGUUGAAAAUUUAUAAGUUAUAUUCUUAUUGUGAAAGUACAGAAGUACCCACGAAUCUGACUUGACUUUUGAUCCUUGGCUUUUCUUCUUCGUCCUCGAAGAAUUUCUGAAAAUCUCGUUUCAUACAAAACUUUGAUUCACGAAAUCUCGAGUAUUCAUCGUAUCUUGUGUAGGAGUAAGCUUGACUGCUUGAGUGUUACUUGAGAUUUAAGUUGUUUAGUUUUGAGAAAGAUUAAGUUUAAUUCCUUAGGAGUUAUCUUAGGAUAUUAUUAAAAGUUAUCUAAUAUUAAUCCUUGUGUGUUUAGGUUUAGAUUAUUGAUCUCUAUAUAAGAGUUACCAAAGUUGUGGUGAACCUUAAGAGAAUUUGAGAUUGUGAAGAGAUCAAUAGCUUUACGUUUUGAGUGAGUUUUCUAAAGAAAUUAAAGAGAGUUAUUCUUUAUUUUGAGUUCUUAAACAUUUCUCUAAAACAAGAAUUGGUAUUAGAGCUUUAAAGGUUCAAUCAAACCAACCAAUCCAUUAAGAGAGAAAUAUGAGCGACGUUGUGGUGGUAACGGAGAAACAAGCAAGUGGAGGCGGAGGAGCACCAUCGUCCAUUCAAUGUCCCAUGUUGAACUCGAGUAACUAUACCGUGUGGGCCAUGAGGAUGAGAAGUACACUCAAGGUUCAUGAGGUUUGGGACACUAUAGCGACUAAUGAGUCCAAUGAAAAGAAGAACGACAUGGCAUCUGCUUUGAUGUUCUAAUCCAUACCGGAAGCCCUAGUUCUACAAGUUGGUGAGCUUGAUACAGCGAGGAAAGUAUGGGACUACAUCAAAGCAAAACACGUUGGAGCAGAACGUGUUAAGUUAGCUACAUCAAACUCUUAUGGCAGAGUUAGACCGGUGUACGAUGAAAGAAACAGAGAGAAUUAAUGACUUUGAUGAAAAGUUAGCUGGAAAUUUAAAAAAAUCAGCGUCAUUAGGAGUUAUCAUUGAAGAAUCAAGGCUGGUCAAGAAGUUUUUUAAGAGUCUUCCUUGAAGGAAGUACAUACAAAUUGUAGCAUCUCUUGAACAAGUAUUAGAUCUCAACACUACAGGCUUUGAAGACAUAGUUGGACGUCGUAAAGUGUAUGAAGAACGUAUUUUUGAUGAAGAGGAUGUUCAAGAUAAGCAAAGCAAACUUAUGUAUGCAAACACGGAGAAUCAAACGAGCCAAUACAAUCGAGAGUAUCAUGGAGAUUCUAAAGGUAGAGGUCGAGGAGGAUGCUCUUACUACAAGGGAAGAGGCCGCGGAAGGUUUAAUGGGGGAAGAGAUACAUCAAAAAUCAUGUAUUAUAGGUGUGACAAGUUAGGUCACUACGCCUCUGAUUGCCCGGAUCGACUUCUCAAGCUGCAAGAAACCCAAGAGAACGAGAAAGAUGAUACACAAACUGCGGAUGAACUUAUGGUUCACGAAGUAGUGUAUCUAAAUGAGAAGAAUUGCAUUCCGAGCAACUAUGAAACUAACACCGGAGAAGAUGUGUUUGGUAUCUCGAUAACGGAGCUAGUAACCACAUGACAGGUGAUCAAAGAUACUUCACUAGUACAGAUGAUUCUGUCACCGGGAAAGUGCGAUUUGGCGAUGAUUCACGGAUUGAUAUCAAAAGGAAAGGAUCGAUCUUAUUCUUUGACAAGAAUGGCGAACAUAGAAAGAUGUUGGAUGUCUAUUUCAUUCCGAAUUUAAAAAGCAACAUCAUUAGGUUGGGACAAGCUACAGAACCGGGCUGUGAUAUAAGGAUGAAAGAUGACAUUCUAACAAUGCAUGACCAAGAGGGAAAAUUACUUGUCCAUGCAACAAGAUCAAAGAAUCGACUCUAUAACGUUCGGAUGGCAAGGAAGUGAUAUCUCCCUAUUUUUACUGAUUUUAACUAUGUUUUAGGUAUAGGAUUUUGAGUCUUUAUGUUAUUUCUCGAGUCUUUUAGUGUCUUAUCAGGUAUUCUAUGCAGUGGGACAACAAUGGAGAUGAGGAGACAUUUUGGAGCAAAAUCUACGGAAAAGGAUGCUAAGGACGAUUUCAGUCCCAGAUUCAGCGAGAGUGUCAAUCGAUACACUCCUAGUGUCGAUCGACACCAGUUUCGGCCCAGCAAAGUCCAUUACGCUUUCAAGUUUACAGAAGAGGAAAUUUGCCCAAGAAGACUUCCCUAUUUGUAUUAUUAGUCUUUGGAUGUUUUAUAGGGCUUAUAUAUAGUUUUAGAGGUAAUUGUUUAGACCUAAGUUCCUUUUAUCAAGUUCUUUGCAAAUCCCUAUUUUCAGAGACAUAAGCUAUUCAUCCCUUGUUCUUGAGAGAUUCAUUCAGUUUUCAAUACAGUUAAAAUAUCUCUUCUUACUCUUAUCUUAUUUGCUGUGUUUAUGUUUUCUUACUCAAUUAUGUUGCUUGUUUCAUUCAAUAUGUCUGAGUAGUUUGCUUGUUAUUAAUAGUGUUUCUCAUUAGGGAUUCAUAUGGUUUAGUAGAUCUCCCCCUUUGCUAGGUUAUCUGUAGAAUUCUUCUUCUUUGAUUAUACUUUAUGUUAGAUCUAGAGUAAUUAACUAGAUCUUGAAUCUAGACAAUAGAUAUGCCAACCAUAGGUAUCUGUAGUUGGAUCUAUUAUUUGAUGAGCAUGGUUUAGAAGUGUGUAAUAAGAAUCGGCUUAUCUACUAAGGUGAACAAUUGAACUCGUUUAGAAUGCAAGUUUAGUUUGAAAAUCUCUCGGCUUCUCCGGUUAUUCUUAGCUAUAGGCAUAGGGAGUUUUGCGGAACACCACCGAUUAUUUUAGAAUUAGAGUUUGAGUUUAAGAAUGUAGGUUCCUGAGAAUACCCUAUUCCUAACUCUUUAUUUAAUUGUCUACAACUAAUCAAUCUACUGUCUUUUUACUUUGUUCUCUUUUUAUUUCAAUCAUUACCUGCUAGCUUAAUCUCGAAAUACAACUCACUGUUCGAACAAAAGAACUUUGUAGAAAUCGAUCCCUAAAUACUGCAAUUUAUCUCUUAUUUGAGAGAGUAGUUCUUAAGGAAAUUUGAACCUUAUCAAAUUUGGCGUCGUUGCCAAAGUUCUUGGGAUUGAGUUUAGUUUAGAGAUUUGGUCUAGUUUUUACUUUUACUUUGUUACUCACGCGUUUCUUGUUUUCUUCUUUUUUUUGUGUUUCAGGUGUAUGUCUAGGCAAACAAGGAGCACACAAAAGAAGGAGUUGAUCAACUUGUCUGUUCUGGAAUUGGGGAAACUUGAACGUAGAAACCGAAAAACUCAUAGAUUUGCAAUGGCUGACAGAGUCAUCCAAGCUGAUGCAGAUGGAGAUUUGAGAGAUGAGGAUGGGCAAGCCUACAAUGAGGCUGGUUAGAGAUUGGAUGAUCAUGGACUCAUCCUACCUGAGGACGCCAAUGAGGAUCAGGCGCGCUUCAAUGCGCAAUUAGCUGCCAGAGACGCAGCAGGGCUCGGUGUCGAGCGACACCAACUGGGUGUCGAUCGACACCUUUGGGAGCAUAAUGUAGACGCGAUUGGUGUCGAGCGACACAACAGAGGUGUCGAUCGACACCAACCCCAGGUUCUUGUAGCUAUUCCUCCAGCUGCGGAACCACGUCAUACUCUCGAGGAUUUCAACAGGCCUGACCUGUUCUAUGCUAAUCGAUCAGCGAUCGUACCCCCACCCUUCCAGAGGAACGAUUAUGAGAUGAAGCCUUGCUACUUUGCUUUAGUAGGCCAGCAUCCUUUCCAUGGCUUGUCUCAUGAGCAGCCAAUGGACCAUAUCGAGCGUUUUGAGGACCUCGUUCUGAGCAUCAAAGCUAAUGGAGUCUCAGAGGACUACCUACUGUGCAAGCUCUUCCCUUAUUCAUUGUUGGGGAAGCCGCUUAUUGGCUGAAACAACUUAAAGUGGGUUCCCUCAAGCCUUAGAGAAGCAUCAAAAUAGCUUUCUUGAACAAUUUCUAUGAUGAUGCUAAGUCUGAGGAGCUGAGAAACAAGCUGUCUACCUUCACCCAAGGUCUAGCUGAAUCUUUCAAAGCCGCUUGGGUUCGUUUCAAGGAGUAUCAUCGGGACUGCCCGCAUCAUGGCUUCGUGAGGUACAACUUCUUGGUACCUUUUUAAGAGGAGUGGAUUGGAGAUACCUGAUUGCUCUAGAUGCAGCAAGCAAUGGUAACUUCAACACGAGAUAUCCAGCUGAUGCUACCGCUCUGAUAGAGAAUCUCGCUUGCAGUAACAGCACCAAGAAUGCUGACUUUGAGAGGAAGAAGAUUGCUGGAGCUGUUUCAGGCAAUCAGAUGGCAGAGGUGAAUGCUAAGUUAGAUUCAGUUCAUAACUUGCUUACAAGGAAGAAGCAUGUCCACUUUGCAGCUGAGGAUGAGACCAUUGAGCCCGAAUAUGAGUCUAAAGAGGGAGUCUUCUACAUAGAUGGUCAGGCUACAGGAAGUUUGGGCAGCCACAAGGCAACUUCAGUGGCAAUUGGUUUACAGGGAACCAGAGUUCCUCAAACUACACUCCAAAACCUGCUAUCCAGAAGAAAUUUCCUCAUAGCAACUUCUAGAGGAACUAUGGUAAUUCAGCUUAACCCCCCUCUACCCUCCUUAGAGACCAGAAUAGAAUCCAUGCUUGAGCAGAUUCUUGAGAGCAAAACAAAGCUCGUUGUGGAGUUUAAAGGCAAGUUUGAUGCUGUCUACACAGAUCUUAAUGGGAAGAUCGACAAUCUGAGCUCUCACUUGAAGAAGCUAGAUGUAUAGGUUGCUCAAACUACAUAAUCCAUUAAGAGACAAGAGGGCAUUCUUCUUGGUAAUCCGUGAUGCUAACCCAAGGAAGAGCUGUAAUGCCAUCUUGAUCAGAGAAGGAGAUGAUGUGUGGGAAGAAUUGGACACUGAAGACGAGUUGGAGCUCGUAGUUGUAGAGAUGGUGUCGAACGACAAAGAGAUGGUGUCUAUCGACACCCUAUGAAAAAAUCUUCUCUGAGAAGAUUCCACACGAUGGUGUCGAUUGACUCACCUCUUGUGUUGAUCGCCACUAGGUCCGGACUGCACCAUAUGAGGUGCAAGUCCCAAUGCAGGCCGAGUCUGCUUACACUCCUCCUGCCCUUAUCUGAGGAAGUGUCGUUCUAAGUAGGAGAUUCACGCUGCUAAGUGCAUAACCAUCUUGGAAAAGAUCCUCACUUCUCUUCCUAAGGAUGUUUCUGAGACAUCUUCUACUCCACUCAAUAGGUAUGUCAAGCGACUUGUUGACAAUGGUAUUACCUCAGAUGACACUAAGCUGCUGACCCGGGACAUCAGUGCAAUCAUGCUGCCUAAGGUCAGGAAAGAGAAAGCACAGAGUGUGGACAUUCCUGACUACAUCCGCACCAUCACUCCUGAUCAGACCAUUGAGAAGCUUCCAGAUCCAGGUAGCUUUGUUCUUGAUUCCUCUAUCUCCUCAAGCAGGUUCAUCGCUCUUUGUGUGAUCUGGGAUCAAGUAUCAACCUCAUUACUAAGUUUGUUGCUGAGAGACUAGGCAUGACUAACUAAAGGCCGACUCGAAUCACUCUCCUCUUCGCGGAUCAUUCCAAACGAAUCUCUAAAGGAAUCCUUGAGGAUUUGCCUGUUAAGGUUGGUAACUCUCUAAUCCCUGCUGAUUUCGUGGUCCUGGACUAUGAUAAGAAACCCAAGGAUCCUAUGAUCCUUGGAAAAGAAUUCCUAGCUACAGCUGGUGAUAGGAUUGAUGCGAAGAAAGGUAGGAUCUCUCUAAAGGUUUAUGAUUUGAAGAUGAAGUUUGGCAUGGAUGGUUCAGAGUUCACUAAGACUAUCAGUAGUAUUGCCUCUAGCACAGACACACCUCCUCAGAAUCCCAGACAUAGCCACACACAACGCUCCCAUCAGCUCAGCUCGCCAAAGGGAGUUUUAGAGCAACGGUGUCGAUCGACACCACAACUCCUGUCGAUCGACACUCUCGGGAUUCACAGACAGAGGGUUCUGCACAAUCUCUUCAGCCCACACCUAUUUCAGCUUUAGGUGAUAGGUUCUCUUGUAUUUCUUCUCCUGUUUUCCCUUCGACUAAUUCUUUCGAUUCUUCGAAGUCUGCUUCACAAGAUAACAAGCCUAGAGUUCUUCGAAAGCUUGUUUCUCAUGUUGUUUUUGCAGGUAACGAGAAGAGUAUUGAUCGACACACCGCUGAGUGUCGAUCGACACCUACAGCUGUCUAGACCGGUUCAGCUUACACACCGCCUUGGAGGGCGUGGAGGAAGCAAUCCUCCACCAUUCCACCCACAUCCUGAACUCCGCAAACUCAAGCUAUUGACUCAAAAUAAGUGCUUAGUGGGAGGCAACCCACUGGUUUGAUUUUUCUCUUCCCUUUCUUUUAUUUUCUUUUAUUUUUGAUUUAUUUUUCCCACCUUCUUCGUAUUUGAAUGCCACUGGGACAGUGUCGUUUAAGUCUGGGGGAGGUUCUUACUAAUUAUGCUUUUAUUUUUUAUUCUUUUUUUUUUUUGUUUUUGAGUUUAUUCAGUCAUUUUCUUUUCCUUCUUAAAAGAAAAAAAAAACGUUUUGUUUAGUUUAGUUAGGAAUCAUUAUCUAUAUUUCUUUUCCUUCUUAAAAGAAAAAAAAAACGUUUUGUUUAGGUUGAUGAGUGUUGCAGGUUCGACUCAAUCCGACUAUUGGAAAAUCUAGAUGGCAAACCAACAGACUUGAGGGUAUCCUAGUUUCCAACACAACCUCUAAGGCUGGAGCUAAUCUCACUUCUCUUCUUUUUACCUCUUCAAACGGUUAGUAUUCAUAGAUCUUGACUCCUUAUUCAUACCUGAUAUUGAGACCAAUGUGAUCAAGAAACUUAGUGUUCCUCUCCCCUUAUAUAAAAAAAAAGAAAAUAAUAAUGAGAGAUUGAUAGGAUUUUCAGAUAGUGUAUAGGGGUAGGAAUGCUUCCUAUGAUCCCAUUAUUAUACAUUAUUUGGAAUGAUCAAUUAUAAAGGUUGGAAAAUGACGAGGGUGUCGAUCCAGUAUGCGAGUUCCGCUUUGUUUACUUUUUAUUAUUAUACAUUAUUUGGAAUGAUCAAUUAUAAAGGUUGGAAAAUGACGAGGGUGUCGAUCCAGUAUGCGAGUUCCGCUUUGUUUACUCUCUAAAAAGAAUAAGUAUAGGGGCGAGAAAGAGCACAAAAGAAAAAAAAAUGGUCGACUUAUCAUGGUAUAGUAGAGGAAUGAGUCUAGAAGGAUCUUGAAUGUUAGCUUGAUUGAUGAAAUCCAACGAUGAAAGCCUGGUGGAUAUAGUUGUGGAACUUAGGUAUGAAAUUUAGAAAGUUGUGUAAGCUUGCAGAGAAGUACAUGUUGGUUAGGAUUUGAUUAGACUUGCUAGGCAUGUGGAUUCAGUUUGGAUGAUCAUGGCAAUAAACUAGAGAAUGUUGGGAGUUCCUUUGUUUCAAAAUCUCUUCCACGGGUUCGGCUUUUGUGUUUUGCUUGAAGGCAAGCAAAAGCUAAGUCUGGGGGAGUUGAUAUAUCCCUACUUUACUGAUUUUACCUAUGUUUUAGGUAUAGGAUUUUGGGUCUUUAUGUUAUUUCUCGAGUCUUUUUAGUGUCUUUUCAGGUAUUCUAUGUAGUGGGACAACAAUGGAGAUGAAGAGACAUUUUCGAGCAAAAGCUAAGGUAAAGGAAGCAAAGGACGAUUUCAGUUCCAGAUUCAGCGAGAGUGUCGAUCGAUACACUCCUGGUGUCGAUCGAUCGACACCUGUUUCGGCCCAGCAAAGUCCAUUACGCUUUCAAGUUUACAGAAGAGGAAAUUUGCCCCAUAAGACUUCCCUAUUUGCAUUAUUAGUCCAUGGACGUUUUAUAGGGCUUAUAUAUAGUUUUAGAGCUCAUUAUUUAGACCUAAGUUCCUUUUAUCAAGUUCUUUGCAAAUCCCUAUUUUCAGAGACUGAAGCUAUUCAUCCCUUGUUCUUGAGAGAUUCAUUUAGUUUUCAAUACAGUGAAGAGAUCCUUAUCUUAUUUGCUGUGUUUAUACUUUCUUAUUCAAUUAUGUUGCUUGUUUUAUUUAAUAUGUCUGAGUAGUUUCCUUGUUAGGAAGAGGGUUUCUCAUUAGGGAUUCAUAUGGUUUAGUAGAUCACCCCCUUAGCUAGGUUAUCAGAAUUCUUCAUCUUUGAUUAUAUUUUAUGCUAGAUCUAGCGUAAUUAACUAGAUCUUGAAUCCAGACAAUAGAUAUGCCCACCAUAGGUAUCUGUAGUUGGAUCUAUUAUUUGAUGAGCCUGGUUUAUAGGUGUGUAAUAAGAAUCGGCCUAUCUACUAAGUUGAAAAUUGAACUCUUUUAGAAUGCAUGUUUAGGCUGAAAAUCUUUCGGCUUCUCCGGUUAUUCUUAACUAUCGACAUAGGGAGUUUCGUAGAGCACCACCGGUUAUUCCAUAAUUAGAGUUUGAGUUUAAGAAUGGUUCGAUAACAACCUAGCUUUCAUUAGAUCUACUAACUAAUAGUUUCCUAAGAAUACCUUGUUCCUAGCUCUUUAUUUAAUCAUUUACAACCAAUCAAUCUGCUGUCUUUAUACCUUGUUCUCUUUUUAUUUCAAUCAUUACCUGCUAGCUUAAUCUCGACAUUCAACUCAUUGUUUGAACAAAAGAACUUUGUGGAAAUCGAUCCUUAAAUACUACAAUUGAUCUCUUAUUUGAGGGAGUAGUUCUUAAGGAAAUUUGAACCUUAUCAGAGAGGAACAGCGUGUUUACAUUUGACAAGCCUUAGUGAAUCAAAUAGAUGGCAUUCGAGAUUGAGACACACAAAUCUCGACACAAUCAAGUCAAUGAUACAAAAGGAGCUAGUAAGAGGAAUUCCACACGUCAAGAUCGAAAAAGAAGUUUGUGAUUUAUGCUUGUUUGGGAAGCAAUCAAGGCAAGUUUUUCCUCAAGGAACCUCAUACAGAGCUGCCAAGAUACUUGAACUCGUUCAUGGAGAUUUAUGUGGUCCUAUAACACCAAGCACACAUGCGGGAAACAAGUACAUUUUUGUUAUUAUCGAUGAUAAAUCUAGGUACAUGUGGACAGCUUUGCUUAAGGAGAAAAGCGACUCUUUCAACAAAUUUAAACAAUUCAGAGCUUUAGUUGAACAAGAAACAAGAAUUAAGAUUCAGACUUUCAGAACAAACAGAGGAGGAGAGUUUAUAUUGCAUGAGUUCACUAAGUUUUGUGAAGAAUCGGGCAUUAAAAGGCACCUUACUGCUCCAUAUUCACCACAACAGAAUGGUGUGGUUGAAAGAAGAAACAGAACUCUGAUGGGAAUGACAAGGAGUGUCAUGAAACACAUGCAUAUACCUAGUUACUUGUGGGGAGAAACAAUAAGACACGCUACUUACCUGUUGAACCGGAUAGCUAGCUACAAGAUUUGUGACUGAUAGCACUCCAUAUGAAGCCUUCUACCGAAAGAAACCAAACGUGAAUCAGCUUAGAGUUUUUGGCUGCAUUGGAUACGCAAAAGUGGAGAAAACACACUUGAAGAAACUAGAUGACAGGUCGAGAAAACUAGUACAUUUAGGUACUGAGCCGGGUUCAAAGGCAUAUCGCUUACUUGACCCCGUAAACUGGAAAAUUGUGGUGAGUAGAGACGUUGUGUUUGAUGAAACAAAAGGAUGGGAUUGGAGUCACAAUAAACCCGAACAUGAUCAUAAUGAAAGCUUCAGUGUCACACUUGGAGAAUUCAGGAAUCAUGGUUUACGAGAAGAAGACAAUGAAUAUGUUGAGACAGAGCAAACAGAGCCUAUUCAGGAGAAUGAAGAACAACAUGAUCAUGAAACGAUUGGAGAAAAUUAAGAAGUCUCUGUAGAUCUUGGAAUAGAAAAUCAAAAUCAACAACCUAGUCUAAGAGGAUCGCAAAGACAAAGCGUAAAGCCAAAGUAUCUUUAAGAUUAUGCAUUACUUGCAGAAGAAGAAGGAGAAAGCCUACUUCUAAUUUUGAAUAAAGAACCAAGAAGCUUCAGUGAGGCUUAGGAGUUUAGAGAUUUGACACUUGCGUGUGAAGACGAGAUACACUCAAUAACAAAGAAUAAGACAUGGAGUCUUGAAGAGCUGCCGCAUGGAGUUAAACCUAUAGGUCUAAACUCAAACGCAACUCGGACGAGAGCAUUUACAAACGCAAGGCUCGAUUGGUCGCCAAAGGUUACGUUCAGCGCUAUGGAGUAGAUUUUGAAGAAGUAUUCGCUCUUGUAGCUCGUCUUAAGAUCAUACGCCUUCUUGUGAACCUUGCAUCAUCAAAUGGUUGGGAGAUACACCAUCUUGAUGUCAAGACAGCAUUCCUUUAUAAAGGAAACCGUGUACGUGACCCAACCAAAGGAUUCGAAGAAAGAGGAAAGGAAGGGAAAGUCUAUAAGCUUCACAAAGCUUUGUAUGGAUUACGACGAGCACAAAGAGCAUAGAACCAUAAGCUGAAUCUGAUUCUUACAGAACUACAAUUCGAAAAGUGUUCCAAAGAACCAUCAGUGUACUGUAAAAACGUAAGCGGAAACACUUUUCUACUUGUGGCAGUGUAUGUAGAUGAUCUCCUCAUAAGAAUCGACAACAGAUCAGCAAUCGCCCUUACCAAGAAUCGUGUCUUCCACGGUCAAAGCAAGCACAUUCAUAGACGUUAUCACUUCAUAAGAGAAUGUGUGGAGAAUGGGCAAGUAGAGGUGGAACACGUUCCGGGAAAUGAGCAAAAGGCAGACAUCGUCACUAAAGCUCUUGGAAGAAUGAAGUUCAAAGAAAUGAGAGAUCUCAUUGGAGUUCAAGAUGUGGUGAAAGAUGGUCUCAAGUUUAAAGGGGAGAAUGUGGGAGUAAGCUUGAGUGUUACUUGAGAUUUAAGUUGUUUAGUUUUGAGAAGGAUUAAGUUUAAUUCCAUAGUAGUUAUCUAAGGAUAUUAUUAGGAGUUAUGUAAUAUUAAUCCUAGUGUGUUUAAGUUUAGAUUAUUGAUCUCUAUAUAAGAGUUACGAAAGUUGUGGUGAACCUUAACAAAAUUAGAGAUUGUGAAGAGAUCAAUAGCUUUAGGUUUUGAGUGAGUUUUCUAAAGAUAUUAAAGAGAGUUAUUCUUUAUUUUGAGUUCUUAAACAUAUCUCUAAAACAAGAUCUUGUACCUCUUUCGAAUCCGGAGAAACCGUCUAACAAUUGUUAUAUUAGGUCCACUAUUAAUCGAAUAUCUGAUUCCUUAAUAAUUUAAUUUGUAUCUACACAGGGGACAUAAGUUACUAGUGUUAAGCCACUUUACAAUGCAUUCUUUACCAAAUCUAUGACCACAAUCUAAAAUCACCCAUUGAGAUCCAUUUAAAAAUGUCUUCAAACAUAUAAGGCGCACAUUCUUCUUGAAGACCACUUUGUUUCUCUUCGUAAAGUUUUACAUCCAACGCUUCAAUUGCUUGCUUACUUGCUGGCUGAAACUUCAUUUCUGUAGAUUCUAAGGAUUCUUGAAUCACUUGGUCAUCGCCAUUGAAAGCUGCUAAUGUACUAAAGGAUAUUAUAAGAGUGUUUUCCCUGUUGUAUUCCUCAGCAUAAACCAGAUCUUAUGCCAACAUGAUCAUAUUUAUAAUCGUUAUAUCUGCAUCUUCUGAAUCCAUACCAGCUAUUACCAAAGAGUAAUAUAAAUCUUCUUUUAUAACGUUUUCUUUUUCAACAAUAAAUUCUUCAAUUGUAAAUGUGUAAAACAAUUUUUCUGGUUCUCUUCCAUGUUGAAUUACCUUCACAAACGUAAUCAGAAUCACUCUCAAUCUUCACUUGAAAAGAAGGAUUUACAGUAUUCAUUAGUGUAAACCAAAAAGAAGAACUCAUUUUAGUGGUUGAAAGAAAUUUUGUUCGUUAAUUUAAAACAUUAGACAUGCGUGAGUAAGAGACACAAUUUUAAAAAUAUAUUUUCUUUUCCAAAUAACUUAUUAUCAUAACCGUUAAGUGCAUUUAUAGGCACGUGUCUGCCGAAUUUAUUAGUUUCUGUAAGUUUAAAUUAAUAUAUGCUGUAAUUAUUAUAUAUAUGAAAUUUAGUCAAUUCUCUCCAUAUGAUUGACACAUCAUCACUUUAACAUUUGCCAUGUGUCUAUUAAAUAAUUAAUGUAAUCUCUUCAACUUUUAAUUUAUAAGUUAAUGAUAUAUUUAUUAUUUAAUUUUAGAUAUUAUUUUAUUUUACAUAUUUAGUUGUACUAUUACUAAAUUUAUUUUAAUAUUACAUGAUUUUUCAAUAAAACUAUUAUAAUAGUUUUCUCUACUCGAAGAUUUUUUUUUUGUAAUCCAAACUCAAAGUAUGAGUGUAUAAUAGUCGUGGAUUACUUAAUGAUUUGAGUAAGUUAUUUUCUUAAAUUGAUAUUUAUAUUCUCCUAAAUUAAUAUUUAUAUAAUAAAUUAUUGAGGGUGAGGAAUACGUAAGGAGCUCCACUAUCAAAUUCUUAAGUUUCUAGAAUCCAACACUACCAUCUAUUAAAUUGGUUUAAGACAAACGUUGUUUAUGAAUUAUGUGCAUGAUGCAUUGGUGAGAAUUUGUUAGAAAAAAUAUUUUAAAUACUAAAAGUAAUUGCUUAUUGUAUGAGUGAAUAAUUAAAUAAAUAAAUUAUUUAUAUAUUUAAGUUAAACAAGACAAAAUAUCCAAAAAAACCGCGGCGUAACACGGAUGAUCCUAGUAUUUAUAAUAAUUCAACGAUAAUUUAUAUAUGUGUGACUAAAGUUAGUCUUCGCGAGACGGUGUAUUUUAAAUAUCUUUCGUAACCUUUGAUCUGAUAUUUAAUUAUGAAUAGACGUGUACGUUGAAAUAAAACCGUUUACAAUUAAUGACUCUUCACUAAAGACAACUUUACAAAAAAAAUAUAAAUAAAACGGUUUUUUCUUAAUAAAAAGUGUUAUCAAAUGGCCAAACGUUCUAUUAAUGAAUCAAACGAUUUUUAUGGGGAGGGAUCAUCUACCAUUGUUUCUAGUGAGAAAGGUAUUGUUAAAAAAAUAUAGCUCAUAGACUUAAUUUCUUUCUAUAAUUAAAUCUUUUUAUAGUUCAAAGAUUUGUUAGAAACGUUUUAACCAUGGAUGUUUACAGAAAUCUAAAAGAUUUUUUUUAAUAAAUAUCAGUCUUGGUUGAUAAUUAUUACAAUUAAAAUAGAUUCCACUGAAAAGGAUAACAUUGCAAAUGUAGUCUCCUGAUUUUCAAUGUCUCUGAGAUCGGAUGCUUAUUUUUUUGUCUUUGAGAUCUAUAGACACGGUGAUGACACGGUUUAUUCUCAUCCAAUUUUAGUAUUGUUCAACUUAAUAAAUAGUUGUUAAUUAGUAUAUAGAAGAAGUGGGUUACUACUCUUAUGUUUAUUUUCUUGCAUAUUUUCGUUCCAUUUUUUACAAAAUUCAAGGCUUUGAUAUACCUAUUUAAAGUUUUGAUUAUAAGUUCCUUUUAAUGUUCUAUACAAUAUGAAUAUGACACGAUUAUAUAUACAAUCUUCAGAAUUUUUAAUUUUUUCAUAAUCAGCAGAGGUAUUAUAUUUGCAAAGAAUCUUAAGUCAAGACCUCCUCUUUUAUGUUAUUUAAUCUUAUUAUUUUAAAAGUUUUCCAUAAAUUAAUUGUACAUUUGUCGUAUAGAUUAUCAACUUCAAACAUUAUCAAAGGAUAACGCACCACCAAAUAGCAAACGUAAGUAAAAAAUACAAUAUUUUAUAAAGAGAAUAUACAUAAAAUAACUAUGAAUCGUAAAAAAUUUAACAAAGUAGCUAUGGUGUCAGAGUACACUCUCUUUCUUCACUUACAAUUACUUUUAUACCAAUUUUCGAAUUUUAUAUAUAUUACACGCUAUUUUCCAAAAUCACACAGAAUAUUUAGAUGAUUCUAUUGUGAAAAACUUUUGACGAAUCCGAAAAACCCACCACUCAUCUCUCUUUCUUCUACCACCACAACCACCACAUCUUCCACCAUCACAACCACCAGAUCUCUUUUUCGAUAAAUCUAGGCUACUAAACUUUAUUUAUAUUGAUAGAUCAUCUCUCCCUCAAUUUGCAGAAGAUUUCUCAUUUUAUUUUGUUCAAUUUUGAUUCUUUCUUCGAACCUCUGUCGUUAUGUUCUCUUUUUAAAUUGUAUGUAAUUUUCUUUUUUACCAUGCUACUUUUUCGAAUUACAGGUUAUAAUUCGAAAUCUCUCUCAAACAACAUGCUACUUUUUCAUAUAACAAAUUAUUUAUUCUCAUAACACAUUAUAAAAUGUCAUUUUCUUUAUAAAUAUCAUGCUAUUUAUUUUGUUCGAUUUUGAUUCGUUCUUAGAAUCUCUGUCGUUAUGUUUUUUUUUAAAUUGCAUGUUAUUUUCUUUUGUACUAUGCUACUUUUUUAAUUACACGUGAUAACUGGAAAUCUCUCUAUGUCAACAUGCUACUUUUUCAUAUAACACAUUAUUUAUUCUUAUAACACAUUAUAAAAUGUCACUUUUUUGAUAAAUAUCAUGCUAUUUUCAUAAGCUUGGUUUUGGUUCAACUUGCAAGGACAUUUUUGUAGUUUCUUAUGCCGUCAUAAGGUUAUUUAUUCACAUACAAACUGACAAUGGUUAGUUACUUAAUUCUUUUCAAUUCUAUGGUUACUUUAUACUAUUACCCUUUUAUAAAUCCAAUUCAUUUAACUAACAUCUAUACUAUUAAUUGGGAAGCAUUGUGUGAACUACAACAUUGUAAGGGUAGUUUUAAUAAAUUAAUUUUUGCAUGGGUAAUUUAGUAAAUUAACAACUACUACAAAUAAAUAAAUAUCUUAGAUUUUGUUUAUAAAAAAAAAAUAUAAUUAAAUCAAUAAAUUAAUAACUACCCAAUAUUUUUGGAAAUCAUUUAAAAACGUUUCCAUAACAUAUCAGGCUAUUUUAAUUCGAAUUUUAUAUAUGUAAACUUAUUUAUUUUAGUAAUAUGUUAUUAGAUAAUACGGAAACUUCAAUCUAAUUUAAUAACAAAUUAUCAUUUAGUUUAAAUUUUAUACAAUUUCUUUAACAAAACUAUGUUAACUGUUUCUGAUUAGUACACAUAAAAAAUGAUUUUUAAUUAUGAUUUAGCAUUCAAAAGAGAAUUUUUGGAUUUUAGAUUUGUAAUUAACUAGAAAAUAGUUUCAGUACAGAUUAAAAUAUUUAACAUUUUUUAAAAAAAUACAUAAGGAUAAUGCAUAAGGAUAAGUUUAAUUUUAAAAAUAUACCAAAAUCAUUAAGAUCAUAGUAAAAUUUAGCUUUUAAAAAAAACAAAUCGUCAUCCUCAAUUUAAAAUAUAUAAUUCAGAUUAGUUUUUUCUAGUAAAGCUAAGAUUGAAUCCAAAUUAAAAUCUAAUUUUGCGUACAAUCUAUCUCUUAUAAAUGUUAUGCAUACAUUCACAUUCACAUUGCGUACAAUCUAUCUCUUAUAAAUGUUAUGCAUAAUUUUGAGAUUCAUAAGUAACUUACAUCAUGUUCUAAUGAUGUUUAUCUCCUAAUUUUACUAUUCAUUUAUGCAUAUUCUUAUAGAUUUUUCUUUCAGGGUCAACACUUGAAUACAAGAAAUUAGUCGGGUGUUGGUCAAUAUUAUACCACAGAUAAAAUCAUGGAAUUAACAAUUAAAAUAUAGUUAUACAAUCUGAAACAAUAAACAAAACAAAUAUAACUUAAUUUAUUUUUUAUUUUUAACUAAAAUCAACAAAUUUAUCAGUUUAUUAAAAAAAAAAAAAAACAAUUAGCAUGUGGUACCCUACGGGUAAAUCACUACGAUUUCAUGAGGUUGCAAUAUCAAUUUAUACAAAUUUUGACUUUUAAAAUAUACUUUAUACAAUUAUUGAAAGGUAUACACUAAAAAUUGGUUUUAUAUACUACAAUAUCAUAAAGUUAUAAAUCAAAAAUUAUUUUUAAAUAUAUUAAUCCAAGAUCUACCACAAGUUAAUCCCUCGAUUUUUUAACAUAUUACAAUAAGAAUAUUAAAAAUAACAAAAAUAAUAUUUAAUUUUACGAAAUGAAGUUAUCUGGUGGAACGAGUUUGGUUUGAUAUUCAUACGGGAUGAUAAUCUACGAGUGAAAUCUUAGAAUUAACAAUUUUAACACAAUUAUCCUAUCUCAAACACUAAACAAAAGAAACAAUAUUUACAAAACAACUAUAAACUUAAAAUUUGAAUUUUUAGUUACAAAAAAAUCAACUAAUGGUGUACCUCAAAGUAAAUUUCACGCUAUAUCAUCUAAUUGAUCAAAUUUCAAACAAAACAAUUAAUUUGUAUAUACAUCAAACUAACAAAAAUACACAGAUUUUCCAAAUAUCUCUAUAUUAUUCCGCAAAUCGAAACAAAUCUAAUAUUCAAUUUAUUAUGCAAAAUACGAAAAAUAUAAAAAAUAUAAAUUAAUUAAAAAAUUUAGCUAUUGUAUCAUAAAUAACAUUAUACACUUUUCUAUGCACAUUAUAAUUUAUACACUACAAUAUCUUUCACCAAAAAUGUAUUAUAGUUAUUUCUUAAAAUAUGAAACCCCGCACAUAUGUGCGGGUCAAAAUCUAGUAUGAUGAUAAACUUAAAAUCAUUGCUUAUGUUUUACAAACUGUUUUGACAAAAUUAAAUAGAAAAAAGGACGACCAUUUAAAAAAGAACCACAAUGUAAUAAAUAAUAGAUGGAUGCCCAUUAUAAGGCUCUUCAUCUAGGUCCAUCAUCUAGAUGUCUCUAGGGUUUUAGCCUUCCCUUGUACUCCUAUAUAAAGGACUCUUUAUUCAAUGGAAUAACACACUCAUUUUUCUUCUAUCUCUUUCUCUAGUCAUAACACGUUAUCAACACGCUCUAAAAGGUAGAUAUAGAGAUUCUUACAUUUUUUUUAGAACCAUGUUUACUUACAUGGUUCACAAUAUUUAUUUUUCUAUUAUUGAAAUAAAACAAUAUUUGUCGAUCGAUGAUUAUGGUAUCAAUCGGUAAAAGCAUCAUUUCAAUGAUUCAGUAAAGAAGAGAAUCAUGCUUAUCAUUUGUUUCUCUAAUUAUUAUUGCAUGAUUCAAUGAUUCUACAAAAAAAAUUGUUAAAGAAGAGAAUCAUGUUUGUUCAUUGUUGAUUAUUAAUUAUUAAUUUUUUUGAAAUCUACUAUAAUAAUAUAAAAUAUUUUAUUUGAUAUCUUAUUUAGUUAAUAUUUUAUUGUCUAAAAUUCUACAAUUCAAAUUUAAUCUCCUUGAUUUAUCGGUAACGGAUUAGGCACAGUCUAUUUGUCAGUUUGUACUUAAUCUAAUGUUGAAACUUUAUAUAGUCCUAUGAAUGUUUGGUAAAUAAUCGCAGGUUUACGAAUAUGGACUUCGUUGAUCAUACUUUUAACAUGCCGUUAAAGUCAUCAAGUUACAGGUAAUUGACUAAUUUACUCCAUUGAGAGUAGCUUAUUUUGUUAAGCAUGUGUAAUAUGCAGAAUCUAUAAAACUUUGUCCACUUUCAUUCAUAUUAAUAAGGAUUUGAAUUGAAAUUCUGAGAAUGAGAGGUAACCAUAAAUAUCCUCUAUGAGAACUAUAAUAGCCCUUAAAAAGAAACUUAUGUCGUCCAAUUGCAAAGAUAGAAAGUUUAAAUUCAACUGCCUUAUCAGCUUGUAUAUAAAAUCAAGCUUCUUCAACUAUUGAUUUCAAAUGUUCAAUUAGUCUUCUUGAUAGUCUUUUGCUCUGGAGCCGGCAAAUUAGAAUCAGAGACAAAUUAUAUCAGUUUAAUUAGAGAUACAAAUAAGUCAAACAAAUUAUAGCAGUUUAAUUAGAGUAAAUCCUUAAAAAGAUAAACCAAAAACUAAAUCCGAAAAAUAUAAUUAAGCAAAGUACGCACCUUAGUGUAGGUGUUUUCUUUUGACCAAAAAAAAAAAAAGUUUAGCUGUUGUCUUGUGUUUAAGAAACGUCUACGUGGUAGCCUCUGAAUUUUUUUAUUUUUUUUUUGUCAAAUAGUUGGUUUUCAUUAAUUGAGAACCGGUACAGCUGGAAUUAAAAGCAAAGCGGCCUUAGCAAGUGCAUCGGCUUUAGAAUUGUUUUCUCUCUUAACAAAAGAAAAUGAAUUUUCUUCAAAGUUUAGGGAGAGAACUGAGAUGUCGAAGACUAUCCCAUGGAGCUCCAUUGGAUGAGGCUCACCAUUUAGUACUUUGACUAGCUGCUGCGAGUCUGAAGCUACAACAAGUUUUUUGAAUCCAAGAUCUGCUGCGUGUUGGAUAGCGAGAGAGAGAGCCGAUGCUUUUGCCAAUAAGGGAGAUCUGAUGUUCAUCGCUGCAGCUUUAUGAUGGGAUUCCAAAUGGUUCGAAUGGUCCACAAAAACCCAACCGAAACCAGCCUGUAAGGUCUCUUCUCUCCACGAAGCAUCUGUAGAACAUUGAAUCGUGUCUAAAUCGAUCUCUGAGGGAGAUAUACCUGGAAUCACGAUCUUAGAUUUCGAUGCUUGGAUCUGAGCUCCUAACCAUUCUGUGGAUUGAGAAAUAGAUUGGGAUAUGAGAUCCAUACUCGAGAUGUGUUUUUGCUCAAAAAUUAGCUUGUUCCUGCAAUUCCAUAGGUUCCACAAGAUCCAAAUGGGAAGUUGUCCUUGUCCAAUUCCGAUUGGUGGAAGGGUAACGAGGAGCUUUGAGACUUCCAAACCCUGUUUCAUACUUGUGAUCCGGGAAGCUUGAAGCGUGGUUUUGAAAGGAGAAAGAUCCCAGACCUUAGAAGCAAAUGGGCAGAGGAAAAGCAGAUGGAGAAUUGAUUCAGCCUCGUCGCAGUGAGGACAGAGAGCAAGCGGAUUUAUACCACGCAGCCUCAGGUUUUCACCAACUGGGAGAGCAUUCUUCAUGGCUUUCCAGAGGAAAAUUUUCAAUUUUGGGGGGCAGUGUUUGGUCCAUAUCUCCUUAUUUCAGUUAAAGUCCAAUGGAGGUUCUUCUAGUUGAGUACCUUGGUGAGAAAGAGCAUCAGCUGCGUGAUACCCUGUCUUGACCGAGUAGUCUCUAGUCUUAUUAGGUAACCAAACAUAUCGAUCUCUGGCUCCAAAUUUGCUGGGUCUUAGAAGGAAGAUCUCCUUUUCAUAGCUGGGAAGUAACAAUCUUACUUUCUCUCUAUCCCAAGACUUUGUGGUUUGACAAAUAAGCUGAGCUACUGUCAUUGAUUUGAAUUGUUCAAGUGCAGGACCCAUUGGAGUUGAGGAGGUUGAAAGAGAUAGCCACGGUUCGUUCCAAACCAAAGUAUCCAAGCCCGAUCCAAUCACUUUCCCCAGCUGAGAUUUGAUUAGAUCUUUGCCCGUACAAAUGCCUCUCCAACCGUGAGAAGAAGCAGCAGUGACUGAGCAGUCUAGGAAGGACGAGGUUCGACAAUACUUUCCUAGCAGAAUUCUAACCAAAACACACGAUGGAGAUUGCACAAUACGCCAACUCAACUUUGCAAGCAAGGCAUCAUUAAAAUUUGUAAUAUCUUUGAAACCAAGUCCACCCUCCUUCUUGUUCUUUGCCAUUUUUGACCAGGCUAUCCAACACAUCUUCUUUUUAUCUGCAGAAGAGUCCCACCAAAAAUGAGUGAGGGCUGAUUGGAUUCUCUUACAAAGAGAGACAAGAAGUUUGAAGCAGGACAUGGUAUAGGUAGGCAUCGAUGCUAGUACAGACUUCAACAUUGUGGUUUUGCCCGCAGUGGAUAAGAACCGAGAAGACCAACUCAAAGAUCGCUGCCGUAUUCUAUCAACAAUCUGAUUGAAGAGAUCUCUCUUCUUUCUACCAAACAUCUUAGGUAAGCCCAGAUAUUUCCCUAGUCCUCCAACCAGCUGAAUUCCAAGUAUUUGUUGAGCUUCUGUUUUGAUAUGAUCAGGGGUUUUCCUUGAAAAAGUGAUUGCUGAUUUUGAUUUAUUGAUCAUUUGACCAGAUGCCUCUUCAUAUUUCUUGAGAAUGCACAAGAAAGUCUUACAACUUUUGAGAUCAGAGCGGCAGAAAAAUAUCGUAUCAUCUGCAAAAAGAAGAUGAUUAACUCUAGGAUUGCCUUUAGAGACCCGUAAUCCGAGAAGAGAUCCAUCGAGCUGAGCUUUCCUGCACAAACCAGAGAGAACUUCGCUGCAGAUUAUGAAGAGGAACGGUGAGAGAGGAUCCCCUUGUCUCAAUCCUCUCUCUGGAGUAACUGCACCUUGAGCAGAGCCAUUGAGGAGGAAGGAGUAUGAAACUGUGGUGAUACAUUGUAAAAUCCAGCUUAUCCAAGUUUGGUGAAACCCCAUCUCUUGCAUAACCAGUUUGAUAAAGUCCCACUCAAUUCUGUCAUAGGCUUUACUCAUGUUAGUUUUGACAGCCAUAAAGCAUCGUUUCUCUGCUCCUAAGGAUUUGAGGUAAUGAAGAGCUUCAUGUGUGAUUAGUACAUUGUCAUUACUCGCUCUUUUUGGAACAAAAGCUGACUGAUUUUCAGAAAUUAUCUCUUGCAGGAUUGGUUGCAGACGCCUAGACAGCAGCUUUGAAAUGAUUUUAUAGAAAACUGUGCAUAAAGCUAUAGGUCUGUAGUCUACCAUCCUUUUCAGGCUUUGGAUUUUAGGAAUCAGUGUGAUAUGUGUUUUGUUGAUUGUUGGCUGAAGGGUAGAUGAAGAAAAGAAGGAUUGGAUCUCCAAAACAAUGUUAGGACCCACAGUCAUCCAAUUUGAUUGGAAAAAACUCGCCGAAAACCCAUCCGGACCGGGUGCUUUGUCAGCAUGGAUAGAAAAACAAGCAGAUUUUAUUUCCUCUGCUGAAGGCAAUUAAAUCAGAGAACGAUUCUGUUCAGGAGAGAUGAAUGGUUUAAUGGCCUCUUUAAUGGUUGCAGCUCGAGCUCCUUCAUUUGCAGAGAAUAGCUUCUGAAAAUACUCGGAGAUAACAUUGAGGAUCCCUGCCUCUUCAUACUCAGGUACUCCAUCCUCCUUUUCUAUCACUGAGAACUUAUUUAUCACCGUUCUACCUCUAGUGAUGGCAUGGAAGUAACCCGAAUUUUUAUCUCCUAAGGCAAGCCAUAACUGUCUGCUUCUCUGCUUCCAAUACUCUUCCUCUGCCUUGUAUGCUAAGAGCAAAUUAGUAUUGAUAGUCGAUAACAGCUCUUGAUUGUGAUCUUGACUAGACAUUGCCUCUUCAAGUUUUUGACGAUUUUCCUCAAUAAGUUUUUGACUACUUUGCUGCUUAGCCCUAGACCACUUAACAAUUUCCAAACGACAUCUGCUAAUUUUUUCCUCCACAAUGUCUGUAUCAUAAAGAUUCCAGGCCUCUUGAACAAGGGCUGUGACUUCAUCGUUGUUUUUUAGACGCCUAUCGUAACGAAACACUCCUUUUUUCUUUUUCUUUGACAGGUCAAAGUGGGUAAGAAGUGGUCUGUGGUCUGACCCUUCAAAGCAAAGGUAAAUGCAUCUACUAGCAGGAUAAUCUUCAGCCCACGCUCCAUUGGACAAUGCACGAUCAAGCCUGCAAUGCACAACAUGAUCAUGUCUCUUUCCACGCCAAGAUAAGAAAUUCCCUGAAUGUCUUAAAUCAUACAAAUCACAUUCCGCCAUAAAUGAUCUAAUGUCCACAAAAGUUCCUUCAUAUCUUGCAGGUCCUCCUUGUUUUUCAGAAGAAUCUAUGAUAUAAUUGAAUUCUCAGUAAGAUACCAGGGUUCACUUCUAUCUUUCCCUAAACUGGUAAGCUGAUCCCAUAUAGCUUUCCGCUUUGAUCUGUCUGGUUCCCCAUAGAUGAAAGUAGCAAAGAAGUGUUUACCCGCCGCCUUAAUCUUUGUGUCAAUAAAGUUGUUGCAGGAAUAAAGGAUUGUCACUUCUACUUCAUGUUUCCAGAGAAGGGCCAGACCACCACCUCCUGGGCUAUGCGGGGGAACAAGGUGAUGUGCAGAAAAAUUCAUCCAGUUUAAAGAGGUGAGGGUUGUCUCAUUGGGGUUCUUGGUUUCCAUAAGGAACAGAAUUUCUGGUGAGAUUGAAGAAUGCAUCUCACGCAGCCGUUGUACUGUUGUGGGGCUCCCCAAUCCACAACAGUUCCAGCUCAGAACUUUUAAGGAAUCUGAUUUGGUAGAUGGUGAAAAUCCACCUUAUCUUUCACUCUUGCAGGUAUAAUAGUUACUCGUGGAGUAGGUUGACUUGAGGAAGGGUUGGAGGCUCCAGGUUGGAGGAGAAGCUUUUGCUUUGUUUUCGUGGUUCUGCUAGGGCCAGCAGAUUCUUGUAUGUGAGCUUCAUUCUUCUCAGGUGUGGAUUUCCUUUUAGGGGAGUUCUGGAUAAGUCCCUUUCUUUUGCUUGAUUUUGCUCCCAGCAAUGGUAAAGCAGCUUUGUUUUGGGGUUUAGCUAAAGGUGGACGUCCUCUUUUCUUUUUUGCAGGAGCAACACAGCUUGUAGUCUGAUCAGCCGGAUGACUUUGUAGGUCUUGGUACUGAGAGAGAUUAUCUUGUGUUGGAAGAUCUUCAGAGGCAAGGUAAUUUUGGUUUGAGAUGAGUGCAGCUUCCAGCAUUAUAGAAGCUGUUUCUGCCAUGAGUCCUUUUUCUUCUCCUUGAAAAACUCUUCGUUUUCUUGCAGCGCUUUCAGUUGGGUGUGCACAACUAACAUAUUGCAGAGUGACGUCUCUAAGCUCUCCCAUGAUUUGGUCAUUAGUAGGGAUGGGAGGAGGAGGUGGUGGAGUAACCUCAUAAGAAUCCAGGUUUCUCUCCAACGGGGGACGUCUUGUUCUCGAAGUUUCAGAGCUAUCAUUUCUAGGACUGAGUCUAUGUGUGGCUCUAACCCUCCAUUGAGGAGUCUGAGAAGAAUCUCUUCUUGGCCCCUCUCUAAUAGGAUCCUGAUAUCUUGAGGUACCCCUUUUGUCUCCUGUCUCAUGGCGACCUAAAUUCCUUCUGUUAGGGUUAAAAGGAUUUCUGUGUCUUCUCUCCUCAUAGGGUCCAGCUCGGCGAGAUAGAUGUUCUCUAGAAGUUGAGGUCUACUCCUCUUACUUUUCCAAGAUCUUGAGAACGACUUUGAUUAAUAGAAGGGUUUCUUGAAGGCGCUCUUGAGGGAGAUGAUUCUCUUAGAGAUCUAGGGGCUAUGAAAUUGUCUCUAGGAGUGUAAUAAUUUCUAGCCAGAUCCUUGGAUGCCUCUUCACUUCUGGAAGAUCUGAACUUUGUAGUGUCCUCAUUUUCUGAAACCAGAUCUGGACAGAAUUUCUUUUCAUGAGUAAGUCUUAGGCAAUGUGAGCAGUAAUUUUUGAGAUUCUUGUAGACUAACGAGAUCAGAGCUUCGCUGCCAUCAGGAAAGUCUACCAUGGUGUCAAGGACUAGCGAUUUCAGGCCAUCAACAAAGACCUUUAGCUUUGCUGAAGAAUUGGUUAUUUCAAAAUCCAGAAUUUCUCCCAAGUCUACGCCAAUAGCUUUGAGCAUAUCCUGGUGCCAGUAAUGUUUUGGGAGUCCUUGGAUAUCAAUCCAAAAGGGGAUCUUAGAGGUAAAGGUGUCAGAGAUUGUAGGUUCCCACUUCUGAAGGAUGACCAUCCAUUGAUCAUAGUGGUAAGGCUUAUUGUCUAGUACUUUUUGCAUGUCUUCUUCAAAGUCAAAACAAAACUGGAAGCAGCCUCUUCCCAGAUCUGAACCCGUAGCUUUUCCUUUCAGAUUCCACCGGUUUGAGAGGAAAGGAAAGAGAGACCAUAAUCGUUGGAUAGAUGGGUUUGUGAGGCGAUCCAUUAGAGUUAGGGAAUUAGCUUCGAUGAGGUCUGAAGUGUCCAGUUCUGGUGCACGAAUUCUUCUUCGAAUUG
RNAcentral lists this long non-coding RNA (171887 nucleotides) under Arabidopsis thaliana (thale cress). Its description in RNAcentral is "long non-coding RNA (ATHA_LNC000689)". The record is from RNAcentral. Lineage: Eukaryota; Viridiplantae; Streptophyta; Magnoliopsida; Brassicales; Brassicaceae.